GUUACUCGAGCGUUCAAGCAUGUACUUAAAGGAGUCAUCGCAUCUGUUGACUAUUUAUCAGACCUAUCUGCAGCUAUAGCUUCUUCCCUAAAUUUCUUAUUUGGCUGUUGUGAGAUGGAAGAUGACCAAAGCUUGAAUGAAGAUCAUAUCCUUAGAUUGCAGUGGCUACGAACAUUUCUUGGCAGAAGAUUUGGUUGGUCCCUGAAAGACGAGUUUCAGCAUUUGAGAAAGAUUUCAAUUCUACGUGGGCUUUGCCAUAAGGUAAGGUACUGUCUUUCGGUUCCUUUGGCAGCGGAUUAUUUUCAAAACUUGAAUUUUGCUUGUAAACUUUACCCAGGUUGGGUUGGAGUUGGUUCCAAGAGAUUAUGAUAUGGAAUGCCCAAACCCAUUCAUGAGAGAUGAUAUUGUCAGCAUGGUUCCUGUGUGCAAGGUGAGACUAUUUUCUCUCUUAAUUGUGUUUUGAUUUAGUUUUUACAUUCUCAAUGAGUCACUCAUUUGUAAAUUGAAUGUAAUUGUGCUAUUUUUAUGGCAUUCUACAGCAUGUAGGUUGCACUUCAGCUGAUGGACGGACUUUAUUAGAGUCAUCCAAAAUUGCCCUUGAUAAAGGAAAACUAGAAGAUGCUGUAAAUUAUGGGACAAAGGUAAUAACCCACUCGAUCUAUACGUAAGAAUUACAUUAUUCUUUUCAUAAUAAGGCAUCUCUUGAUCUCAUAUGAUGUAUUACUUGCAUUGUAAGGCACUGGCAAGGAUGAUAGCUGUUUGUGGUCCCUACCAUCGGACUACUGCAAGUGCUUACAGUCUUCUAGCUGUAGUUCUCUACCAUACUGGAGACUUUAAUCAGGUACGACAAUCUUCAGUUGUAUUUCAGUGUUAACUUGGUGAUUCUAAGUCGAGUAUAAUUAUAAUGUCCUUCUGUACGGAGGUUCUCAUUCAGUGGGACAUUUGAUUUGAAACUGUGUUAUGGCUAGUUUUUAUGGUCUUGUAUAAAGAUAUGCAUUAGGAAUUAUAAUUUUCUGGACUUAGGAAUUACAUGAACAGGCAUUAGCAUAAUUUUGAUAUCAGAUUAUAUAUUUUAACUAAAUCAAACACGUUCAUGGUUCUUAUGUUCUGGCAUUUGGUCUAAUGGCAUCUGCGUCUGAGUGUUAGCGUUCGUAUGUACUCAAGAUAUCUUCUUCUUCAUUUUAGGCAACUAUAUAUCAGCAGAAGGCAUUGGAUAUUAAUGAGAGGGAACUUGGUCUUGACCAUCCAGAUACAAUGAAAAGCUAUGGGGAUCUUUCAGUUUUCUAUUAUCGCCUUCAACACAUUGAAUUGGCUCUUAAGUAAGUAGCACUGCUUGAUUUACCGGAGCAACUUUGUGAUUUUCAUUCUUUAACUGAUUAAGGUUUAUUUAUUCAUAAAUUAAAUUGGAAGUUUCGAAAAAUGUGACCUUUGUAUUGAAUCUGCUUCGAACGAAUGCAGUUUUUAUGUACCUACUUUAGCUUUUAUUUGUCUUUUAUUGGCUAUAGCUCCUGAUCAUACCGUACCAUUGGCAGAUAUGUAAAUCGUGCCUUAUUCCGUUUGCAUUUUACUUGUGGACUUUCACAUCCAAACACGGCUGCAACAUACAUAAAUGUGGCUAUGAUGGAAGAGGGCAUGGGAAAUGUUCAUCUUUCUCUUAGAUAUUUGCUUGAAGCCCUUAAAUGCAACCAAAGACUAUUAGGAGGUGACCAUAUACAGGUUUUUCUCUCUCUAUUUACGCAUGUAUACACAUUCUUUAGAAUUAUAAAUCUUUCUGUAAACUCAGAAUUUUGUUUGAUUUCUUCACGUGACAGACAGCUGCAAGUUAUCAUGCCAUAGCCAUAGCUCUUUCUUUGAUGGAGGCAUAUUCACUAAGUGUGCAACAUGAGCAAACUACACUUCAGAUUCUCCAAGCAAAGCUUGGACUAGAAGAUCUGCGUACUCAGGUGACUACAUGUAGUCAUAUUUUAAUUGGUUCUGUUGUGCAAUUUGGCUAGUUGGCUUCUCUCUUGUCAAUCUUUUACAGGUGAUAUUAUGAUAUAAAACAAAUUGUAUUGGAGGCAUAUUUUUGGUGUCAAAUAUGGAUAUGACUUAUUCAUUAAUCGUAUCCAAAUAUCAAAAUACGGAUAUGACCCGUUUAUUAAUCGUGUUGACUUGUUUAAUAUUAAAUACAAACAAAUUAAAAAUUAAUUUUAAAAUAACAAAUGUGUCAAAAAAAUGAGUUAUAAAUAAGUUAAAAUGACAUAAGUAUGACAUGAAUAAGUUUAUAACAUAAUGUGAGUAUGACAUGAGUCAUUAAUUUAGUGUUUAGUAUAUAUUUUAGUUUUUUUUUCCAAUAAUAUUAACACAUAAUAAUUGAUAUUUGUGUUAUAAACGUAUAAUCAUAUUGAGAUGGUCCAAAACAGAUACGACAUGGUUAUUUAUCGUGUUGUGUCAACUCAUUUAUUAAUCGUGUCAAUAUUUGUCAACACGAAUAUGGGUCAUAUGUCAUAUUAUGUUGUGUAAUCGUGUCGUAAUCCAUUUUCCCACCUCUAAUCUUAACUGUCAUAAGAGAAUUUCUCAAGUUCCAUAUUAUUGAUGGGAAGAGAAUUUUGUUAUUUUGUUGUAUUUUUUUUCGUUUUACAGGAUGCUGCUGCAUGGCUGGAGUAUUUUGAAUCAAAAGCUCUAGAGCAGCAAGAAGCGGCACGGAAUGGAACUCCAAAGCCAGAUGCGUCCAUUGCGAGUAAAGGUCACCUUAGGUAUUAACAGGGUAUUCCCACAUUACUUGUUUCUAAAUUGUUGAUUAUUUCUUGUGGCACCAAGACCUAUAAUGAUUGCUUUUUGCAGUGUAUCAGAUCUCCUGGAUUACAUUAGUCCUGGUCAAGAUUCUAAAAGAAGCGAAGCACAUAGGAAACAACGACGUGCAAAGGUAGUAUAUACUUAGUACCUGUUUAGUAUGAUUUAUCUAAUAGUCAUAAAUUUUUAUUUAAUCCCAUAAGCUGUUAUCAAUUUUUUUUUUGUUGUUUAAUUGUUUUUUUCGUAGAGCUCUUGAAAAUUAAAUAAGUUAUUUUACCUCUACUACCAAAAGCUCAAAUUUUGUGCUUUUGAGAGUAGAGGUUAAAAAGUUUUUUUUAAAUGUUAAAAUAUCUAAAAUAUUUUCUACUUAUUUGACAAUCUUAUUUUAUUCUUUUCAAAACAUAACUUUAAAAAAUUUGCUUAUUAAAGUAAUUUUAUAAUUUUUAAUAAAAGCUUUUAUUGACAACCAAACAACACAAAUUUUUUGGGUAAAAACUUUACUUAUAAAAUCUUUACUAACAAAAGCUCUACUCAGAUAAGAUUUAUUUGAAAAGCUAUGUCAAAUGAAGCAUUAAGCCUGCUGCUGUUCUCUGUUCCUUUUUUCUUGUGAUGUCAUCUGAAUGGAUUCUUAAACUAAUUGUAGUUAGGAUUUGGUGUUUUAGAGUACACUCUGCUGGCUGCAUAUAGUUUUGGAUUUGCUGAUUACACGAGUAAACUUGUUGUCAAAUGCAACUAUAUAUCAGCAGGAUAAUAGUUCUACUUUUCUGAGUGAACUCUGAAGGCGCCAAUUAUAACAUCCAUUUCUAGUAUAGAAUCCCCCGCCCAACAAAAAGAAAUCUAACAUGCUUAUACAGAUCGCAGACAUGAUUGAAACUUUAGAAGUUUCUGAUCUAUUGAUGGUCAUAGAUUGGGCCAGCUGAUAGUUAGUAGGCAAUGAUGGAGGGUUGCUUGGUCAAGCUGCUAGUACUUUGGAAAUUCAGAGAUGAUGUGCAGAACGAGUGAUAGUUUUUGUUUUCCUCCGUAAUCUUGAACAGAGUGGGAAGAAACCAUUAAUUUGAAGUGCAAUGGAUGGAUAUGACAGAUCUAUCAUUUUGGCUAGUAGAUGGAGUUCUUCCAUUCUACUGUUAUUUACUGGUUGUUUUUAUUGAUUCUAGAAAAACAUUUUUCGAUUUGGCAGUUGGAGUUUUUCCCUUUUUUUUUUCUCCCCAUUUUGUAGGCCUUAGAGAACCAAAUAAUACUACAUAUUAGAUAGACAGGAUUAUUAUGUGCUAAUUUGAAGUAUUACCUGGUUGACAAUUUAAGACACUAGUAAAGUAUUUCGCUAUGAUUAUUUUUUUUUGAGAAUUCCAUGAUUCAAAAGGCCGAAGAAUUUCAUUAGUUUAACAUAGUAUAUAUUAACAUAAUUUCUCACUGAGUGUUUUUUUCAACAUUUCAGGCAUGUACAUAUCAAAUUCCCAUUUAUGUUCCGCUGAAUUCUGCCUCAUGUUAUGUCCGGAUUUGUUGUAAUAAAUUUUGCUACUGUAAAAUUACAAGAUGAUUGUAACUUAAAAUGAACCAUUUCUAUUUGCUCAAUUUUUUUUUUUUUUUUUUUAUUUUUUCAGGUAAUGCAGAUUAGGGAAAAGAUUCAUGGAGCACAUCAUGAUAUGAUGGUGGAAGAUGCACUGCCCCAUGAUGGAUUGAAAAAGAGUAUGACUAUAGUGGAAAGCAAGACCGAGGAAGUAAUAGAAGACAGUGUUCAACCUGAAGAGCCAGAAGAGAAUGAUGAUAUUACUAGAUAUGGACCGGCAAUUUCAGGUGAGUUUGUGGAAGAAACAAAUUCAGAUGAGGGGUGGCAAGAAGCCAAUCCAAAAGGUAGGUCAGGAAAUGCUGCUGUUCGGAAGCUCAGCCGGAGGCGACCUGUUCUUACAAAGCUAAAUGUCAAUGGUUGUGAACAUUCAAAUCUUAGAGAAAAAGGCAAUAGACGGGAAAUUGUAUCUCCAGCACGGGAAAAAGCUUCAAGGACCACCACCACUGAGUUAACAGGCACGAAGGAUUCAAUUAAAUUGCAGGCAAAAGCUUCUGUCUCCAAAGUUUAUGCAAGUCCACCAAACCUUACUGCCAUGGCUUCCAAGUCGCUGUCUUACAAAGAAGUAGCUGUGGCACCACCAGGUACGGUUCUAAAGCCAUUACCAGAGAAACCUGAUGAAGAAAUUGAAGAAAAAACUGAAACACAGAUGUGCAGUAAUGCUCCUGAGACAUCAAAGGCGGAGUUGAAUAACCAUUUCUCUCCCGUUGAAGAUGCGCCAGUUGAUGGUCAGUCUCAAGAAACUCAUGGAAGUGUAACUCAAUCUGAAACUACGGCUGCAGAUACCGAGGAAGUUCCUUCUUCUUCUAAUGAGGAAAAGCCCAUGGAAACAAAUGGGAGUAAGCUUUCUGCCACAGCUGAACCAUUCAACCCAGGAGCUUUCUCCAUGACUCAUCUGCUAAACUCUGUAGCAGCCACGAGUAUUUAUGAUUCGAGAACUAGUCAAGGUAUGCUUGCAGAACCUGCUGUACCUUCGGCUGCUGCUAGAGUUCCUUGUGGGCCAAGGUCGCCUCUCUAUUAUAGAAAUAAUUAUUCUUGCAUGAUGAAACAUGGAUUUCCAAAAUACCACUCUUCCAUUAUAGAAAGAAACCUGUUGGGGCCUUCAAGAAUCAUGAACCCACAUGCACCUGAGUUUGUGAAUAAAUCCUGGAUAUGCAGAUUCAAAUGUUUCAAAUGAGUCGAACUCUUCAAAUGACACAAGUGAGGCAGACGAUGAGAAACUUGACAAAAUGUCCAGUAUUCAAGGCGAGGAUAAUACCUCAAGAAAGAGCAGUACAGAGGCGGAGAAAUCAGAGCUGGGAAGACAGAUACUACUUAUCUUCAUUGUAAAGUCAGUCCAGCAUAAUAUGGAUGCUCCAAGUCAAUCUUCAGGCUACGAAAAGAAGAGUGGGUAUUCAGAAAAUUCUUCAGAUGCAAUUGCAAAUGAUAGUGCUAUCAUAAAGAUCCUUUAUGGAAAUGAAAAGGGCAAAACAAACUUGGCAUCUCAGUCCAAUGAUCAAGAACAGCAAAAACCCAAAGAUAAUAACCAAAAAAGUGGGGAUGGUGAAGGAUUUAUAGUUGUCAGAAAACGGAGAAGAAACCGACAGCAGAUCACAAAUGGGGUAACUGAGAUGUACAAUCAUCAAUCCAUCUGUGCUUCUGUUCGUUAAAAGAGAGAGCAAAGCAAUAAAAUGCAAAGGUGCCGUCCUGUUUCUCCCAAUUUUAUUCGAAAAAUUUGUUAGUGAAUGUUACCGUUGUAGAAAUGGUUAAAGUUUGGAGCAAGUUUUAAUCAAUACUUGAUUGUAUCAUUUUAGAUAUCCUCUCUGGAUGUUCUAAUAUAAUAUUUGUACAAAUCGGUUUCUUGUUUUGUUAAGAGAUUUUGUUUUGAUCAAUAAAUGAUGAUAAAUUAAUUGGGCGAUUUUCCUUCUCAAGAGAUCUGUGAUGUUGUUCUAUAAUGGAUUUUAAUGUUUUAGACUGAGAUUUGUAGUUAAUUAUGCCUCAAAUUAUUUGGUAUUUGGUUGGUGCGUGUGAACAAUACGUUCGGAAUGGAGUUGAAUUGACCCACUGAUAGAUAGCUUACAUUUGCAGCUGAAGUUGCUGCACUGAUGAUAUUACAACUAACAUAGUAGUUGGCAAAAUUCCUUAUUCAAUUUAAAUUUGCAAUCAACAGAAAUUGAAGAAGAAGCCGUAAGUCUAAUCCUAAUGGAUGCAUAGCUGUUUGGAGAAAAGCCAACGGAGACAUAACACAGCACGAUAAGUUAUACACGGCAGAACCGUAUGUGCUAGUAAGCACAGUCACCGAUGGAAAACAUAUUUGAAAAGCCAAUAGUAGCAUGUGUCAAUACAUCUAUCAAUGAAAUAGAACCACAGUCUGCACCAGUACGAGUUUAUCCAAAGUGCUGCAAAUAAACCCAAAGUUACUGACACAUAGGAUGCUCCAAAACUCCAUCUUAAUGCCACCAUAUCAAUCACAGAAUCGCCUUCAUCUCCUCCUCCUCCUCCUCCUGUAGGGGUCGCUGGUGGUGCCAACGCACUGCUGCAUUUCCUCUUUAUCAUUGAGCCACAAAGAGCCGAAUUACCUUUAUAACUGCUGUCAUCAAAGGUGGCAAACUGCUCUUUGUCUGGGAUUGGGCCGGACAAAUUGUUGUAUGACACGUUAAAAUUUGACAAAAAAUUGAGCUCAGUUAGUUGAGGAGGAAUUCGGCCACUUAAUUUGUUGCGGGAAAGGUCCAGGCUCUCUAUCAUUUUCAGAUUGGAGAAGGUCUCUGGUAUAGCACCUGAUAGUAAAUUAUUCGACAGAUUAAGUGCACGAAUAUGUUGAAGAUGCCCAAUUUCCCAUGGAAUUUCUCCACUGAAUUCAUUGCUCGACAAAUCCAGUCCAGCCAUGUCGACGAGAUUGCUACCGAUGAAAAAUUCAUAUCUAUACUUUGUCACAAAUUCUACACCUACUUGUUGAUCUUGUCCACCAUGUAGUUCAUCUGGCAACUGCAGAUCAAGAGUGGAAUUGUAGUAAGUAUAAGUGAAAUCACGAUUUGACCCAGCAAAUCCGUAUCCAUAUGGAUAAUCAUCAAUCGCUUCUCUCCAGAAUGACACGUUACCCAGGCAUGAAGGUAUCGGCCCAUUAAGUCUGUUAUGUGAAAGAUCCAUGAUACGUAAUUUUCUUGAUUGGCACAACUGAUUAGGAAUACGUCCUUGUAGAUAAUUCCCUCUCAAAAGAAGAACAUGCAAAUUCGAAAGCUCAUUGAUCUGAUGAGGAAUCCUACCACAAAAUUUAUUGUCCCUCAAAUCGAGAGUCAAUAAUGUAGAGCUUCUAAGCAAUGCAAUUGGAAUUAACCCAUUAAUUGCAUUGUUAUGCAGAAAAAUGUGCUGCACUGAUGAAAGAUUGGAGAGAGAUACCAUGGACCCAGACAAACUAUUUUCGGAUAUGUCUAUAAACUCAAGACUUUCAAGAUUGCCGAGCUGGACCGGAAUACUACCUUGAAAAUAAUUUUCUGACAUUAAAAGAAGCCAAAGGCUUGAGAAGUUGCCAAUCCAGUGGGGAAUAUCGCCGGAUAACUUGUUGUUGGAUACAUUUAAUACCUCUAGCCAAGUGGAGCUCAACAAACCAUCUGUCAUCUUCCCACUGAAAUGAUUGUUGUCCAAAAGUAAGGAACGCAAAUGAGUCAAGUUCAUAUAAUUGGGAAAAAGUUGGCCAUAGAAAUUGUUAUUUGAUAGGUCCAACAUUUCUAAGGAGAGGCAACUAGAGAAUAUAGAUCGAGGUAAUUCUCCUGAAAAAUUAUUUUCAGACAAAUCCAAAGUAAUUAGCUCUUUCAUCUCACUGAUUGAAUGCGGAAUAUUACCUUCAAAACUAUUUUUUGACAUAUCCAAAUAUAUCAAUUUCUGAAAGACAAUACCCAAAUUCUCUGGUAGCUUACCAGAGAAAUUGUUAGUGGAAAUAUCUAGAUGACGAAGCUUGUCGUAUUUGGCAUUGGGAAGUCGCGGAAGAAUUCCCGAGAAUGAGUUAUUCCACAAAAUCAAAAUUUCUAAUCCUGUGUUGUUUUGCAACAACCAAGUUGGGAAAUUGCCAACCAACUCAUUGUGAGAGAGAUCAAGGAAUUUUAAGUGGUGUUGGUGUAAAAGAAAACUACUAUUGACAUUUAAGUGGCAGUGAGAUAAUUGGAGAACCUUGAGAGGAUAUGUGGGGAGCCAAUUUUCGGUUUUCACUUGCAACAUAUCGUUUCCUGACGAGAGUCGCAAGACCUCAAGCUUUGAAUGAUUAGCCAAUGAAUUUAUUGAGAAUGUUCCUUGGAAAUCGAUGAAAGAGAGAUCCAAAUAUUCAAGUGAUGUGAGGUUGGUCAAGGCAGAAGGAAAGUUUCCACUUAACUGAUUGUAAGAAAUAUCAAGAACUUUGAGAUGGGUCAAGUUGUUGAGGCACUGAGGAAGGUGAACCACAAAAUUAUUUGACUUUAAAUCCAACUCAAGAAGAUUCUUCAAAUUACAUAUUCCUGAAAGUGAAAAUAAAAAGCUCAGAUUUCAUAAAACGAAAACUAAUUAUAGUGCAUUCAAUCAUAAACCCAAUAUAAGACUUAUAAAACGGACAUGAAAUCAAAUUGUCUAAGUAUUUUGGUCAACAUAAAUAAUAAUAGAAUGAUAUGAAUUUAUUUCUCAUAUAAUAUGAUGUUGAUUGCAAAAGCAUUUCAAUUAAUCUAACAAUAAAAUAAUAAUAAUAAUAAUAUAAAAGCAGUCAGCAAUUCUUGCUCAUCAUAAUCCAUUCAAAAAGUGUUUCAGCAAUUCUCGUUGUUUAAAAUAAUGAUUUUCUGUGGAAGAGUUUGUUGACUUCGUCUUUUUCGUUGGAUAUUGGUUUUCUAAUCUCUAAAUUUGUUGGAUAAUGUAAAGAGAAACUCAUAAUAUAUUAGUUGUUUUCAUAAACUUUAUUUAUUCUUCUCAUAGCAUUAAACAAAAGUAUUUGCCCAAGCGGGGAAAAAAAAAACUGGUCUUCAUAUUUAAUUUCGUCGAAGUACUUCGACCAACAAGUCACUGGGAAGUAGGAAUUGUGUAUCAGUAAUGCAAAUAUUGGGUACGUUGGCAUUGUUUUUAAAUGCUGUUUUUUAUUUUUUGAAUUUAGAAAAUAUUAGAUACCUGUUCGGUAGAUUGUUUCUGAAAUUUUAAAAAAAAUAUAAAAUUCAUUCUACACAUUUUAACAAAAGAAAUGAGAAACAACUUUUUCUUAUUUUCCUUAUUUCCUAAUACAAGAUUAAGUUCCAAAAUGAAGAAUUCUCUUUACCUCCUCUUGAAAUAAUAAUAAUAAUAUCAACAUUAUUAUUAUUAUUAUCAUUAGGUCUAAUUAUCCUUGGGUGACACAUGUUUUAAUAAAUUUCAAAAAGAUGACACAUGUUUUGAAAAUACUCGAGUGGGUGACAUUGCAUUAACUUUUACUGUUAAUUUUAACCAGUUGAGAGUAGAAUUGGAAAAAAUAGACUUUUUUUUUUUUCAUAAAGCCAAAGAGACGAAAAUUUUGAAUUUAUACAAUACUUUAUAAUUCAUAAGAUUUUUGCUUCUUUAUAUGCACAAAUCAGUUUGAUUCAACAAGAUUUUUUUUUUAAAAAAUUUGAUUUAACAAAAAAAACCUGUUAAUUAGACUUAGGUUUAAUUUUUCUAUUUAAAAAAUUAAAAAUGAGUGAGUAUGGGCAGAAACAUCAUUUUGUGGGGUAGAAAUGUCAUUUAAUUUAUUAUUCUCAUUAAAAUUAAUGGCAAAAGUUAAUAGAAUGUCACUCGCUCCAAUAUUUUUAAAAAAUGUGUCAUCUUCUUAAAAUUUGUUAAAACAUAUGUCACCUAGAGAUUAUCAUUGUUGUUGUUGUUGUUGUUGUUGUUGUUGUUGUUGUUGUACCCAAAGAAUCAUUUUCCUUCACAAAAAUCUUUUCUUUUUAUAUACAUUAUAAUAUUUAUGUUUUUAUAUAUUAACUAAAUCAAAUAUGUAGGGUUUAUCAUUUUUCUUUGAACAAAAAAAUAGAAAGAUCACCUAAUUUAUUCUUAAAAUUAAAAUAAUCAAUAUACAUUGCUUAAUCUUAAGUUUAUGGAAAUUAUUCCAAUAAUAAUUCUUUGAGAUAUUCUUACCAAACAUAUUUUUUUUUCUCAUUUUUUAGAUUAUUUUUUAAAAUGAUACUGAACACAUUUUUAAAUUUUAAAAAUAAAUUUAAAAAUAGCAUUUGCAUUUUUACUUUGUCAAAACAACAAUUAGAAAACAAUAUUGGGCUCUUAUUUAUCAUGUUUCAACAUAAAAACACAGUGUAAAAUGUUUAAUAUGGGUUUCUAGAGAAUUUUUUAUGUUACUAUUACACAAAUUCAAUGCUUCCAAGUUUUUGAAUUUAGCUAAUCUUGCAUCAAGAAUUAAUGGACAUAAGAAAAAAAAAAUUUCAUUCAGAACUAUAAAUAUUGAAAUAAAGAUAAAUAUCAUUGUUGAUUUUUUUAUAAAAAAGAUUUAGAAUUAAGAGAGAGUGAAAGAAAUGAGUGGUUUAUGUCGGAAAUUGGUGAUAGAGUAUGUCAAGUACUAAACUUUGUAUAGAAAACAGUGCUUCUAAUUUAAAUUUGAUCUAGUUUAAAGCAAUUAAAAAAUGCAAAUAUAUCAUCAUCUUGAUUAACAUCUAAAACAAUUUUUGUCAUCGGAGGAAGUGAAUUGUUAUAUACCUUGAAUUGUAGUUAUCCCACAAUAACCAAGAUCCAAUAUUUUCAAGUUUGGCAAAUCUGCAAAUCCUACAUGCGCAGAUAAAAAUGUAAACAUUACAUUUAAAGGAAUUGUAUGUGAUCCGUGCGUUUGAUGAACAUUAAUUCUACAUUUAAUUUGCUUCUUAUCUUAGAUUCAGUGGCCUACCUAGCGUUGUCAGAUUUUGAUUACCGCUUAAAUCCAACACUUGCAGGUUUGUCAAAUUUGCUAAUCCUGUUAAAAAAAAAACACAUAAAUUUUGUCAAUAACAGUUAUGUCACUCUCGUCUAAAUUGUUUAAUUAAAAUAAUAUGGUAAAUAUUGAAUGAAAAUUAAUUGUGCACAUAGUUUUUUUUUUGUUUCUAUUGAUAUUUUAAUAUAUACCGUCACUUUUAGCAUUACCAAGAUUAAGAGUGUUUGAAUCAUAAUUUGUAAAUUAGUUUGCACAUUGACUAAACUUGAAAAUGUGAAAAAAACAAUUAAAAAAAUGGAAAUAUAUUAUCAUCUUGAUUAACAUCUAAAACAAAUUUUGUCAUUGGAGGAAGUGAGUUGUUAUAUACCUUGAAUUGUAGUUAUCCCACAAGAAUGAAGAUCCAAUGUUUUCAAGUUUGGCAAAUCUGCGAAUCCUACAUGCGCCGAUAAAAAAUGAAAAUAUUACAUUUAAAGGAAUUGUAUGUGAUCCGUGCGUUUGAUGAACAUUAAUUCUACAUUUAAUUUGCUUCUUAUCUUAGAUUCAGUGGCCUACCUAGCGUUGUCAGAUUUUGAUUACCGCUUAAAUCCAACACUUGCAAGUUUGUCAAAUUUGAUAAUCCUGUUAAAAAAAACACAUAAAUUUUUUCAACAACAGUUAUGGCACUCUCGUCUAAAUUGUUUAAUUAAAAUAAUAUGGUAAAUAUGAAAAUUAACUGUGCACAUUGUUAUUUUUUUGUUUCUAUUGAUAUUUUAAUAUAUACCGUCACUUUUAGCAUUACCAAGAUUUGGAGUGUUUGAAUCAUAAUUUGUAAAUUAGUUUGCACUUUGAGUAAACUUGAAAAUGUGAAAAAAGCAAUUAAAAAAAUGGAAAUAUAUUAUCAUCUUGAUUAACAUCUAAAACAAAUUUUGUCAUUGGAGGAAGUGAGUUAUUAUAUACCUUGAAUUGUAGUUAUCCCACAAGAAUGAAGAUCCAAUGUUUUCAAGUUUGGCAAAUCUGCGAAUCCUACAUGUGCCGAUAAAAAAUGAAAAUAUUACAUUUAAAGGAAUUGUAUGUGAUCUGUGGGUUUGAUGACCAUUAAUUCUACAUUUAAUUUGCUUCUUAUCUCAGAUUCAGUGGCUUACCUAGCGUUGUCAAAUUUUGAUUAUAGCUUAAAUCCAACACUUGCAGGUUUGUCAAAUUUGCCAAUCCUGCUAAAAAAAAAACAUAAAUUUUGUCAAUAACAGUUAUGUCACUCUCGUCUAAAUUGUUUAAUAAAAAUAAUAUGGUAAAUAUUGAAUGAAAAUUAACUGUGCACAUUGUUUUUUUUUUUGUUUCUAUUGAUAUUUUAAUAUAUACCGUCACUUUUAGCAUUACCAAGAUUUGGAGUGUUUGAAUCAUAAUUUGUAAAUUAGUUUGCACUUUGAGUAAACUUGAAAAUGUGAAAAAAGCAAUUAAAAAAAUGGAAAUAUAUUAUCAUCUUGAUUAACAUCUAAAACAAAUUUUGUCAUUGGAGGAAGUGAGUUGUUAUAUACCUUGAAUUGUAGUUAUCCCACAAGAAUGAAGAUCCAAUGUUUUCAAGUUUGGCAAAUCUGCGAAUCCUACUUGCGCCGAUAAAAAAUGAAAAUAUUACAUUUAAAGGAAUUGUAUGUGAUCCGUGCGUUUGAUGAACAUUAAUUCUACAUUUAAUUUGCUUCUUAUCUUAGAUUCAGUGGCCUACCUAACGUUGUCAGAUUUUGAUUACCGCUUAAAUCCAACACUUGCAGGUUUGUCAAAUUUGCUAAUCCUGUUAAAAAAAAACACAUAAAUUUUGUCAAUAAUAGUUAUGUCACUCUCGUCUAAAUUGUUUAAUUAAAAUAAUAUGGUAAAUAUUGAAUUAACUGUGCACAUUGUUAUUUUUUUGUUUCUAUUGAUAUUUUAAUAUAUACCGUCACUUUUAGCAUUACCAAGAUUUGGAGUGUUUGAAUCAUAAUUUGUAAAUUAGUUUGCACUUUGAGUAAACUUGAAAAUAUGAAAAAAACAAUAAAAAAAUGGAAAUAUAUUAUCAUCUUAAUUAACAUCUAAAACAAUUUUUGUCAUUGGAGGAAGUGAAUUGUUAUAUACCUUGAAUUGUAGUUAUCCCACAAUAACCAAGAUCCAAUAUUUUCAAGUUUGGCAAAUCUGCAAAUCCUACAUGCGCAGAUAAAAAUGUAAACAUUACAUUUAAAGGAAUUGUAUGUGAUCCGUGCGUUUGAUGAACAUUAAUUCUACAUUUAAUUUGCUUCUUAUCUUAGAUUCAGUGGCCUACCUAACGUUGUUAGAUUUUGAUUACCGUUUAAAUCCAACACUUGCAGGUUUGUCAAAUUUGCUAAUCCUGUUAAAAAAAGGUAAAUUUUGUCAAUAACAGUUAUGUCACUCUCGUCUAAAUUGUUUAAUAAAAAUAAUAUAGUAAAUAUUGAAUGAAAAUUAACUGUGCACAUUGUUAUUUUUUAUUUUUCUAUUGAUAUUUUAAUAUAUACCAUCACUUUUAGCAUUACCAAGAUUUGGAGUGUUUGAAUCAUAAUUUGUAAAUUAGUUUGAACUUUGAGUAAACUUGAAAAUGUGAAAAAAACAAUAAAAAAAUGGAAAUAUAUUAUCAUCUUAAUUAACAUCUAAAACAAUUUUUAUCAUUGGAGGAAGUGAAUUGUUAUAUACCUUGAAUUGUAGUUAUCCCACAAUAACGAAGAUCCAAUACUUUCAAGUUUGGCAAAUUUGCGAAUCCUACAUGCGCCGAUAAAAAAUGAAAAUAUUACAUUUAAAGGAAUUGUAUGUGAUCCGUGCAUUUGAUGAACAUUAAUUCUACAUUUAAUUUGCUUCUUAUCUUAGAUUUAGUGGCCUACCUAACGUUGUCAGAUUUUGAUUACCGCUUAAAUCCAACACUUGCAGGUUUGUCAAAUUUGCUAAUCCUGUUAAAAAAAAAACACAUAAAUUUUGUCAAUAACAGUUAUGUCACUCUCGUCUAAAUUGUUUAAUUAAAAUAAUAUGGUAAAUAUUGAAUGAAAAUUAACUGUGCACAUUGUUAUUUUUUGGUUUCUAUUGAUAUUUUAAUAUAUACCGUCACUUUUAGCAUUACCAAGAUUUGGAGUGUUUGAAUCAUAAUUUGUAAAUUAGUUUGCACUUUGAGUAAACUUGAAAAUGUGGAAAAAGCAAUUAAAAAAAUGGAAAUAUAUUAUCAUCUUGAUUAACAUCUAAAACAAUUUUUGUCAUUGGAGGAAGUGAAUUGUUAUAUACCUUGAAUUGUAGUUAUCCCACAAGAACCAAGAUCCAAUGUUUUUAAGUUUGGCAAAUCUGCGAAUCCUACAUGCGCCGAUAAAAAAUGAAAAUAUUACAUUUAAUGGCAUUGUAUGUGAUCCGCGCGUUUGAUGAACGUUAAUUUUACAUUUAAUUUGCUUCUUAUCUCAGAUUUAGUGGCCUACUUAGCGUUGUCAGAUUUUGAUUAUCGCUUAAAUCCAACACUUGCAGGUUUGUCAAAUUUGCUAAUCCUAUUAAAAAAAGGUAAAUUUUGUCAAUAACAGUUAUGUCACUCUCGUCUAAAUUGUUUAAUUAAAAUAAUAUAGUAAAUAUUGAAUGAAAAUUAACUGUGGACAUUGUUUAAUUAAAAAAUUAUCUUCUAAAGAACCGUGUAUAUAAUAAUUAGAACUGAAAUCCAACGCUUCCAAGUUUUUUAAUUUAGCUAAUAUUGCGCCAAGAAAGAAGAAAAAUCUUAGUAAUCAUCUUUGGGAAAAAAAAUAAAGAAUUAAGAAAUAAAUUUCAAAGUUAGAUUAAAUAAUUGUAGUAAUAAAGCUUAUGAUUUAGAUCUAAUUAAAUUGAUCAUAUACUCAAAAAUGGUUUUAUUUUUUUCUUUUGUUAAAAAAAUUUUACUAAGAAAUUAGAAAGCAAAUUUUUGUCGUGUACCAAUUGUAGUCAAGUUUGUCAAGUUUUCCAGUCAAAAAUUGGUUUUAAUUUGACAUUAUACAUGUGUAAAAAUUAAGGGCAUAAUAAUAUCACAAGGAAUUUGGGUAGUGACUUGUUGCCGUGUACCUUGAAUUGUAGUUAUUCCACAACCAGUAAGAUCCAAUUUUUUCAGGUUUGUCAAAUUUGCCAAUCCUACACCAACAAAAAGCAAACUAUUAUUUUUAAAAUUAUUGUUGAAAUUUGUGAUUAGUGUGCUAACUUGGUAAUUAUCUUAGUAGCCUACCUAGCCUUGUUAAAGAGCCACUAGUUAAAUUGUUGUUCCAGCUUAGAUCCAACACUUGCAAGUAUCUCAAAUUUGCUAAUCCUGCUCAGAAAACAUUAAUUUUGAUCAAGACAAUAUACAUAUAUAUUUUAAUUAAGAAAUUAAUUAAGUUGCCUGACAAGUAUAUCUGCUGGCCUGAAACGUAUAUGUAUAUACCUUGCCUGGUUCUGGAACCUUCAAUCUUAUUGUAAUGAAGAUUCAGAGUGGUAAGUGAAGUAAGUGUAUUCAAAUAUGGUAAUAUUCUGUCGUUGAAGAAAUUAUUUUCAAGAUUUAAGGUCUUCAGCUGCUUCAAACUCCCAAAGCUAUCGUAAGCUGCAAAUGAAUAUGAAGUGUUAUUAUUAAUUAGUCACUGACAAAAUAUUUAUGGACGAGAAAUAACUGUAUACAUAUAUACGGACCUCUCUUCUCAUAGAUGCCUGUAAACCAAUUCCGAAAUAAGUUGAGUCUUUGCAAUUCUUCAAAAGGAUGAAACAAUGACAUAUUCAGAAGCAAAGUCGGAGGUCCUUCAUAAACAAAAAAGGAGUUAAAAGGGUAGUUGAAUUUUGUCGUCUCAUUGAGUGAGAGUUGCAUCACGCGUCGUGUGGUGGCGUUGCACAUAACUCCCUCCCAAUCAUCACAACAAUCAGACGGCAUUCCAUCAUCCUCACCAACCCAUGAAGGAAGGAUUUUGUCAUCAUAUCCAAUAUCACUGACUGACAGGAAGAAGCUCUUGAUUUCCAACAGAGCAGUCCUCUCUGUUUCCAAGCAUGCUUUGUAUCCAUGAAUUUCAUUUAUCAAUACAAUAAUCCAAAUUAGUGACAUUAAUGAGAACUUAUUACAGGAAGUACUUUCCAUUGCAGAGCAACUUUUCAUUUGGUUAAAAUUCAAUGUGCAAUGAGCAACUUUCCGUUGCAGAGCAAUUUAUACUAAAAGUUUAUCGCAGGUCUUGCAAUUUGAUUGGAUGAAGACUUUUUUAAGACUUUCCAAUACAUCGCCAUCUUUGAAGACUUCUAAGCAUUCCAUGUUUUGCAACAUUCGACCAACGGGAAAAAGCACUUCAUUAAUACCCCGUGGAAAAUAUAGAUAAAGUGAUUGUAAACUAUAAAUUUUUCCAAUAGUUUGAUGGAGAUAAUCAUAACUAAUAAAAUAAAAGUUGACUGAGAGAAUUUAAAUAAUUUAACCGUUUGUUUGGAUUUCCAUUGCAUUAUCAGUCAAUCUAUUAAAUAAUGUGUUUUGAGAAGAAUUUGAUUGGAUGUUUGAUAAGUUUAAAUUAAUUUAUUAGAAAAUCAAUAAUUAAUCAAAGUAAAUCUUCAUCUAUGUUUAGUUACUGUGGCGUAGUCUGAAAUGAAAAAACACAUAAAUGUUAUUUGAAGCUCUUGUGACACUUUUAUUGGAUAAAAUGUUAAAUAGUUAAGUCAGAUGGACUAAAUCAUAAAACACAUACAGUACUUUGAAUCAAAGCUACUAAAAUCAAAGAUAUUGGGAAUCCUUAAUAAGGAAAGUUUCCAUUGCUCUCAGUCUGCACUCUUCAUUACUAUUGCAAUCACUUGAAAUGACUAAAACAGAAAUUUCGUAUGAACUUGGGACAGCGGUACGGGUCCAAUUUAAAUGACAACUACGUGGAAAAUAAAAAUUUUGCAUCUUUUAUUACAACUACGUGGAAAAUUAAAGUUGACUGACUUUCAAAUUAAGCCAACAAACAAGUGGCAAUCAAUUCUUUUUCCACUAACAAUUAGUGGCGACGGUCAAUACUAUAAAAUAAAAGUUGACUAAGAAUUUAUGUAAUUUAAGAUCCAGAGGUCUAUAAGGUGUCGAUUGUAUGAUUGGGUUUGCACUGAAUUAUCAAAAAAUCUAUUCAAGGAUUUAUAUUCUAAAAUAUUUAGUGAGUUUAGAAAAUUAUUUUAUUAGAUUUUUGUUAAUUUUUUAUUAUUAGAUGGCCAACAAUUAAUCAAGUAAUUUUCCAUAUAUAUUUGAUAAUUUACUCAUAAAAGCGUGGACUACAUUCAAAUGACAUUUUAUAUGAUGUAUGAUAUAUGUAGAGGUGAAAUUUAAAUAGGCUUAAUUUUAUAAAUAAAUACAUAUGUAUUGCAGCAUUCAAUCAUUGUGUUAAAGCGCCAAUCACGGUGACCCCCAAAGCCUGUGAAUGAUUAGUCCAUCAAAACCCAAUGUAUGCUCAAUUAAUAUUUCCUAUCAAGAUCAAAAUUUUUGCUCUAUGGCUUCACCAAUCAUGAGAAUAAAAGCUCGAUUUAUACAAAAAUUACGAAUUUAUGAAACAAAAAGUCACAAUUAUUAUAAUUGGAAGUUUGAUUGAUUUUUAAAGAUUGAUUCAAUCAAUCUUAAUGUUACUGGACAAUCGAUCUUAAUAUUAAUUCAAAAUCAAUCUUUAUAGCGAUUGGCACAGAUAAAGAUAAUUAGUUUUGGUCUCUAUAAUGACUGACGAAGACUUGUAGGACCUGGACCAAUGAGGAAAAACACUUCAUUAAUACUCCAUGGAAAAUAAAUGCUGACUGACUUUCAAAUUAAGCCAACAUACAAAUGAUCGUCAAUUCUAUUUUUUACAAAAAUUGAUGGAGAUAGUCAACUAAUAAAAUAAAAGUUGAUUGAUAUAAUUUAAAGAAUUUAGGCGUAAGUUUGGGUUUUAAAUUAUCAAAUAAUUUAUUCCACUAUUGAUACAUAAAAAAGUGCUUUGGAAUUAAUAAUUCAAUAGGAUGUUUGAUAUAUUGGAAUUUGUAAAAAUCAAUAAUCAACUAUUUUUUAUACAUGUUUAGAAAUUUAUCCGGUGUGUAUAAGGGCUUGUAUAUUUCACAAUAAACUGAGAUUCUUUUUUGGAAAGCCAAUAGAAACAUGAAUUAGUACAUCCAUCGAUUGACGUAUAAUUAUAGGACAAAACUACGUUACAGAAUCUGUAAGGUACAGACUGCAGCAUCAGCCGUUGGAUGUGGUUGGAUGUGGAGUGAGAAACUAAACAAAAGAAAAUCGGAUGGUGGGAUGACGGGAGAUGUUUGUUACAGAAUCUGUAACAUAGACAGGUCCAUAAUUAUAAUCAUAUAAUCAAACAUGAAUUAACCCGUGGGAUACGGAGGAUGUGUGUUAACGUUAACCAAUGGUCAAGCUUAUAAACACAAUCAAGCAAUCAUAUCAUCAAUCAAAGCCACAUUCAGCGCACGACUAGUAAAUAUCAUAAUUGAGUUUGAGGACCACAGCCGCACAGUGAAAGAAUUUGAAUGAAGGAAAAGUAAAAGAAAAUGAAAAGGAAAAGUAAACGAAAAUGAAAAGAAAAUGUUAAGCUGAUUCAUCAGUAACUCCAUAUGACAAUUGCACACAACUUUUGGAUGUUUUUAGCUUCCGUGUGAAUCAAAAUGAUUAACAGAGACUGUCCUGCGUGUCACGUGUAACUAAUGUUGGCGCCAUCUUGAGCUAAUUCUGUUAAGGCCUUCACUCCAUAGUCUUAAGAUCUCAGUGAACAAUAAAUUCUUCAGAUUCAUAUGGCAAAUGAAUUGCACAACAAGGCAUAAACCCCGCUUGAAAGCAACCGACUAUAAUUAAUACAUUUCAAUUGCUCAUAAAAGAAAGAUACAGUAAGCUAGUGGUAUUGUAGUAUAAACAAUACUCGUUUUUCUAUCUUGGUGGUUUCUUGAUAGUGUUCAAAUAUCAGAGCUCGAAGAAAGAUAGAGGAAAGCCAAAGAAAAAUAAGCUAAUUCAUUAUUGACAUCAUAUGAAGGAGGUUCAUCAUCAUCAAACCAUGAACUAAGAGUUUCAACUACUGUUUCAAAAAUUCCUUUCUAAAAUUACGAUAAAUUUAAUAGCUAAUAGAAAUAUUUCAUUAUAUAAAUCAAAUUUCAAACUUGUAAGAAAAAAUGUAAAAAUAUUGGUUUUCAAAUAUUUUUCUAUAUUUUUUUAAAAUUCAAAAUUAGAUAGAGUCAGUCAACCAAUAAAUCAUCAAGAAUUAUCCAUUGCGUCCCCAAUUUGAUCACCAUUCUUGAAAGCAUGGAAAAUUUCCAGUUUUUACAAGUCAAGCGUGGAGUGUACGUUUUUAUGUUAAAGAUGGUUGAGUGGUGAUCACGUUUUACUUUGCAGCCUGCCUAACCAAUUUCAAAGCGUGUUUCACGGAUGACUUAUUUUUAUGAAUUGGAAACUAGCACCAAUAGACUUUUCUCUGUAAAUAUAAAAAGUUCAAAUGAAUACUUUCAAUUAUUGUUUCAAAACUGUCUUUCUAAAAUUACGAUAAUUAUUUUCUAUUGAAUUGUAUGCUUGGAUUUGCAUGGAAUUAUCAAAUAAUUAAUCUAUGCAAGCAUUGAAUUGUAAAGACUAACGAAGACUUAUAAGGCUUGGACCAACGAGGAAAAGUGCUUCAUUAAUACUCCGUGGAAAACAAGCCAACUUGGAGCCGGUUGAUCGAGAUAGUCAACAGUUAUUUGAGAUAGUCAACUAAUAAAAUGAAAGUUAAUUGAGAUAAUUUAGCGUAAGUUUGGGUUUGAAAUAAUCAAAUAAUUUAUUCCUGUAUUGAGAAGAAUUGAAUUCCGUUAUUUUAUUGAGAAGAGAUCCGUCGCUCCCUCCCAAUCAUCACAGCAAUCAGACGACAUUCCUUCAUCAUCGUGAAAUCAUGAACUAAGAGCUUGGUCAUCUCAGCUUCCAAGCAAGCCUUGCAUCCAUGGAUUUCAUCCAAAACAACAAUCCAAAGUAGUGAGGUUAAUGAGAGCUUAAUGAAGGAAGUAUUUCCAUUGCAAAACAACUUUUUAUUUGGUUAAAGUCAAAUGUGAAUUACAUAUCUUUGACUGGUGAUAUAUAUACAUAUAUAUAUUCAGAGAUAUGAAGUACUCAAACCAAAAUAAAAAAAAAUAUAUAAUUAUUAUAAAAAAAUUGAUGAAUAAUAUAGUUCCAGGCAGUGCUAAAACCAUAAUGUACGCCAGUAUGACUUUAUCCAAAGUCACCGGCUACACCAAUAUCAUUGUGACAUAGGAAGCCAUGAGGAAAUUUAAGAAAGAUUUAUUAAACCAUAGUCUACGCCGGUAAGAGGAAAUUAGCAUUCAAUGAUCAGACACUUUCUGCAAUUUCAUUGACUUGUGACCAGGGAGUCCUCAUUCUACGACCCGGGGACAGGGGUCAUAAUUGAUAGAAAUUAACCAGUAGUCAAGCUUAUGAACACAAUCAAGGACCUUGAGUAUGUAACGUAGCAAAUGCGGAGCAUCCACGCGUUGCAGGGGAGAGGAAAAGUUGUUGGAACUUAGCUGAUACAAGACCAAUUUGCACUGAGCUGUUACAUACAGAGCCUGUAACUUAGUUUUGUCCCACAAUCAAGCAAUCAUAUCAUCAAUCAAGGCCACAGUCAAGGCACGACUAAUAAAUAUCAUAAUUUGGUUUGAGGACGACAGCCUUACAGCAAAAGAAUUUGAAUGAAGGAAAAGUAAAGGUAAAUGAAAAGGAAAACCGACUAAAGUUGUUAGAGUGCAAUUUAUGCACUAGUUUUGUAUUGUUUACUUCCCUUAAUAUUGAUGUUUUGCACUUAAUAAUAGUGAUUUACUUGUGUUUUAUUUUUAUAGGUGCAAUUCUAUUGAUUGGUGCUAAAAUUGAGCUACAAGAUGAUGUUUAAGGAUGAUUGUUCUCUUGGAGAAAUUAUGAGUGUCAAAAGAACUUUUUUGAUAAGGCGUGGGCGCGUGCUGUCAACUACGGACCUGCAGUUUUUAGUUUAACAUGUUUUGUAUUUUUAGUUAUUUUUGUAAUUACGAAUUUAAUAUUUCAGAUAUUAGUAUUUUAUUUUAAAAAGAACUCUAGGGGGGAUUGGAAAAAAGAAAGAAACCCUAGAUCUAAAUUUUUCUUUCUCUCUAUGAAGAACUAAACCUAUUUUUCUGGUUGAAGGUUAAUGAAGCUUUGAUUCAUCAUUACUAUGAGAUAUUUCUUAUGCUUUAAUUGUUUUAUUACUUUUUGGGUAUUUGUUUAUUCUCUGAAUUAUUUUCAUGAUUAUGUUUGUUAAUUAGAUAACUGACCACUAUUUAAUUAUCAACUUAAUCUAUUGUUAAUUAAAGGAUUCAUCGUAUGAAGAUUUUAAUGUUUGUGACAAAUAACAUAGCAGUGAGUUGUGUUAUGAGAAUGAACAAUCUAAUUUAAAUGAAGCAUCGUAUGCGUUUAUUGAUUAGGAUUUGGGUCUCUCUGGUUUUUCAGGUUGUCAAUUGAUUAAAUCCUAUGAUCGUAUCUAGGGUUGUCUAUUGAUUAGGGAAAUAACCAACGGUCGUACAUUGGUUAUCGACUAGUUAAGGAGAGAUUGGCUAUUAGAGGGUCUCAGUAGCUAUAACCAGUCUAUUCAUUAGUAGUAAUAAUUUAUAUUUGAAUCAAUGAUCAGUAGCCGAAUCAAGCUGAGUUAAUUCCUUCAACCAAAGCUUUCUCCAAUUUGAAUUACAACUUUAAUUUGCAUUCUUGUUAUUUUUAUUUGAUUUUUAUUAUUGUCAACAAAACCCCUAUUUUAUGUUUUACGUUUUAAAAGGAUUUAAAUAAUUACCGAUCUCUGUGGACACGACCCUGCUCAAUCACUAUACACAAUUUAUUUAGAAUAGGUAUUUAUUUUUGUUGGCUUUGACAACCAUCAAAAGCCAAAGAAAAAUAGGCUGAUUCAUCACUAACUCAAUAUGACAAUUGCAGAAAACUUUUGGAUGUUUUUAGCCUCCGAAAUUUCAACAUCAAUUAUAAAUUACAGAUAUGUGAAGGAAAACUUAGAAACCAAUUUUUAUUAACAAAGAAAAUGUUAAAAAAAUAAAAUAAAAGAUUGUGUGAAAAUGUUGAAAACUAAUUUCAACAUCAAGGCAUGUCACAUGCAACCAAUUCAUGUCACGCAUGUCACGCGUUUCUUUAUUUUGCCAUGUGAAUCAAAAUCAUUAACAGGGACGCCGCGCAUGUCACAUGCAACUAACUCAUAUUUGUAAGCACAUAUAUAUAAUAUAUUGCAGCAUUCAAUCAAGGAGUUAAAAGCGUCAAUCACGGUGACCACCAAAACCUGUGAAUGAGCAGUCCAUCAAAUGUUGAGGGUGGUGAAUUAAUAUUUCUUACUAGAAGAGCGAGUAUAAUAGUACAUGGACCUAGCUCAUUUAUAAAAAUUAGUUCAAGAGUUCGAAGGUUAUUUAAGUAUUAUAUACUUGAAUCAAUAUCAAUUUUUCACUCUAUUAAUUCAUCAAUCAUGAGCAUAAAAGCUCAAUAUAUGCAAAAAUUAAUUUUGUGAAAAAAAUGUUUCAAUCAUGAGUCAUUAUAAUUAGGAAUUUGAAUGAUUUUUAAAGUUUGAUUCAAUCAAUCUUUAUGUUAUUGGACAAUCGAUCUUGAUAUUGAUCGACAAUCAACCAUUAUAGUGAUUAGCACAUAUUAAGACAAUCAGUUCUAAUCUCUAUAAUGAUUAAAGAAGACUUGUAAGACUUAGAUCAAUGAGGAAAAAUGCUUUAUUAGUACUUUGUGUCUAUUAAGUAUAGUUUAUUUAAUAGUCAUAAGUGCUUAUUUAAUCUCAUAAUCUCUUAUCAAAAUUUUUGUUGUUUAAUUGUCUUUUUAGUAGAACUUUUGAAAAUUAAAUAAGAUAUUUUGUCUCUACUAACAAAAGAUAAAAAAUUUUAGGAGUAGAGAUUUAUUUUUUAAAAAAAUAUUAAAAUAUCUAAAAUAUCCUUUACUUUUGACAAUCUUAUUUCAUUAUUUUCAUGACAUAAUUUAAGAACUUGUUUAUUAAACUAAUUUUAUAGUUUUUAAUAAAAACUCUUCUUGACAAUCAAACAAAUAAAAUUUUUUGCGUAUAAGUUCUACUUAUAAAAGCUCUACUAACAAAACCUCUAUUUAAAUAAACUUUAUUUAAAAAGUUAUACCAAACCGAACCUUCGUGAAAAAAAAAUGUUAAUUGACUUUGAAAUUAAGCCAACAUACAAGUGGUCGCACGUCAAUUCUAUUUUUUUCCAAUAGAUGAUGGAGAUAGUCAACUAGUGAAAUAAAAGUUGAGAUAAUUUAAAGAAUUUAAGUGUAAUUUUGGGUUUGAAAUUAUCAAAUAAUUCCCAGUCUAAAGCUAGGUGGAAGUAAUAAACGUCUUGGAAAUCAAUAAUGUUAAGGAUCCUGAUAUUUGAGUCCCAACUUGAGUCCUAAUACUAUUUGUCCCUCAUUUAUUAGAUGAUGGAUUUCCUAAUUACUAAAAUUACUUAACUACAAUGUAAUAGAUGAAUGCCACAUUAAUUGGGACUUAAAUGUUGAGAUACCUAUCAUUGCUCCUUGAAAAUAUUAAACAAAAUAUUAGAAUUCUUUUUGGUCGUUUUAGGUGGUGUUUGCUUUUUUGUCUGCAAUCUGAAUAGAUCUGAAUCAGUUUGAAUUCUGAAUAGAGCUAAAUGUCUUAAUCUGAAUGAUAUGUUUGUUUUUUUAUCUGAAUCACUAAAAAUAAAUAUUAUGUUGUUUUUUAACUAAAAAAUGAAAAUUAAUAUUUUUUACAUUUAUGUCCUUACAAAUUGUAAAUGUUAGAUAAAUAAUAAACAUUUCAAAGAAUAUAAAUAAGAUAAUAAAUUAUCAUAACAUAAAUCAUAUUCAAUUGAAUACAACUCUUUAAUAUUCUAUAUUAUAUAUGUUAAUUAAUUUUAUUAUAGUUUAUGAAAUUAGUUAUAGUUUAUGAUGUUUUUGUAUAAAAAUAUUAAUAAAAAAUUAUGAAGAUAAAUAAUGCUAAUUUGAAGAAAAUAAAAAGAUAAAAAUAAUAAUAGUUUACCACCAUAUAUUAUCACAAGUUAUAUAGAGAUGAGUAAUAAUGCUAAUUAUUAAAUUUUAUUUAGGUAAAAAAUUAAUUAGUUAGAUAGGGAUAUUUUAGAGAACAUUUUUUAAUGAUAUCAUUCAGACUUUUUGUAUUAAGCAAAAGACUAAAAAAAUUAGCUUAAUAACUUAAUGAUUUAAUGGCUGAAAAUUUUCAUUAAAUUGAAAAAAAAACAAAUAGACUAAAUAACUUAACUAAUUAAAAUUAAGUCAAUUAAAUCAUUAAGUAAAAAAAAAAGGGGGUCCUUAGUCUACGUUUACACAAAUAUAGCAAAAUAAUGAAGAUUAUCUAUGUGCGGAUAUAUACGUGUGGUUAUCAUGAAAUGACCCGCCCUGAGUCUAAUCUCAUCAAAACUAGAUAGAUAAUAAUUUAAUUAGUGAGAAUUCUGCCGAAUUUAAGAGUUUCUUUUAUAAAUAUAAUACUUUCAAAAUAAUUUAAUAUACAACCAACUCUAAUGAUCAUCAUUCUCAACCAGAAUACUGAAAUUUUUACCCAAGAUAUCUCCAAGGUAUCAAAAGAUUAUAUUAUAACUAAUAUUAACAUACAUUGAUUUAUUCUUAAUUCCAAAAGAAUAAUAUAACAAAAUUAUACAAUCUCAAAACAAUAAGAUGAUUAGGAUGUUCUAACAAAAAUCAUCUAUAUCUUCUAACACAAUCACUUGGAUAAGACUCAAAAUAUAUUUACAGUUGUCGGGUCUAUCUCGUGUACCUGCAACUUUCUGUUGGGGGGAAGGGGAAGAAUACAAUAAAAAUGAAAUGAGAAUAAAACUCGAUGAGUUCAGUGUGUGGAUCGUAAUUUUUUGAAAAUAAACUUACUUUAAAAGAAAUAAUCAUAUCAUUUCCAAACACGAUUUCAUCAAACUAUAUGCAAGAAACCAUUAAUAAAUCAUUUAACAUUUAAAUUAGAUUACUAACCUUGAAGAGCAUAUAUAUAAAAUCGUAUGUAGUAACCGUCGAAAUCAUAUCACAAUAUCAUAUAAAAUACAUAAAUCUGAAAUCAUUACUAAACAAUUACCCAUGAGAAUAAUCUCGUUGUAUCCGAACCUCAACAGACAAGUAAUGACGUACUAUCUAGGUACUGUCACGCCUCGGAGCUACACAGAUAGACAAGGAAGUGUCAUCUCAUAUCUAGUCAUAUAGCUCAUCUUUUUAUGCAUAAUCUAGCCCCUAAAGGACAAAAGCAUCCAAGCACAAGGCCCAAAACCUCUGUGUGUACUCAGACAGGGCCCAAAAGUCUGUAUCUCAUCUAUAUAUGUAUCACUGUUAUCAUCAUAUCACAUGCAUAUUCUCCUAAAAGGCAAAAACACCCAAACACAUGGCCCAAAGUCUCUAUCUGUGUUCAGACAGGCCCCAAAGGCCUCAUCAUCUUUGUAUCACUGUAACCGGAGAAGGGUCAUAUCCAAUACUUUUACAAACAAUAGUUUACACACAUAUACAUAAACACAUAAUCACGUAUGAAAUCUCAUUUCCUUUUCAUUUAACAUACUUUGAAUCUAAUUCCUUUUCUUAAAAAUAUUACCAUGCAUAUAUUCAAAAUCAGCAAUAAAAUCAUCAAUCAUACACAUCUUUAAUAAUAAACACUAAUACGCAGAUAAAAUCCAUUUUUUUAAAAAAAAAAUAUCAGAGCCUUUAAAACUUAUUUCGUAAACAUACUUUACCAUAUUUUAAAAUCAUAAUAAACUAUAAAGAAAAUAGAUUUUGUAUAUUUCACUCACAGUAAUGAUAUUCAAACUCGGAUAUUGUCCUUACCUACGGACUGAUUCUCACUAUAAGAUCCACAUAUACAUAAACACAUAAUCACAUAUGAAAUCUCAUUUUCUUUUCAUUUAACAUACUUUGAAUCUAAUUCCUUUUCUUAAAAAUAUUACCAUGCAUAUAUUCAAAAUCAGCAAUAAAAUCAUCAAUCAUACACAUCUUUAAUAAUAAACACUAAUACGCAAAUAAAAUCCAUUUUUUUUAAAAAAAUCUCAGAGCCUUUAAAACUUAUUUCGUAAACAUAUUUUACCAUAUUUUAAAAUCAUAAUAAACUAUAAAGAAAAUAGAUUUUGUAUAUUUUACUCACAGUAAUGAUAUUCAAACUCGGAUAUUGUCCUUACCUACGGACUGAUUCUCGCUAUAAGAUCCACCUAAAUCAAGGAAAUGACAUAAUUCCAUAAAUCAAAAUUAGGACUAAAUUUAAGCAAUAAAUUCAAAACAAACAUUUAUCUAUAAUUUACAACUCCUUUGUCGGUAAAAUUACUAACACACUUUCGAGUCCGUGAAUCAUUAAAAUACUACAAAAUCAUAAAUCACCGAAUCACCCUCGUAAUUACAAUCAAUACUCAAUUUCAGAAAUUACAAAAUCACUCUCAAAAUGUGAAAUUACCGAAUUACCCUCGCCGGUUAACGGAGACCGGAAUUCAGUAAACGGCAGCCGGUAAGCUCGGGUCUGAUAUUUCCAAUCACGCUGAGUCUAAUAGUGCCGGCGGUGAGCUCCCACGCGCGACAACAGCGGCGGGUCGAGCUUCCCAAGCCGCAAACUUUCCGGCAGUCGUUCGCGGCCAAAACGGCUGUUUCCGGUAGCAGGGAUGGUCGAAAAAUGAUGAGCGUGAGCUGAGGAUCAAGAUUCAAGCGGUGGCGUCACCCAAAACCGGCGGAACCGACGGCGAGAAAGGGUGGGUUUUACAGCGGCUUAUCGAGCUUGAUUGCCAGCGUUUUGACUGUUACGCGGCAACGGUGAUGGCGGGGAUACAACGACCAGUCUUCAAGCUUCAGAUUGGUACCUUGAUCGGCCGGUGAGGUGGCCGGAAAGUGGAGAUAUGGCCGGAUCGGGUUCGUGGGUGUGGGUCGGGUUUCGGGUCGGUUUACAGCUCCACUCACUUUCUCACACGUGUGUAUGUGUUCCCCUGUUUCCAGCUUCUUCUUUUAUUUUUAUUUACUUUUUAACCGCCUCAUUUUUUUUUUUCCCGCACAUAUGUUACAUAUCAUGUGCGAAUAUAUGAGUCUUUCAAAAAGGGAACUCGCACUUUAUAAAAAGAGUAAUACUAUAAAUAAAAAAUUUGUUGAAAGAACUGAAUUUUUAUUUAUGAUUUGAAGAUUUUUAUUUAUUUGUUUUUUUUUUUUUUUUUUUUUGCCACAAGUCAGUGUGUCGAAAAGCAAAUUUUUUUUUUUUAAAUUAGUGAUAUAAAAAAAGGAUCAAACAUCAUACUUGAGAGAUUUUUUUUCCCAUAUUUGCCAUAUAAAUAUGCGGGUUAUAUUUGAGAAAUUCUAAAGAAAAAUAUACUGAAAAUAGUAAUAAUUGGUACUGAUACACUUCAACCUAAAAGGUUCAAUUUAUACAUGUGUUAGAAUUAAAAAAAAAAAUGAAAUGACAUGUUUAUAAUAAUUUGGGAACGAUUGAUUGACAAAGAUUGAUCAAUCAGUUUUUUUUCUUCCCUUUAAUCUACAAACAUUAAGACAAUUAAUCAUGUGUUGACUAUCAGCACGAUCAAUCAUAUGUUGAUUUUUAUUUAUAUCAAUUUUGUUUUGUUUCUUUGCUGCUUCUCUCAAAUUGGCGAGGAAAUAUUUUUUGAACUCCGAGUUUGUAUUAAGAUGUACACUCUUGAUUUUUUUUUCUUUUUUCUUACUCAAUUAAACCAGGAAGUCAUUCAUUUAAACCUAAUCACGGAAGGGAAAUCUUUUUUAUUUUUUCCACAUACUCUUUUUUUUUGGGGGGGGGGGGGGGGGGGGGGGCGCAUGAAAAACCAUUAACUCAUUCUUUUGAUCAAGGAACUUUUUUCAAUUAGAAAGUUGUUCCUUUGAUCUUUGAAAGUAAAGGAAAAUAAGCUGAUUCAUCACUAACUCACUAUGACAAUUGCACACAACUUUUGGAUGUUUUUAGCCUCUGAAAUUUCGCAUGAAUGAUAAAUUACAAAUAUGUUAAGGAAAACUUAGAAACCAAUUUUUGUUCUCAGAGAAAAUAAAAAUGGAGGAUUAACAUGGAUCAUAUUUGAUAACUGAUAUUCCUAGUGCAAGGCUGAACAUAAUUCUUUGGCGUGUGAAUUAAAACUCUGAAUUAAAAUGUUAACAGAGACAUCACGCGUCACAUGUAUCUAACUUUGGCGCCAACUUGGGUAGAAAAAAUUCUCUAGAUUCAUAUGAGAUACGACAGGUGUUAAGCAAAUAAAAGCAUCAAGUCGGCCAUGCUACUAUUUCCACCCCGGUAUGAAUCACCUCAGCCAAAUGGUACGAGCAGAACAGGGGGAACAUGAGCCGAUCAGAGACGAAUACUGACCAGAGGUAUAUACCGAGCCGAUACCCGUCCCCCAAAAAAGCGGAAACAAGAUCUCACAGGAUCACGGUAGUUGCGCUUUCCCAGAACCGUUGCGGGAGACGCGAGAUCCCACGUUUGCCCAUGAGGGGCUGCCACUACCCGAAAAAGGUGGGAUGGAGGGCAAACGGGAACGUGGGACAGCGGCUAUAAAAGAAGAAGAAAUCGAUGAAGAAAGGGAUAGAAAAAUUAAGAGAGGGAAAACGCUGCCAAAUUGCAAUCAGGCCUUUUUCUUACAAACUUCGAAACAAGUUAGAAACCUUUCUUGAAUCCAAAUUACACUGUUUUCCCGUAAACACCUUGUGCCAACUUAGGCAUCGGAGGGUUUACGCCGGCAAAACCACCGGCGUCUCUGAUCCGUUUUUGGUGAACGCAGGUCUAGUAAGAGAAAGGAGGGCGAUUCCAACCCCAGUGGUCCGAGCAACAGUUGUCAACACAAACGUUGGUGAAAGAAUCUGGUCGGUCAAAAGGCGAGCAGAUUUAAGCAUCAACAUUUUGGCGCCGUCUGUGGGGAGCUGAAUAAAAAGCUACCACCAAAUUAGUAAUUAUCGGAGAAGCAGCGAACGAUUGGAUAUGGAUGUGUCAAGAAAGGAUACUUUAAGGGAGGACAAUGAAACGGUGGAGACAAUCACUCUCCGGGAAAUUGCAAAUGAAGCCCAAGAGAGGAUGAUGCAAGAUAGACUGGAGCGGAUGGAGAAACAAAUGGAGACUCUCGCGGCCAUAUUGUUUGAGCUGAGGGAUAAGCGGAGAAGGGAUUGUUAAACCCCCGUGGGAAGAGAUGAAGUUGGAGCAGAACCCAGCCUCCGGAGGCGUAGAGUCGAGGAAAUCCCUCCGCCCGCAGACGAACCUAAUGGGGUGCAUCCCCACAGAAGUACUGGUUGGGUCCCAGGGGAACACGUGGAUGAAGGGAGAGACCAACCUCGCCCCGAACGGAUACUGGAAAUUAAUGGCCGAGGGGCCAGUGUUGAUGAAGGAGAGCUUAGACAGCGGUUGUAGAACGCCGAGCAGGAGCGAGACCAGAUAGCUGCACGUGAUCCUGAUCGUGCUAUAGAAUUGGAGGGGGAGGUGCGCAGAUUGGCGCAGGUGAUAGAGGAGAUACAAGGCAAGAGAAAGCCCCCGAGUUGGAGGAUAAUGCUAGAUGAAGAAUCUCCGUUAUCAACUGAGAUCAUGAGUACCAUAAUCCCAAGAGAUUUCCGCUUCCCCGACCUCAAAUACUCCGGGCGAAGUGACUCGCUGGUGCACAUUGAGUGUUUCAACGAAAUGACGGUGCAGGGUGUUCCUGUUGACACUAGAAGGACGAGCCCGAGAAUGGUACCGCAAGCUGCCCCGAGGAAGUAUAAAGGGGUAUGAGCAGAUGUGCCAGGAGUUGGCCGAGCAGUUCCGAGGGGCAGUGGCCUCAGAGGACGACAUGAUGGAACUGAUGGGGAUGAAACAGGAGGAGCAUGAAUCCCUUCGAGAUUUUGUAAAACGAUAUCACCGAGCCGUGCUGGAUCUGGGAGCUUUUAAUCACCCGCAGGCGUUGAGGGGAUUAAAAGAAGGUGUAAGAAUCGGCCGAUUGUGGUAUAACUUAAGAAGCCCUCUCGUACAGAAUUACUCGUCGGGGUAUGAGCAGGCGAGGCGAGAUAUAGAAAUCGAAGAGGAGAAAUCGGCAAGAAUUAAAAGUGAACAGCUGGAAGAGCUGAGGCGAAAGGAACGGAGAGCCCCGAAAGGGAGCGGGUCGGGAAAGCGAACUGGAGAAUCUUCAGUGAUGGGCGGAAUAUCAGCUCGGUCUCGCCCUUACCCUAUAGCUCCAAGAGCACAACAGUUCCAACACAGCCGGGCUCAACCUCCGCGCCCUCCGAUCGAAGAGCGGCAGCGAGAAUUCAGGCAGAUGGCUGCCCACCCUUAUCACAGCGCUCCCAAAGCGUUAAGUGCAACUAAUUACAGGUCUGGACGACCAGAGCAGCUACCGGCUAUACCAGCCCGAGGUGACAUCCAUGAUAGCCGAGCAGUUCAGUUGGUUGACCAGAGCGUGGCAUAUAGACAGUACACUCCAUUAAAAAUCGCCAUGGAGGAACUAUAUGAAAGGAUCGAGGGACGAGGUCUGCUGUAUACUCCGGCCCCUAUAACAAAAUCCGCUCACCGGCGUGAUAAGAGCAGGUUCUGCAAAUUCCACAACACUCACGGUCACACUAUCAGCCAAUGCCGUGACCUAAAGAUUCAGGUGGAGGAUUUGGUGAGGAACCAGUACUUGGAUGAGUAUGUAGAUGGAGUGUCCCCCGUCAUUGAAUCGCAAUAUGCACGGGAUGAAGGAGUUGAAAGGGGUUUGGAACGAGAACAACCGACCAUCCGGGUGAUAGCAGGAGGGCCAACAUUGGCCGGGGAUUCGAACAGAGCACGAAAGAACUAUGGGAGAUAUGCCAUGACUGGCAAAGAGGUGCUUCUCAAUUUGCCAGCAGCCAAGAGGGCAAAAGUGCGGCAAGUUCCCAUUAUGUGGACAGAGGACGACGAAGAGGGCAUUUUAUAUCCUCAUGAGGAUGCACUGGUGAUUAAAGCAUUGGUGGCUAGUACAGAAUUGCGGCGAAUACUGGUGGACACGGGCAGCUCAGUAGACAUUCUGUUUAAGUCGGCCCUAGAUGAUAUGGGGAUUUCAGACUUGAAGCUGGAGCGGACGAAUACAUCCUUGAAGGGAUUUGGAGGAGGACGGCUAACUCCCAUGGGGAUCAUCGAACUCCCAAUUACCGUGGGAUCAAAACCGUUUGAAAGAACGAUGAUGAUGGAUUUUAUCGUGGUAGAAGAAAGAAGUCCUUAUCAGAUGAUAUUGGGGAGACCGUUCAUGAGGAUAAGUCAAUGUGUAAUGUCCACGCAUUAUCUGGCGCUGAAGUACAGAAUAAAUGGAGUUGUUGGUGUAGUAAAAGGCGACCAGAGAAUGGCCAGGAGCUGAUAUGCUACAGUAGCCAAGGAAACGCUGCAGGUUACCUCUCUAGAUAACCGAGGGGAUUCAAAAAAUGGUCGCCAGGAACCUGUUGAGAAGCUGGAUGGGGGUUGUUGUAAGCAGGAGUGACCCGACCAGAGUGGUUAAAGUCGGAUCAGAAUUGGGCGAAGCAAUAAAAGGCGAGCUGGUGAAGUGUCUACAGUCCUAUGCAGACAUAUUUGCCUGGUCUCAUGAGGAUAUGCCAGGUAUUGAUCGCGCGGUAGCUUGUCACAAGCUGGCAGUCAAGAAAGGGGCAAGGCCGGUGAGGCAGAAAAUGAGGUGCUUCAACCAGGAAAGGUACGAGGCCAUAAAUGCCGAGGUGGAAAAGCUGCUGAAAGCAGGAUUUAUAAAGGAAGCCAAGUACCCAGAGUGGAUUUCCAAUGUAGUACUGGUAAAGAAGGCCAAUGGGAAGUAGAGAAUGUGUGUAAACUUCACGGACCUCAAUAAGGCAUGCCCGAAGGACAGCUUUCCCGUACAAAAAAUAUAUCAGUUGGUGGACUCAACCGCGGGUCAUAGUCUGCUCAGUUUCAUGGAUGCCUUUUCCGGAUACAACCAGAUACCCAUGGACGAGCAGGAUGAGGAAAGCACUACCUUUAUAACUAACAUGGGUUUGUUUUGUUACAGGGUGAUGCCCUUUGGCCUGAAAAAUGCAGGAGCUACCUAUCAAAUGCUAGUGAACAAGGUCUUCAAACCAUUGAUCGGUCACACUAUGGAAGUAUACGUGGACGAUAUGAUCACCAAGUCAAGAGAACCGAGAGAUCAUGUGAAACACUUGGAAGAGACCUUCGAUUUGCUGAUGAGGUAUGAAAUGAAGCUAAACCCGGAGAAAUGUGCAUUUGGGGUCAGCUCGGGCAAAUUUUUGGGAUACCUGGUGAGCCAUCGAGGAAUUGAGGCCAACCCGGAAAAGAUACGGGCGGUGAUAGAAAUGAGGUCCCCACGAACAGUUAAGGAGGUGCAGAGCCUUACGGGGAAAUUGGCAGCAUUGAACUGAUUCAUUUCGCGAGCCACUGAUAAGUGCCACCCUUUCUUCCAAAUCAUAAAGAAAGGGAAGAAGAUGGAAUGGACACUGGAAUGCGAGGAGGCAUUUGGACAGCUGAAUGAAUAUCUGGCCCGCGCCCCGUUACUAUCAACCUCGAGAGAGGGUGACCAGCUGCUUUUGUACUUGGCAAUCUCCAAGCGGGCUACCAGCUCGGUCUUAGUCAGGGAAGAAGAAGGGAAGCAACACCCGGUAUACUACACAAGCAAGGCCCUGGUAGACGUAGAAACCAGGUAUCCACUAAUGGAGAAGUGGGCGCUGGCUCUGAUAACGACAGCACGCAAACUCCGACCAUAUUUCCAAGCCCACCAGAUUAUUGUGAUGACUGACCAACCUCUUCGGCAAGUGCUUCAAAAACCAGAUGCGUCUGGUCGGUUAGUAAAAUGGUUCGUGGAGCUGAUCGAAUUUGACCUGUCUUACAGGCCCCGAGGAGCAAUCAAGGCCCAAGCCCUGGUAGAUUUUAUGGUUGACUGUGUUGAACCAGGGGAAGAGGUCCAAGGGGAACAACCAGCAUAACAGGAGGAUUCAAAGGGGAUAUGGCUGGUAAUGGUUGAUGGGUCACGUAGUGAACAGAGAUCCGGGGCAGGAGUUAUAAUACGAAGCCCAGAAGGUGUUGAGGUAUCAUAUGCUGUAAAGUUUGAAUUCCAGCUUACGAACAACCAAGCUGAAUAUGAGGCCUUCAUUACUGGGCUCGGUCUUGCACAUGCACUACGAGCAGAAAUGAUAGAAAUCCGAGCCGAUUCCCAGCUAGUAUGUAACCAGCUCAGCAAUCAAUUCCAAGUAAGGGAAGAGAAAUUGAGACUUUAUUUGAAAAAGGCGAAGCAGAUGGUUGAACUCUUCAAUGAGGUAGAAGUGAAGCAGAUAUCCCGGAAUGAAAAUUACCGAGCUGACAUGUUGGCUAGGAUGGCCACAACUGUAGAUCCUAAAUUACCUAAAUCAGUUCCACUAGAGGUGAGAACCUCGCCGAGUAUAGGAGAGGAAGUAGAGGUAAUGAGAGUAAGCACUGAAGAAUCCUGGAUGGACCCGAUUCUUGCAUACAUCCGCGAUGGCGUUUUACCAGAGGACAAAAGCCAAGCAAGAAAGCUAAAAUGCCGAGCAGCGAGGUACACACUACUCGAUGGGGUACUUUACCGCCGAGGAUUCGCUUUGCCCCUUUUGCGAUGUGUGGAUGAUGAGGAGGCAGAUUAUGUACUAAGGGAGAUUCAUGAAGGAAUUUGCGGCAAUCACUCGGGAGCAAGAACUUUAGCCUUCAAGGCACUCCGGCAAGGAUACUUCUGGGCAACCAUGCACCAGGAUGCAAAAAAGAUGGCAAAAAACUGUAAAACAUGCCAAAGCUUCUCUGAGGUUCUUGCACAACCCCCAGAAAAGUUGACCACAAUGACAUCCCCAUGGCCUUUUGCCCAAUGGGGAAUCGACCUAAUCGGUCCAUUACCUAAGGGUCGGGGAGCGGCAACACAUGCAAUUGUGGCAGUAGACUACUUCACCAAGUGGGUAGAGGUGGGAGUCCUCAGCCAAAUUACGGAGAGAAAGAUGACGGAUUUUAUUUAGAAGAAUAUCAUCUACAGAUACGGGAUCCCCUAUGCCAUCAUUACAGACAAUGGGAGACAGUUUGACAACAGCAACUUCAGGGAAUUUUGCCGAAAUUUGGGGGUGGACCUGAAGUUCUGCACCCCCGCACACCCCCAGGCAAACGGACAAGUGGAAGCAGCCAACAAAGUGAUAAAGAAGCUCUUGAAAACUAGAUUGGGAGAUAAGAAGGGAGUUUGGGUUGACGAGCUACCAGGGGUAUUGUGGGCUUACCGGACAACUCACAAAACUGCUACAGGGGAAACCCCGUUCGCUUUGGCUUUUGGUCAUGAGGUAGUAGUCCCAGCAGAAAUUGGAGUGGGGACACAUCGAACGGAAUAUUUCGCUGAGGAACAAAACGACGAACAGAUCUGCCUAAGCCUGGACCUACUUGAGGAGAAAAGGGAAGGGGCCUCACAGAAAGUGGCCCAGUGUCAACAAAGGGUCAUGCGUUAUUACAACAAGAAUGUACGCGUGAGGCAGUUCCGAGCAGGAGAUUGGGUACUUAGGAAGGUGAAUCAAAACACUAGGGAUCCCAACCAUGGUGCUCUUGGCCCAAAAUAGGAAGGCUCGUAUAGGGUAAUACGAGCGACGGGACCAGGAGCUUAUAAGUUAGCAUACCCAGAUGGACGAGACGUGAAGAGGCCGUGGAACGCCGAGCACUUAAAGAAGUAUUUCCAGUAAGCAAAGUACUCUACUAAAUCUUCAAUUUGAUAAGUUAUAUUUGUCAAAUGCAUGGUGGCUUGGUGCACAAGCAUAUAUUUUGUAUUUCUGUAACGCAUUCAAAUUUCAAUAAAGAUGAAUUCAGCAUGAAAUCCCUCGGCUAAUAAGCCCAUUAGAAAGUUCUGCUAAGGCAAGUCAAUGCCUUAUUCUGCUCGGUCAAUGAGAGACCAGCAGCUAAUUCUGCAAAAAAUCCGCUAAGGCAAGUAAGUGUCUGCUUCUGCUCGGUCAACGAGAGACCAGCAGCUAAUUCUGUAAAAAAUCCACUAAGGCAAGUAAGUGCCUGCUUCUGCUCGGUCAACGAGGGACCAGCAGCUAAUUCUGCAAAAAAUCCGCUAAGGCAAGUAAGUGCCUGCUUCUGCUCGGUCAACGAGAGACCAGCAGCUAAUUCUACAAAAAAUCUGCUAAGGCAAGUAAGUGCCUGCUUCUGCUCGGUCAACGAGAGACCAGUAGCUAAUUCUACAAAAAAUCUGCUAAGGCAAGUAAGCGUCUGCUUCUGCUCGGUCAACGAAAGACCAGCAGAUAAUUCUGUAAAAAAUCUGCUAAGGCAAGUAAGUGCCUGCUUCUGCUCGGUCAACAAGAGACCAGCAGUUAAAUCCACAAAAAAUCUGCUAAGGCAAGUAAGUGUCUGCUUCUGCUCGGUCAGAAAAAGACCAGCAGCUAAUCCUACGAAAAUUCUACUAAGGCAAGAAAAUGCCAGUUUCUGCUCGGUCAACGAAAGACCAGUAGGCAAUUUUACGAAAUUUCACCAAAGCAAGUAAGUGCCUGUUCCUGCUCGGUCAUCGAAAGACCAACAGAUGAUUCCAUGAAAUUCGACUAAGGCAAAUAAGUGCCUGCUCCUGCUCGGUCACCGAAGACCAGCAGGUAAUUUUGCGAAAAUUUUACUAAGGCAAACGGAUGCCUAUUCCUGCUCGAUGCACUAAAGAACCAACAGGCAAAAUCAGAUAAAUUGUCAAGUUAUUUUGCAGAAGCAACCCGUGAGCAAAACCAGACAAGAAAGCCAAUAGAGAGCAUUUAAAAAUUUAUAAACGUUCAAAUGUUUACAAAGCAACUGAAAAUCUAGAGUCUUUACAAAAAUAGACCUAAGGAUUAGGAGGGUCAACGGCCUCAAUAGGUGAAGGGUCAGCUAUCUCGGGAGGUGGAAGAUCAGCAAUACCGGGAGGAGGAGGCACGGACCCCUGUCCCACUUCAAAAACACGCUGCCCAGCUUCUCCCUCCUGCACUCCAUCCAAAGGAACCUCCACCUGCUCCUGCUCACCCUGCACCUUAUCUCCCUGGCCGGCCCCAGACAUAUAUCUCUCCACCCCAGCCUCCAGCUUGCUCAUGUCGAGCUCGGGGUAUUCUUCCUUGAGCACAAACAUGAUGCACUUAUAGCUUAAAGCAACCCCGGAGUCAUACUUGGCAUCCAGCCGAUCAUCCACAUCAGCGGAUUUGCCUUUCUCUUCAGCCAGCUGGUCACUCAGGGAUUUAAUCUCUCCCUCAAGGGCGGUCCUCAGAGUAUCUCUUUCACUUUGAGUAGCCUGAAGAUCGGACUUCAGAUCACCCAACUCGCCCUCAAGCUUGGAGGAAGUGGACUCAGCAACCGCAACUUUCUCCUCAAGCUCCAUAAGCUGCUUGUUCAGCUCGGCCAGUUUCUCCUUGGACCGAUCAGCAGAUUCGGCUUUCUUUUUCAACUCCUGGUUAUCAGCUUGAAGCUUCCUCUCAUGACGCGCGGACCCGGUCUUGUAGCACGAGACCAUUGUGGCCAGCCUGAAGGAGACUCUUUGAACAGAAGCAGCUAACUCGGAGAGGUUCAUGCUCUCAAUGUCCUUCACCAUCUUGGGCCCAACCGAUUUUUUAUAAUCCUUCUGAUAUGGGCUCAGGUAGUCACCUUGAUCCCGAGAUGGAAGAGGAGAAGAUCGGUCCCCAGACUGCAAGCUGACCUCAGGACUCUUGUCGGAGGUUUUCUCCCCACCACUCUUACGAGGUGGAGGAGGGGGCAGAGCAGGAACAGGCGCCUUGGAAGGACCGACGCUGGGUUUCUUUGGAGGAGGAGGAGGGUUGCUGGAGCUACUCGGAGCCCGACCACGCUUCCUGCUCAUCGCGCUGAGGAUCUUGUUAUCCAUUCCAGCGGCUAUGUCCACUAGGCCCGAACCGACCAGGUUUGUUGACGACAGGAGGUCUUGGCAGGUAGACGCGUUCACCAGAGCAGUUUCCACCUGAAGCAAAGGUCGAUCUUCAAGCCCCCCGAUCAAACCCCACGACUUUGAAAUAGCAAAAGAGGUUAAAGAACUCGAUAAGUGACAAUUUGAGAAAGAAUAUAGGCAAAAAAUGAACGACCUGGGGUGACAAACUCUGUUGGAAGGUAAAUAUCACCACCCAACGAACGGAGUGCUGAACACCACUUUCCCCCAGCAAAGAAGAAUUUGUUCUUCCAAUUUUUGCACGAGGAGGGGAAACCGGUGAUUGGCUUUCUCUUCGCAGAACUGGACAUGAAGUAGUACCAGCACGCCUCCCUUGGGCUGCUCCGCAGCUGAUACAGAUGUUUCACUUCAAUAAGGGAAGGCUCCUCCAACCCGCACCUCUCCCACAACACAAACAUUGCCGAGAGAACCCUCCACCCGUUCGGGUGUAGCUGACUUGGGGCCAGGUGCAUACCUCCCAAUAUCUUGGCAAAAUAAUGCUGAAGGGGCAGCCGAACUCCUAGUUUGAAACUCUCUAAGUGCAUCGUCACAUACCCCUGCGGAGGCCGACUAGGAACGUCACCCUUCCCAGGAACUACAAGGAGAACCUCCUCAGGAAUGUCGUAGAGGUUCCUAAGCUUGAAUAGGUCAGUUUGGGUGGUGGCACAGGCUAUGUAAUCAAUAGGGUAGGAAUCAGCCUCCACCCUAUGGCCAAGAUUCCUUUUCUUAGCAGGUCCACUCGGUCCGGAACUGCUCCCUUCACCAUCACCAACUCCUUCAGGGAUCCCAACCCCACCAAAGCUGUGGUUCUCACCAGAGCCCGACGCAGGUCCACCUCUAUUCCCUACAAGCUCUAGUUCGGGGGAGGGAGAGACAACCAAGGGGCGUGGGUACUCAAGGGUAUCCCUGCCAUGGGAAGGACCUACACUACUGGAGGGACCUAAGAAAUCGGUAGGUAUUGACACGUUGAGGCCUGAAUCCCCUAAUUCUUCAUCACCCUCAUCAACAAUUAACUUUCUUUUCCGGUUUGACAUAUCGAAUCCCAAAAGAAAACAAAGAAAACUCGAAUAUACGGAUACAAAAGGGGGCAACACGGAACCCAAUCAACAACAACCAGAGAAGAGAUUAAAAGCAGUACCUGAAAUGAACUGACCCUGAUAGCGCUGCCGUGACAGAGAAAAAACCAGCAAGUAGAAACUCUGGACGCAGGAAGUGUGAGUAAAGUUCAGAAAGGGGGUAGGUUAAUGACGGAGAGACGAGUAACAAAACGAUGACGAUGUAAGUCUAGGGAUUUGAAACGAAAAGGGGGAAAUGAAAGCAUUUAAGUGAUGGAGACGCUAGCUCACUCACCGUACAUCAAGGACAGAUAGCCCGUCGUUUCAAAUUUCAAAUACGAAGAGUCUGGAGAUGCCACGUCACCAACCGUUACAAGAGGCCAGGCUAGAUGCAAGCUCAUAUACGCAAUGGACAUGCUCAUUUAGGCCCAUGCUCAGGUCAAAAUCUCCCCUGAAGAAAAAUGAUACCUCAGGUCCGUCCCGGUAGACAGAAGACCAGAGGAGAAGCCCCCGGAUUGGUAAGAUUUGACUAUCAGUUUCUACUCUUGACUUAUUUCACUCACAAGACCAGAAACUGGGGGACUGGUGUUAAGCAAAUAAAAGCACCAGGUCGACCAUGCUACUAUUUUCACCCCGGCAUGAAUCACCUCAGCCAAAUGGUACGAGCAGAACAGGGGGAACAUGAGCCGAUCAGAGACGAAUACUGACCAGAGGUAUAUACCGAGCCGAUACCCGUCCCCCAAAAAAGCAGAAACACGAUCUCACAGGAUCACGGUAGUUGCGCUUUCCCAGAACCGUUGCGGGAGACGCGAGAUCCCACGUUUGCCCAUGAGGGGCUGCCACUACCCGAAAAAGGUGGGAUGGAGGGCAAACGGGAACGUGGGACAACGGCUAUAAAAGAAGAAGAAAUCGAUGAAGAAAUGGAUAGAAAAAUUAAGAGAGGGAAAACGCUGCCAAAUUGCAAUCAGGCCUUUUUCUUACAAACUUCGAAACAAGUUAGAAACCCUUCUUGAAUCCAAAUUACACUGUUUUCCUGUAAACACCUUGUGCUAACUUAGGCAUCGGAGGGUUUACGCCGGCAAAACCACCGGCGUCUCUGAUCCGUUUUUGGUGAACGCAAGUCUAGUAAGAGAAAGGAGGGCGAUUCCAACCCCAGUGGUCCGAGCAACAGUUGUCAACACAAACGUUGGUGAAAGAAUCUGGUCGGUCAAAAGGCGAGCAGAUUUAAGCAUCAACAACAGGGAUACAGUAAACUAUGGCCUAGCACGAUCACAGAUGAAUUUGGUUUAAAGUACACUCUGCUGGCUGCAUCUAGUUUCGUAUUGAACCGACCCGCUCCAAACUUAAAGCACAAGUCUGAUAAGUUUAAUCUAACGUGACUAGAUAAAAUUAUUAAUACGAAUCUUGUUGAAAUUUCGGCAGAAUCUCUCUAUAUUUGUGACAUUUCCAACCUACAAAAUUUCCCUAUAUUAAACUAAUUUCAUUAAUUAAUCUCCCCAAACAUAAUACCACACAGCAUAGUAAAUAAUAUGGUUAAAUGAUCUCAUUCAAAUGUCACCCAAUUUUUCUAAUAGUAUAAAAAAGGUUAUAUUGUAGCUAAUGCCGGUACACAUUAAACAUUCAUAAUCAUCAAAUGAUAAUAUAAUAAUACAAUCCAAUAUUAGAUAAUCAAAUGUCCUCAUAAUUUAUCUAUGUCUUCUAACACUAUCACUUGGCCAAAAUCAAAAUAACUACAAUAACUGAGUCCAUUGGUGUACUUACAAUCUCCUAUGGGGGAAAAAUUUAGUAAAACAGAGUAAAUAUAAAACUCAAUGAGUGGAUAUUGAGUUUUAAAAAUAAGAUUACUUUAAAAUAAUUAUAUCAUUACAGCAUGCAAUUCCAUUAAACUAUAUGUAAAAAUAUAAGUACAAUUUUUAAACUUUAAGUCAAGUAAUUAGCUAGUAUUAAAAAGGAAUACAUGAUGUUCAUAAUAAUCAUAAAAAUCAUAUUAAGAAAGAACAUAUAUACAUGAUUUUAAAAUUAUCACUAAACAAGUACCCAGGGGAAUAAUCUUGUCAUACCCUCAUACAGGCGGUGUAAUGAUGCACUGGAUAAGGACGACAAAAUUCGGGUUCGGGCCUGGGUUUGUCUGUUCCAGUUCCGGAUCUAGAUAUAAAACUAGAUAGUUUAUCUCUAGAUUCGGUAUGGGUUUAUCCGAGUUCCGGGAUUGUGGAUUUCAAAACUUAGAUACCUUUAUGAAUUUUUUCUUUUUUAAGUUCUCCAAUAGGGCAUGGAUACAAUGGGGAAAAAACAAACACCUACAUAGCAAUUUCACCUAGAAAAGUAGAAGAAAUACUAGAAUGUGAACUGCAACUUAAAUCCAACCACACAACAAAUAAGCAAUGAAAAAAACACAAGCUAAAAACAUUACAAACACAGAUUAUCUCCCUCAUCACCAUCUUCAACCUCACUAGACUCAGUACCAGCCUCCCCAUAAUCCUUCUCCAAAGUCGCAAGAUCCUCACGGGCUUCAAAGAACUCACCUUCCUUUAUGCCUUCUUAGCAUACAUCAAAUCAAAUUUGUGGUCAAUGCGAGAAAACACCUUAGCAACACUAGUUAAGUUCGAUAUCAUGCACAUAGCCCUCUACACCUUCGCAAGAUCACCACCUAGAACAACAGUUGGAGGCUGGUAAUUGAUACCACAUUUGAAUCCAAUUUAUCAUCAGUCAAUAAAUUGAAUGGUAGCUGAUGAUGAUAAUGAUCAACACAGGCGUGAAGGCUAAGCGAUGAUGAUGAAAUAGGUAAUUGUUGGCGCUCUGUGUUAGAUUGAUAACGAGAAGAGGAAAAUGAUUGGCGGCUAUGUUGAGGAGAAGUUAUAAAGUGUAAAACUAGGGUUUCCUGUCAUUACCCAACCCAGACCUGGCAAGAUAUUGUUCGCUUUAGGCUUUAACAAGGCCCGCACAAAUUUGUUCUUGGGGUGUCCAUACACCCCAAAACGCGUCUUGCCAAUUAAGGUGUAGAUCACCUCUUAUAUACCCAACAUCUCUCUCGUGCUUUGCCGAUGUGGGAUUCGCCUAGGGUGUUACAUACACCCCCCUUGGGGACUCAGCGUCCUCAUUGAGGUUUGCCCCACCACCGCUCAAGAGGACAUGCGGAGAUGCUUUGAUACCAUAAUGUCAUGAACCAACCCAGACCUGGCAAGAUAUUGUCCGCUUUGGGCCUUAACAAGGCCCGUACAGAUUUGCUCUUGGGGUGUCCAUACACCCCAAAAUGCGUCUUGCCAAUUAAGGUGUAGAUCACCUUUUAUAUACCCAGCAUCUCUUCCGUACUUUGCCGAUGUGGGAUUCGUCGAGGGUGUUACAUACACUCCCCUUGGAGACUCAGCGUCCUCGUUGAGGUUUGUCCCACCAUCGCUCAAGAGGACAUGCAGAGAUGCUUUGAUACCAUAAUGUCAUGAACCAAACCCAGACCUGGCAAGAUAUUGUCUGCUUUGGACCUUAACAAGGCAUGCACGGAUUUGUUCUUGGGGGGCCCAAACACCCCAAAAUGCAUAUUGCCAAUUAAGGUGUAGAUCACCCCUUAUAUACCCAGUAUCUCUCCCGUGCUUUGCCGAUGUGAGAUUUGCCUAGGGUGUUACAUAUACCCCCUUGGGGACUCAGCGUCCUCGCUGAGGUUUGCUCCACCAUCACUCAAGAGGACACACGGAGCCGCUCUGAUACCAUAAUGUCAUGACCCAACCCAGACCUAACAAGAUAUUGCCUGCUUUGGGCCUUAACAAGACCCGCACGGAUUUGUUCUUUAAUGCGUCUUGUCAAUUAAGGUGUAGAUCAUCCCUUAUAUACCCAGUAUUUCUCUCGUGCUUUUCCGAUGUGAGAUUCGCCUAGGGUGUUACAUUUCCUCGUUCAUUUUUUAUUCUUUUAAUUUUUUGCUUUUCUAUUUAUGUUAAAAAUUUUUUAAAAUGUAAUAUUAAGAAUAAGGAUAUCCAGGUUUGGGUUUCAGAUAUGCAAGUUGACUCAAUACUAGACCUGGACCUGGAUACAUCAAGGUUCAUGAUAUUGUUGUUGGAUUCCGGAUGUUAUUUGUAUUCGGUACGGGUUGAACCUAGUCCAGAUUAUUUGGGUUCAUUCGGGUCCUGUCUGGGUAUGAGUUAUUUUGCCGUCCCUAGUAUUGGAAGUGUACUAUCGUGCUCAGAGUUACAACAGCAGACCUCGCUAUCUCAUGUAUCUCAGUGUAUCUCACUAUAUCGCAUGCGUAAAAUAGCCUCCAAAAGGCAAAAGCAGCCAAGCACACAACCCAAAGCCUUGUGUGUGCUCAAAUAGGCCCCAAAGACUUAUAUCUCAACUGUAUCUUUGUAAUUGAAUAUUUAUAACUAAAAUUAUAUCUCUAUGCUUAUCUGUGUAUUUGAAGAAAAGGGUAUUGUCUAAUGAUUUUGAAGACAAACUUUUAUAUACAUAUGCAUAAACAUAAAUUUUAAGCAUACUUUGAAUAUAUAUUCCUUUUCAUUAAAAUACUCUCAUAUGUUUAUAAUCAAAAUAAAGAAAGAAAAUCACUUAUCAUAUCGUUUACAAGACACAUCAAUAUGUAAAUAUAAUCCAUCUCUAGAAAACUUAAUCAAAGUAUCAAACAUUACUUAUAAAUAUACUUUAAUUUACUAAAAUUAGAAUCCUAAGAAAAAUGUUAAAUAAAAGUUUGUACUUUCGACUAACAACGAUGAUGGUCAAACUCAGCUAUUAUCAAUAUCUGGGAGUUGACUCAUGUUCUCACAACUAAUUUUAUGCGAUAGACUUGCAAUGAACAUUUACCCCAUAGCUUUUAACUCUGGAUUCCAUUACUUGUAAGUUAAAAAUUACUUUAAUACCUUCAAAACCAUCAAUUACACAUUUUCAACAUUCUUUUCUCUCUUAAUCUGGUCAAUUAUUUUAAUUCACUCGUUUCUUGUUAAAGCGGAUGUAACAUUCUCGCGUACUUUGUUCAAAACUAGCAAGACAUACUAUAGUAACUCAUUUGAAUAAUGAGCUAGAAAUCAAAGUGAAACUUGAAGGAGAUAAUCCAACAUGCGGGCUCUAAAAAUAAUUUGUGGUGUGUUGGAAGUUUGAAUUUAUAGAUUUAAAGCUCAGUCCAAAGAGUUAUCAAUAUUAAGUAUAAUCUGAAAAUCGAUAAUAUAUCUAUUUUGACUAGUAAUUGAAUUAAUGAAUGUAUCCUUAUCUAUAUUUCAAAAGUGGAUUAUAAAGAGGCUAGAUGAGCAUUGUUGAGAACUGCAGGCCGCAGGCCACGAUAAGAGACUGAUCGCUCAAUGCUUCUUUAUAAAAACUUUUUCUAUUCAUGAAAAACGUUUCUGAAAACGUCUAGCCGAAAGUUAAAAGGAUUUCCAUUUUGCUAUUUUUCGUUUUCAGAAACAGAAAACACUUAUAAAGCCAAAUUUCAUGGUAACUUAAGAUGUCACAUAAUUUGCAUAUGAUGUCAGCUUGAUUAAAAAUUAAUCUUAUUUUUUCCCCUAAUAAAGGUAAAGGGAUGAGUAAAGCGGAAGUUUAUUUUUUAACCCCUUUUCUCAAAUAAAACCUCGGACGACCAACCAAAAAAAAAAAAGACUGUUUGAAAAUCACUUGACGAUGCCCUUGGGGGCAAAAAGAAUAAAUUGAGAAUUCACACUUGAUUGCGGAGGAAUUACUUCUGCCAUCUCAGCUGAAAACUUGUUUAUUUCCAUUGCAUCUGGGUGUUGCUUAAAUUUUUAUUGAAGGAGUCAAAUAUAUUUAUGGGGGUUUUGAUGUUUUCAUCACUUGACGUUCAAUGGCAACUGUUAUCUUACCUUAACAAGCAUUUGAUGAUUUUUCAGUAGCUUUCUUUACGCCAAUAUUUUACUCAGUUUUAACUUUAAGCCUUUAUUUUAUCAAAUUAAUUCACCAGUAGAUAACAUGUAUUUUUUGGCAAGAUUUUACAUUGCGAAAGAAAGAUAAGCCUCAAUUCACUUGUAACUUGUUAAAGCAGAUGCAUUAUAUUAGACAAAAAAGCACUUAGUGGUCUAACCUAUUGUAAAAUCUUGUAUUUAUUUACAUAAUUAUGGUCAUCAGUAUCUUUUGCUUCAUUCACUUCUCUUUUUCUUUAAUUAUCAAGGAAACGCGGUUUAAGUAGUUAUCAAAAUUAUGUUAAAUAUUUGUGAGUCUAGAGUGAGUCCCCACUAACAAAUGGGACUGAUGAUACGAAAUAGCGACCCUCAAAAUCCAACUGAGAUGCCGCAAUUUCCUUAUGCUACAAUGUUGACACUUGAUUCAGUUAAUAAUGAAAAUCUAUCACAAUGAUCACCGUCUUCUACAAUAAUUUUAAAGUAACACUUUGCUAUUUACUGAAGUAGGAUUGGCAUAUUUCACGAAAUUGAAAGCAAUUGGUCUUCGUGGUUGUGGAAUAACUACACUUCAAGGAAUUCCGCAACAAUCACCCCUUCCUACUUAAUUUCCUAGUCUUUUUGGCAAUAUUAUGGCCUUUUAUUUUUCGAUAUUUUUUUUAGUAAAUCAGCUUAAUUGAAUCUUAACUAAUCACUUUAUUAUAAUUUUUAAGUCUAAUUUUGAAUUCUCAUUCUUCAUUCUUUUGAUUCUCGAUGCAUAAUUGACUAAUUCUAACUUGAUCAAAUUUGAAUUAGAACCACUGCUUUCUUUAAUAAACUUUAGUCCUUGACAUACUCUAUCACUAUUUUCUAACAUAACCUGCUCAUUUCUUUCACUCUUUCUUUUUUUUUCUGAAUUUAAUUUUUUUAAAUCAGCAAUGAUAUCUAUCUUCAUUUCAUUACUUAUAGCUUUGAAUGAAAAACGAUUUUUUAAUAGCUCUUACAUUUCAACGCUUUUGAAGUUUUAUUUAUGUUCAUUAAUUCUUGAUACAGGAUUAGCUAAUUAAAUUCAAAUACUUGGAAGCAUUGAAUUUGAGUAGUAAUAAUAAUAUAAACAGUUCUCUAGAAACCUGAAGAUUGUUGUCCAAAUAUAACCAAUGCAAACCGUGUUACUUGGUUGUUUCGCUCUAGAUUUGCUAGAUCUAUCAAAUAACAAUUUAUAUGGCCAAAUUUUUCCCAAAUAUAUAAACUUGACUCAUUUGCAUUGGUUAUAUUUGGACAACAAUCAUUUUAGUGGGAAGAUGGAUGAUGGUUUGAGGAGCUCCACUUCAUUAGAGGGGUUAGAUAUAUCCGACAACAUGUUAUCUGGUAAUAUUCCUAAUUGGAUUGGUAACAUCUCAACUCUUAGGGUUCUUUUAAUGUCAAAAAAUUAUUUGGAAGCUAAUAUUCCAGUCCAACUCAGCCACCUUAGAGCAUCUCCAAAAGACAUAAGAUUUUACUCUUCAAAUUUCAAUUUGCUUACUGAUGUGGCAAAUAAGUGUAUAGAAAAAUACAAUCUCCUCCAAAAGACUCAUCAAAUAAGAAUAAGUUAAUAUUAUUUUAAUUAAAUCUUUCCCACUAUCAAAUUGAAUUGUUGUUAUGUUUUUGAAAGGAAACAUAAAUAAUAAUUAUUGCAGUCUUAUCUUUUCAAUAAAUAAUAAUAAAAUAUUAAUAGAAGAGGGAGAAACUCACUCAGCAAUAUUGAAGAGUGAGAAACAAAUCUUAUUUGAAGAAUCUAAAUUAACGUGUCUUUUGGAGUGUUUAAUAUUGAUAUGACUCUUCAAAUAAGAAGUAGAAUUUUAUUUGAAGAGUCUUUUGGAGAUGCUCUUAGAGGUCUUGAUCUUAUAGACAUCUCUAAAAAUAGUUUGUGUGGGUCCAUGGUAUCUUCCUCCAAUCUUUCAUCAGUGAAACACCUUUAUCUGCAGAAGAAUGCUAUUAAUGGGUUAAUUCCAAAUGAACUGUUUAGAAGCUCUAAAUUAAUCAUUCUAGAGUGAGGGAUAAUAAAUUUUCUGGUAGGAUUCCUUGUAAGAUCAAUGAGCUUUCGAAUCUGCAUGUUCUUGUUUUGAGAGGGAAUUCUCUACAAGGGCAUAUUCCUAAUGAAUUGUGCCAAUUAGGAACAUUGCGUAUUAUGAAUCUUUCACAUAAGAUACUUGAUGGGUCAAUUGCUGAGGAAAAAUCAGGUUUUUAAAUUUUUAUAAAACAUUUUAAAGACCGCUCUCAUAUAAUAUAUAGGAAUUUGUAAUCUAGAAAUCGUACCUUGAAAAUCCAAUUUGGCUUUUUCUGCUGAAAUGAUUUAGGCUCCCAGAUCAUGAUCCGUCACCACCACUCCUGUUAGAUCACGAUCCGUCACCACCACGCUUGCCAGAACAUGAACUGGCACCAAUGAUCUUCCAGGUUAUGAUUCAGGUUUGAUCUGCACUUGAUGUGUGGGCGCCUUUAUCACUACCAAAGCAACUGGCACGAGAAAAUUUUUCUCUCAACAAUAGAGAGAAAUCUUUCUCUGAUCUGUAUAAAGUGGCUGCUCUCUUUUUCUUUAGAGAAAAUAAGCUUUUUUAUAUCACCCUUCAGUGAAAACCCUAGGCUCCAAAUAAUAAAAAUCAAAACUCACGUUACUUGCUUUUUCUAUAGGGGACCCACCUUGUAAAAUAACAUAAGGCCCCUUACACACAAGCUAAUUAAAUGGAGCCUCCCACUAAAUAAUAUAUUUAGGCUUUUGACCCAAAUAGCUAGUUAUCUUGCUUAUUAGUCCAGUAGUGGUGCAAUCAAUUAAAUGAGCUAACUCGGGGAUCAUUUGGCAACAUACAAUAGUGGCUGUAACAAUUAGGCCUGUGAUUAAACUAGCCUAAUUAUUUAAUUUCAAAUCUACUCUACUAAAAGAUUGGAAUUGACCUCCAUAAUUGUAUGCUCGAAUAAUAAUUCGUCCCAAGCCACAUUGAUUUCUUUACUGCAAAAUCCUUUGUACCACAUCAUUAAUUAAAUCGAUAUCUCAACUGUCCAAUCGAUUUAAUUACAUCUUAUUCCUUGAUACUUACUGGUUUUCUCUAAUAAUCAUUUUCAACAUACUAAAUAUAUUGACACACUCUGGCCAGAGAAUUCUAUGAUUAAGUGCCGAAAACCCAUCAAGAGAUGUGUUGUACAAAUUAUAUAUUGUUAAUCUAUAACUCCAAUACUCAUAAAUGCUCCCACCAAGAUACUGGGUAAUCCAGACUACAAGUAUGUGUCAUGCCCAUUGGUAACUCAAAUUGAAUAAUAAUUACAAUCAUGAAAUCAUAAUUAACUCAAGAUUAAGAUUACAGUAAAAUCAAUGCCUAUGAGAUUUAAUAAGUCUGACAAUUAUUACAAAGUUAAUUAAAUCUCAUAUGUGAUCAUGUUCAAUGUAGUCAUACUACAUCAAUAAAUUCAUACAUGAUUAAGACAAAUCAUUCAAUGAAUUUAUUACAGUCUAUAAUUAAAUAAAGUGCCCAACUUUAUUUAUCAACUGCGAACUAAAUUUAUUUAAUCAUAAGAUAACUUGUAUUUAUGUCUUCUGUGAAUCCACAUGGUGAUCACAUAAAUACAUAUAAUAUGAUUAAUUGGACUUUAAUAAAAAUAUUAAUGCAAUUAAGAUAUUUGAAUAAAAUACCUCAUUAAUUUUAUUAAUCAGAAAAAUAUUUAUUACAAUUAAAUAAAUACACAUGCUUUUAAAGAGCAUAUUUUCCCAACAUCAAUACCUUUAUGCCUGGGUAUAUAAUGUGCCAUUUUGGAAAGAAUGAACUAACUAUUAUUUGUAUGACUAUUGUUUGCUUGGUGAAUACACAGUGUAUCACGGUUUCUACAUCGAUUCUGUUGUUAAUAAUUACUGCAAAUCUAUUCUUGAUCUACAAUCGCCUGUUAAACCACGUGUAUCAAUAUAUCAACGAGUAGAAGCAGAAUUUGAGACAAGGAAUAGAUAUGAAUUUUUCAUCGGCAGCAAUCUUGUGUACAUGGCGGGACUGGAUUUGUCAGGCAAUAGGUUGAGCAGAGAAAUUUCCUAGGAAAUUAGGAAACUUCAAAAUAUUGGUGCAUUAAAUCUGUCCAAUAAUUUAUUAUCAAGUGUUGUACCAGAGAGUUUCUCCAAUCUAAAAAUGACAGAGAGCCUGGACCUUUCCCACAACAUAUUAAGUGGUCAUAUUCCUCCUCAACUCACUGAGCUCAACCUUUUAUCCAACUUCAAUGUAUCAUACAACAGCUUGUCGGGCCCAAGCCCAGACAAAGAGCAGUUCGCCACAUUUGAUGAGAGCAGUUAUAUAGGAAACCAUGAUCUUUGUGGUUCCCCGAUAAGGAAGAAAUACAACAGCGAAUUAACACCACCAGCAACAUCAACAGAAGGAGCAGAAGAAGAAGAAGCCGAUUCGGUGAUUGAUAUGGUGGCAUUAAAAUGGAGUUUUGGUGCAUCAUUUUUUACAGUGACUUUGGGUUCGUUUGCAAUCCUUUGGAUAAACUCCUAUUGGCGUAGACUGUGGUUCUACACUUACUAGACCCAAUUAUCCAUUAGAUUAUUUACUUUCAUGCAAAGACAUGAUAAAUAAUUAUCGUUAUCUCUUUGGGCCUAAAUUUGUUAACAGAGCUUCGUUGGGAAGGUUAAUAACAAACUUUAGUUGAGUGUAUAACCAUUGUUUCAAUCUACGUAUUUUUCAUAUCAAUAGUCACCGUUGGGGUGAACAAUCGAUUGAAAAAUAUUUCAAUUUUAUCUUUGAAGAAGUUCAUCAAAUAAAAUAUCUAAUAUAUAUACCCUCCGAAGGGAGCAUCACCGUAUCAUGAAGUCGAGGUAUAUAUAUAAUUUUAUUAUUGAACUAACAAUGGAGCCCGUGGGAAAAUUAUCUUGAAUUUUCCCUCUCCCACUCAAUAUUUUAAAAUUGGUUUUUCCUUUUUAAAACAUACAUAUUGUUAAUUGCAUGCUUCCUAUAAUAUUAUCUAGAUGAUAUCAAAUAUUAUUAAGCAUAUGCAAAUUUCAAACAAUAUAAUGAAAUUCAUUAUUAAUGAAUGACAUGUAUCAUUAUGCAUAGAGUGGCACUACCUAUUCUAUAUGACAUGUUAUCAUGGCAUGUUAUCAUCCAAAACAUAACAUAUAGAAAAACAAUUAAAUAAUCUUAAUUCAUGGCUUUCCUAAUAAUGAAAAAUACAUUAACCCUAAGCCUAAUCUUCAUUGGGCUUCUUGUCAAUGUCCAUCUUUCAUAAUCUUAUUUUUGUUAAUGGACUAGGGGAAAUUGGGCUUUUAAAUUUAUAAUUGGUCCAAUUUUAAUUUUUGGAAGGAAAUAAAUAAAUAAUUAAAUUUUUUUUUAUUAAAAUAAAACUUUUGGACCAAAAAUAAAUUUAAUGUGUUCAAUUUUAUCCAUGCAUUUUAAUCCAUUAAGCCCAAAUAUCAAUUGGGCCUAAAACUAGGAUUCUUUAAGUUCAAAACUGUUUUUUAGACUUAAAUGCAAAAAAUUAAAACUUAUCAGCCCAAAGAGAAAAUCUAUGGAACUAUAGGGAUCGUAAUGAUAAAAAUCAUUAAAACCCUAAAUCCAUCUUUUUCUCUCCCCAGCCGCCAUCACCACAAAGGGCAGCCACUGUUCACAAUUUCCAGCCAUCUCCGACGCCGAGUUUGCUGCCGCCGUCACACCGGAAAUGUACCAAACACCUCCCUCGCGCUGCACGGAAAGCUCCUGCUCGCGCUACCUGCUGCGUGUGCUGGCUGUUGCACGCGAGCGUGCGCUGGCUGCUGCACGCACAGUGUGCGUUGCUGGCUGCGCGAGCAGCACACGCUGGCUGCUGGCUUGCAGCGCGCGCUGCUGGCAGCGUGUGCUGCGAGCCGCGCGCUGCUUGCUGCUGGUUGCCGCUGUCAAUUUCCGGCCUUCGUCGCUUUGAUCUUGAAAAUCCGAGAUUAAUUUACAAAUAUCCUAGGCCAAUUUUUGGCUUACAAAAAUUCUAUAACAGUAAAAUAAAUCAAGAGGGAAACAUGAUGAUAAAAAAUCACCCCUCUUGUUACAGAUCCAAAGAAAAAAUACAACGGAAAAUAUAACCAUGAAUUAAGACAAAACAAAACAUGCUUUAUUCAUAUAUUAAACAAUUAAUAUAUAUCUGAAUAAAUUGUGCCACUCUAAUACAUAAAUUUCAAGAAUGAUUUCAUACGAAAUUCUUAUAUAUUAAUAUGAGAUGGCUCUGAUACCAAUUGUUGGGGAAAAAUUAGGUUUUUAAAUUUUUAUUAAACCUUUUGAAGAUCGCUCUCAUAUAAUAUAUAAGAAUACGUAAUCCAGAAAUCGUACCUUGAAAAUCCGAUUUGGCUUUUUCCGUUGAAAUGAUUUAGGCUCCUAGAUCACGAUCCGCCACCACCACUCCUGUUAGAUCACGAUCCGUCACCACCACGCUUGCUAGAUCACGAACUGUCACCAAUGAUCUUCCAGGUUAUGACUCAGGUUCGAUCUGCACUUGACGUGUGGGCGCCUUUAUCACUACCAAAGCAACUAGCACGAGAAAAUUUUUCUCUCAACAAUGGAGAGAAAAAUCUUAUUCUCUGAUCUGUAUAAAGUGGCUUCUCUCUUCUUUAGAGAAAAAUAAGUCUUUUUUAUAUCACCCUUUAGUGAAAACCCUAGGCUCCAAAUAUCAAAAAACAAAACUCACGUAAUUUGCUUUUUCAAUAGGGGACCCACCUUGUAAAAUAACAUAAGGCCCCUUAUACAAAAACUAAUUAAAUGGAGCCUCCCACUAAAUGAUAUAUUUAGGCUUUUGAUCCAAAUAGCUAGUUAUCUUACUUAUUAGUCCAGUAGUGGUGCAGUCAAUUAAAUGAGCUAACCCGGGGAUCAUUUGGGAACAUACAAUAGUGGCUACAAUAAUUAGGCUUGUAAUUAAACUAGCCCAAUUAUUUAAUUCCAAAUCUACUCCACUAAAAGAUUGGAACUGACUUCCAUAAUUGUAUGCUCGAAUAAUAAUUCGUCCCAAGCCACAUUGAUUUCUUUACUGCACAAUCCUUUGUACCACAUCGUUAAUUAAAUUGAUAUCUCAACUGUCCAAUCAAUUUAAUAACAUCUUAUUCCUUGAUCCUUACUGGUUUUCUCUAAUGAUCAUUUUCAACAUACUAAAUAUGUUGACACACUCUGGCCAGAGAAUUCUAUGAUCAAGUGCCGAAAACCCAUCAAGAGAUGUGUUGUACAAAUUCUAUAUUGUUAAUCCAUAACUCCAAUACUCAUAAUUGCUCCCACCAAGAUACCGGGUAAUCUUGACCAUAAGAAUGUGUCGUGCCCAUUGGUAACUCAAAUGGAAUAACAAUUACAAUCAUGAAAUCAUAAUUAACUCAAGAUUAAGAUUACAGUAAAAUCAACGCCUAUGAGAUUUAAUAAGUCUGACAGUUAUUACAAAGUUAAUUAAAUCUCAUAUGUGAUCCUGUUCAAUGUAGUCGUACUACAUCAAUAAAUUCAUACAUGAUUAAGACAAAUCAUUCAAUGAAUUUAUUACAGUCUAUACCUAAAUAAAGUGCCCAACUUUAUUUAUCAACUGCGAACUAAAUUUAUUUAAUCAUAAGAUGACUUGUAUUUAUGUCUUCUGUGAAUCCACAUGGUGAUCACAUAAAUACAUAUAAUAUGAUUAAAUGGACUUUAAUACAAGUAUUAAUGCAAUUAAGAUAUUUGAAUAAAAUAUCUCAUUUAUUUUAUUAAUCAGAAAAAUAGUUUAUUACAAUUAAAUAAACACAUAUGCUUUUAAAGAGCAUAUUUUCCCAACACCUUCAAGUGGUUUCGUUAUGGUUAGACUUAUUUUUUAUUCUCCAGUUUCUGUUGGAUGUAAAUUAACAACUUCUUAUUGUAUCUCGAAUAUGCUCAUGUUGAUUAAUUGAAAGAACCUGGGACUCGAAAUCUACAAAAUCGAAUGAGGAAUUAUGCCUAAUACUAUGUUGAUUGUAAUAUCAAGAGUGCCUGGUGGUGCCAUAGCUACUUCUUUGUAAGACAGCGAUUUGGAAGCCAUGGCAGUAUGGUUUGGAACCUGGGACUCUUCUUUUAAAAAUGGAAAAACUCCGUUUGCCAAAUCCAAAAAUGUUUUUCUAGAAUCAAUAAUAACAACCGUUAAAUAAAAAAAAGAUAGAUCUAUAAUAUCCAUCCAUUGCAUAAAAUGAAUCAAUGGUUUCUCCUCACUUUGUUCAAGGCUAUGGGGGAAAACAAAAAUUAUCACUCGUUGCUACCCGUCAUCUCUGAAUUUCGAAAGAUCUAACAGCUUUACCAAGCAACCCUCCUUCAUUGCCAACUAACUAAAUCAGUUGACCUUAUCUAUGGCCAUAAAUAGUUCAGAAUCUUCUAAAGUUUGAAUCCUGUAUGUGAUCUGUAUAAGCAUGUUAGAUUUCUUGGGGGGGGGGGGGGGGGGGAGGGGAAUCUAUGCUAGAAAUGGAUGUUACAAUUGAUGCCUUCAGAGUUCACCAAAUAAACUACAACUUUGCUCAUGUAUUCAGUAAAUCUGUUUAAUACCUUGACUUAUAAAGUUAUUAAUAAUAACUUAUGAACAUAUAUAAGCUGAUCUCCUUAUCUAUAAAGCUCGUUAAAAAAGAAAGCACUUACCACUUCUUUGCAAAAGCUCACGGGCAUGAGAGGAAGACAAUGGGAAAAUUUUCAUGAGUUAGGAUUUUUCCAAAAUUCAAUUUGACCCUUCACAGCUUGAAUUGGAGAGUUAUUUUAGAGUAUUUUUAUCCUUAAAUUCAUUUGGAUUUGAGAAGGAAUUUAAAUGUAGGAAUUGUAGAGAGAGGAUUUGAGUUAGAGGGAAAUGAUUCAAGCUUUCAAGUUGAGUUUCUCACCAAAGGGAGUAAGAUUUCUAUCAUUUUAUCUUUAUUUGAAGUUGCAUUUGCAUGGGAAUAAAGUUAAUUUAAAGACUAGUAUGCUUUGUUUAUAGUUAAGGUUCCGAACAAAUGGAUAAAAUCGGUCCCAAGUUAAUUUUUGUAAUUGGUAGAUCAUUUUAGGUGCACAAGGACACUUACAAGGCAUUGUAGAGAUGAAACGCGUGGCCUUCACCGUUUCCUCAAUUCAUGUGCUUUUGUGUGUGUGUGUGUGUUUUGAUAGUUCAUGGUCAAUAAUGAGAUUGGUGAUGAUGUGGAUGAUUUAUUAGUAUUAUAAGAUAUAGAAAUCUAAUUAUUGAGGUGGAGUAUAGAAUUUGGAGCAUAAGGUGUAAACUUGAAAUGUUGACUUAAAUAUUAUUGUAAAUUGAUUUUGACUUAUAACCGACCAAAGAAAUAAUUGAAGAAGCAAAUUGGUUAGUUUCACGUGCACGGCUUUUGGCAAAGUGAAAUGUCAGCUUCGCACUUCACUUGUGAACGUACAAGAUUUGCUACAUAAGGAAAUUGCGGCGUUUCAGCCGGAUUUUGAGAGUUGUUUUCAAGUUUCGUAUAAUCAGAUCCCAUUUCUUUUCUUUGUAUUUGUUCAUUGCCACGACUUUUUUUUCUCCCACAGCUCACGUGGUCACCGUAAUUUUGAUAACUACUCAAAAUGGGUUUCCGCAAUAAUUAAAGAAAAGGAAAAGUGAAUGAAGAAGAGAUACUGAUGACCAUAAUCAUCUAAGGGUGCGUUUGUCAGACUGUAUUGUAUUAUGCUACAUUGUAUUAUUUUAAUGCUGGUGUAUUGUAUUAUGUUGUAUUGCAUUAGCACUGUAUUAUAAUAAUAUUGUACAAUAUUUGGUGCUACACUGUACUGUAUUAUUUUUUUGUGAUUAAUUGAAAUUAAAUAUUAUAUUAUAUUAAUAUAUUUAAAUUGUAUUAAUAUUUUAUAUUAUUUAUAUUAUUAUUAAUUUUAAAUUAAUAUUAUUCAAAUUUAAAUAUUUAUUAUUAGUUAAAAUAAAUUAUAAAUUUAUGAAUAAAUUAAUAUUAUUCAAAUUUAUUGAACACUAGGGUUUCAAAUAUACAAACUGAUAUUUAUAGUAUCUUCGAAAUUCUUAUUGAUAUAAACACAAGUACUAUUAAAAUUGAAUCAUUUAUUGAUUUAUUAUAUGUUAAAGUUGAUGUACAAUAGACACAAUUCACUUGACAUAUUAAAUUCUUUGUCCACAAGCAAAUUCCAAGAAAAUAAUAAACCUAAUAAGAAUCUAAAUAAAUGUGCUUCACUAUAAUUAGUUACGAAGAUAUUAACUUAGUUACAAAACUCAUAUAUCUCUAUCUUAGGAGCAUCUGCAUAGCAUUUUCCCAUGGAUUAUUCUUCUUCCCAGUAUUAAUAUUGCCCCAAUAAGUAGUCUUUGUGAUGUCGCUUCUCUUUUUAUUGGAAAAAACACCUUCAAGCAUGUCUUCUAAGAUCUGGUUCAGCAUCUCUUCACUUAUUCUUUCCCUAGCAAGCAGCAAUCUUAAGGCUUCUCUUCAUCUGUAAAAUUAAUGUUGAAUAUUAGAAUAAGAACAGUUAUGCUAUAUCCAUAAAUAAUGUCAAAUAUCAUCCCUUACCAUGCGGGCUCUCUUCAGCAGCAACAGCACCGCCAUUUACAGUGCUGCUACUAACCUCAAUAACUUCACUAUUGCAGCAACAAUAGCAACACCAGCUUCAGCAUCUUCAGCAAUCACUCCAUCUCCAUGCUCUUCAGCAACAUCGCAAUCUUCAAGAUUUUCAAGAGUCUAAGGCUCCAUCAUCAAAAUUCAAAACUACUUUCAACUUAAUUUGAAGGAUAAAGAAAAUUUAAAUAGAGUGGAAAACAAUGCAUCCAAAUGGGUGUGAUAGGAAUUUCAAAUGCACUCCACUCUCACUCUAGCUUCUCCUAAUCCAUUCAUUCAUUUCUUCCAUUUAAGGAGGCCAUCACCAUUCACCCCUCAAUGUUAUUGCAUGCAAUUCCCAAAAUGCGUUCUGAGCACCCAAUGAGAAGAUGUGAGACAUGAAUAAGUAUGCAUGAAUUCACAAGAAGGCAUAUAAAAUCUUAAGUUAAGCACCAUAUUUCAAACUUCUCAUAUCAUUCCUAGGACAAAAUCGGACCAAAAAAUACAACUUUGCAAUCAUGAGUAACACUAGCGUUAAUUGUAAUUAACCUAAUUCAAUAAAUUGUCAUAACCUAAUUCAAUAAAUUGUCAUCGUUACUUCAGGUUCCACAGUAUUCAAACUCUUAAUACAGCAACCCAGCACGAAAUAGGAACUAUACAGUUAACAAGAUAUAUUAACACAUAAGCUAUACAGAGCAUUUUAAGUUACUUCAUGUUAAAGUUAUUUAAUCAUACUUCAGAUACCCAUAUUAUCAAAACAUGCCCCUUCAAUUAAGGGUCUGUAACCUAUGCCUAGGUAAUAUAUUUUUUUUAAGGAAUAUAAGCAGAAUUUGCUCCUUUAACUUCCACAAGCCGUGCACUCUUCAUGGUUUGUUGGAGAACAAACCAUCUGUGCCAUCUUGGUUUUAUCAUCAGCCACCAACUCAGGCUUCGCCUGAAUCACCAAGAGUUGGGAAAGUGAAACAUUGGGAAAAAGAAAAAAAAAAAGUAAUUGAUUGUUCUAGCAGCAAUCAUCUUCUUCCUGCAAGAAUCAGCCAUGAUUUCUUUUUUUUUUUUGAAAAAUUCAAAUCACCAAUAUUUUUACGUUCUUCUCCAAAUUCUUAUCAUUCACCUCAUUUCCACAACAAUUGCUAGAAAACAGAACACCAACAUUCAAACCAACAAACAAGCCAACAAAUUAAAAAAAAAAAAAAAGGCCCAUCUCCUAAAUUCAUCAAUUCAACACCACAAUCUCUACUACCCUCUUAAUCACUCUCUCUCACAUCAACGCCUCUACACUUUCAGAUUUCAUGAAAAUGAUUUCAAUAGAUUAUUAUUAUUAUUAUUAUUAUUUAUUUGGCUUUAUAGAGCCAUCAACUAAAACACUUGAAUACCUAAAUGGAAAAAUGAAAUCUGCACGUAAAUCCAUUCGAAUCUCGCCGUAGCACCACCGCCGCACCAUGCUGUUGUUCGAAUUCAAAUGACACCGUCGCUCCAAUCAAAGAUUCAGGUGCUGCAGCUGCACCACUCAUUUAAUGAUUCACGCUGCACGACGGCUGGGCUGCUAUGUUUGGCUCUUGAGAAAUUGGAGAAUGGAGGAAAAUCAGUGAAUAGAUGAGUGAGUUUGAGAGAAAAGUAUUGUUUUGGGUUUUGAGAAGAGAAAUUUUGUUUCAUGGUCGUGGCUAAGGAUCGUGUUUGGAAGAAGAAAAUAUUUUAUUUCUCUUUUCGAAUGCAAUGCGGCCUAAUUACGACUCCCCACGGGUUUAUUUUUUGCGGCGUUUGGUGUAUUAUAAUGAGGUUUAAUACAAAGUUAACUUUUUGCCAAACAUGAUAUUGUAUUGAUUUAAUACAAUACAGAGCUUUAAUGUGGUGUAAUGCUGAGUGACAAACACACCCUAAAUGCAUACAAAAUUUUACAAUAGAUUAGACUACCGAUUUGUGCUUUUUCGUCUAAUAAUAAUACAUCUGCUUCAAUAAGAAACAAGUGAAUUGAGGGAUGUCUUUCUUUCGCAAUAUAAAUUCUUGCCAAAAAAUACAUGCUAUCUGCUGGUGAAUUAAUUUUAUAAAAGAAAGGCUUAAAGUUAAAGCUGAGUAAAAAUAUUGGCGUCAAGAACGCUACUGGAAAGUUCAACCGUGAGCUGCAGCCUGCGGUCCUCAACAACCUGAGAAAAUGCUGAGGUGUUGCGCGCCUGCCCACUACUUUGGCAGGUCUAAUGGGACCCACAGUCGGAUUUAUAAAUUAAAAUAAUGUACUUUUGUAUAUUUUUAAAUAAAUAAUAAAAUAUGGAUAAGGAUACAUAUAUUUAUUCAAAUAUUAGUAAAAAUAGAUAUAUUGCUGAUUUUUAAAUUAUACUUCGUGAACCUUUUGGACUAAGCUCUAAAUCUAUGAAUUCAAACUUCCAACACACCACAAAUUAUUUUUAGCCCGCAUGUCGGACUGUCUCCUUUAAGUUUCACUUUGAUUUCUACCACAUCAUUCAAAUAAGUUACUAUAGCAUGUCAGCUAGUUGGGAACUAAAAAGUGUACUUUAUUCAAUGACAGAAUCAGAGCCAUCAAAGGAUUUGUCUAAUUAUGGGCUGGUGCUAUCAGUGUUAAAGGCAAUUUCCUAACGAGAAAUCCUCACCCACAAUAGUAGGAGAUCUCGUCUUUUAUUUAAUUGGUGUGUAUUUUAGAGGUAUCGAUCUCUAAAAUAGAUCCCACAUUGUAAUAUUUGUAGAUUUUCACAAAGAAAAAAAAAUUAAUCCUACAUAAUCAUUGUUCAAUGAAAUUGCAAACUUAAAAAAAAAAAGUCCGGAUGGUUCGAUUAUUAAGAGCAACCAAUAAGCUGAAUGGCAGGGAAAAUAAGCUUAAAGAAAUCCAGCUUAGAGAAACCGAACAAGCACACAUACAUAGAGACAUAUGACUAUCUCAAAGGAACCAAAAGGAAGGUUAAAAUAGAGGCUUCGUAUUUCAUAUCAAUUAUUGAUAUGAAGAAGCUCUCGAUUUCCAACGAGCUGUCCUCCCCGUUUCGAAGCAAGCUUAAAAUUAAACGUGUAUUUGAUUCAUAACUAUCGUCAAAAUCGGUGAUAUUAAUGACAACUCACCUGGAAACUUGAGUAUAGUUUUAGAACCAAACUGAGAAUUUCACAUAAACUGAUACAUACCAGUUUGCAGAAAAGCUAACCGAACACAUAAACAGCACAACAAGUGGGAAAUAUGUAUAAUAAACUAUAGAGGAGUAAAAUAUAAGGGAAAUAUGUGGGUGCACAGCAUAAUUAAUUAUCCAAUAACAAAACUCUUAAGUCUUUUUAUUUUUCCAAACUCCAGGACACAUGCAUGUUAUAAAGUAGCCGGACCAACUUGUGACUGAGGAUGCUUCUCUGAGUUAAAUUCACGUGGAUAAUUAAUGGUACUUGUAGUAAAAAAUAUGAAAGUAAUUCUUAAUCAUAUGCGACCACUCGAAGACAUAGGCCACAUGAUCCAUAAAAAUCCUUGAGAGCUUACAUUAGGAAAUGAUUUUAAUUUGUAAUUAAAAUGUCACAAUUACCUCAGACUUGUUAAAUAGGCACUUAUUAUAGUCAAACCAUUUAUUUAUAAACAAAAAUAACGUAAUCUGCAGUAAUUUUUAUGUUUUCAUAGAACUUUAUGAUCCAAAAGCAGAAGAAUUGCAUCAAUUUAAAUUUAACAUACCACUUGAAAUCAGCCUCAAUCCUCAUUUAGUGGAGUUUUGUCCAACAAUAUUUGAGGCCAGUAAACAUCAAGUUCCCAACAAUGUUCCACUACAUUCUGCCUAAAUGAGUCAAACUCUUAAAAUGACACAAGUGAGGCAAAAGAUGAGAAGCUUGAUAAAAGAUUAGCAGUCAUGACAAGGAUAAUACCUCAAGAAAGUGCAGUACAGAGGCCGCGCGAGAAGUCAGAGCUUGCAAGGCAGAUGCUACUUAGCUUCAUCGUAAAGUCAGUCCAGCAUAAUAUAGAUGCUCCAGGCUACGAAAAUAAGUUCGAGCAUUCAGAAAAUUCUUCAGAUAUAAUUGCAAUUGAUAGUGCUAUCAUAAAAAUCCUUUAUGAAAAUGAAAGAAGGCAAAACAAACUUGGCAUCUCAGUCCAAUGAUCAAGAAUAGCAAAACCCAAAAGAUGUAAACCAAAAAAGUGGGGAUGGUGAAGGAUUUAUAGUUGUCAGAAAAAGGAAAAGAAACCGACAGCAGAUCGCAAAUGGGGUAACUGAGAUGUGCAAUCAUCAAUCCACCUGCGUUAAAAGAGAGAGCAAAGUAAAAAAAUGCAAACGCGUUGUCCUGUUUCUCCCAGUUUUAUUCGAGAGAUUUUUUACUGAAUGUUAGUAUUGUAGAAAUGGUCAAAAAAUGGAGACUUGAUUGUAUCAUUUUGGAUAUCCUCUCUGGAUGUUCUAAUAAUAUGUGUACAAAUCGGUUUUUUAUUUUGAUCAUUAAAUAAUGAGUAACUAAUUAGCCGAUUUUCCUUGUACAAGAAAUCUGAGAUGUUGCUUUUAUAGAUAGAGGUUCCUCAAAUUAAUUGGUAUUAACCCACUGAUAGCUUUAAUUUGCAGCUAAAGUUGCUGCACUGAUGAUGCUACAACCAACAUAGUAUUUGGCAAAACUCCUUAUUUGGAUUUGUAGCAUUUCGAGUCUCAGGUUCUUUCAAUCAACAAUCUCCGACAGAAUACUUAUUUGGAAAGCCAAUAGUAGCUUGUGUCAAUACAUCUAUCAAUGAAAUAGAACCAUAAUCUGCGCCAAUAUGAGUUUAUGCCAAGGGCCACAAACAAACUCAAUAUUACUGUCGCAUAGGUUGCACCAAAACUCCAGUAUAAUGCCACCAUACUAAUUGCAGAUUCAUCUUCUCCUUCUUCUUUGCCUGCUGGUGUUGCUGUCGGUGUUACUGCACUGCUGCAUUUCCUCUUUAUGAGUGAACCACAUAGAUAAAGGUUUCCUUAAUAAUUGUUUUCAUCAAACGUGCCAAACUGCCCUUUGUCUGGGGUUGGGCCGGACAAGUUAUUGUAUGACACGUUGAAAUUUGAUAAAAAGUUGAGCUCAGUGAGUUGAGGAGGAAUUCUACCACUUAAUCAAUUGUGGGAAAGGUCCAGGCUCUCUAUCAUUUUUAGAUUGGAGAAACUCUUAGGUAUAGAACCUAAUAGUAAAUUAUUGGACAGAUUCAAUGCAUGAAUAUUUUGAAGUUGACCAAGUUCCCAUGGAAUUUCUCCGCUCAACUCAUUGCUUGACAGAUCCAGUCCAGUCAUGUAGUUAAGAUUGCUACCAAUGAAAAAUUCAUAUCUAUUUUUUGUCGCAAAUUCUGCUUCUAGUUGUCGAUCUAUUGCGGAAUGUUUUUCAACAGGCGGUUGCAGAUCAAGAGUGGAAUUGUAGUAAGUAACAAUGGUAGGGUUUAAAGACAGAUACACUUUAUAACCCUCAAGUAGUUCAUAUUCAUAAGAGAAAUCAUCAAUUCUUUCUCUCCAGAUUGACACAUUACCCAAGCAUGAAGGUAUUGACCCAUUAAGUCUGUUCUGCGAAAGAUCAAUGAUACCUAAUUUUUUUAUUUGGCAUAAUUGAUUAGGAAUACGUCCUUGCAGAUAAUUUCCUCUCAAAAGAAGAACAUGCAAAUUCGAAAGCUCAUUGAUCUGAUGAGGAAUCCUACCAAAAAAUUUAUUAUCCCUUAAAUCUAGAGUCAUUAAUGCAGAGCUUCUAAACAGUGCAUUUGGAAUUAACCCACGAAGGGCAUUCUUUCGCAGAUAAAGGUGCUUCACUGAUGAAAGAUUCAAGGAAGCUAUCAUGGACCCAGGUAAACUAUUUUCAGAGAUGUCUACAAGCUCAAGACUUUCAAGAUUGUUAAGCUGGACUGGAAAAUUACCUUCCAAACGGUUUUUUGACAUUAAAAGAACCCAAAGGGUUGAGAUGUUACCAAUCCAAUGAGGAAUAUUGCCGGAUAACAUGUUGUUAGAUAUAUCUAAUCCCUCUAAUGAAGUGGAGCUCAACAAACCAUCUUUCAUCUUCCCACUGAAAUGAUUGUUGUUCAAAUAUAACGAACCCAAAUAAGUCAAGUUCAAGUAAUUGGGAAAAAUUUUGCCAUAGAAAUUGUUACUUGAUAGGUCCAACAUAUCUAGAGGGAGGCAACCAGAGACUAUAGGUCGGGGUAAUUCUCCUGAAAAGUUAUUUCUAGACAAAUCCAGUAUAUGUAGCUCUUGCAUCUCGCCCAUUGAAUGAGGAAUAUCACCUUCAAAAGUAUUUUCUGACAUAUCCAAAGACUCCAAUUUCUGAAGGAAAAUACCCAUAUUCUGCGGUAGCUUACCAGUGAAAUUGUUACUGGAAAUAUCUAGAAGACGAAGCAUAUCGUGUUUGGCAUUUGGAAGUAGUGGAAGAAUUCCUGAGAAUGAGUUAUUCGCCAAAGACAGUUUGUAAUCUUGAGUUGUUUUGCAAUAACCAAGUUGGGAAAUUUCCAACCAACUUAUUGUGAGAGAGGUCAAGGAAUCUUAAGUGGUAUUGGUGUAAAAGAAAAGUAGGACUGACAUUUAAAUUGCAGUUGGAUAAUUGGAGAACCUUCAAACAAUAUGUGGGGAGCCAGUUUUCAGUUUUCACUUGCAACAUAUUGUUUCUUGAUGAGAGCAGCAAGACCUCAAGCCUUGAAUGAUUAGCUAAUGAACUAAGGGGGAAUGUGCCUUGGAAAUUGAUGGAAGAGAGAGCCAAUUAUUCAAGUGAUGUGAGGUUGGUGAUUAUAGAAGGCAAGUUUCCACUUAACUGAUUGUAAGAAAUAUCAAGAACUUUGAGAUGGAUCAAGUUGUUGAAACAUUGAGGCAGCUGACCCUCAAAAUUAUUUGCUCCAAGAUUCAACUCUAAAAGAUUCUUCAAGUCACAUAUUCCUAAAAAUGAAAGUAAAAAUAGAAGGCUUACUAUUUCAUAGAAUGAAACUCCUAUAAAAUGUAGUGUUUUGUAGUUUUUAAUUAUGGCAAAUUCAAUCGUAAACCCAAUCUAAGACUUAUAAAAAAGUCAUAAAAUCAAAUUGUCUAAUUAUUUUGGUCAACGUAAAUAACAUUAUCUAUUUAAUUCUUAUAUAAUGUGAUGUUGAUUGCAAAAGUGUUUCAAUUAACCUUAAAAAAAAAAAAAGAACGAUCAACACUUCUUUUCAUCAUAAUCAGCUGCUGCUUUAUUGUUUAAAUUAAAAUUAUGAUUUUCUCUGGAAUAAUUUGAUACUUCGUCUUGUUUAUUGGAUAUUGGUAUUCUAAUCUCUAAAUUAAAAUUAUGAUUUUUCAGUUGUUUUCUUAAAUAAUAGUUUGUCUUAAAAUACACUUAAAUUUGUCUUAAAUUUUUACUCCUCUCUAGCAUAAACAAAACAUGUUUGAAAAGAAUUUACCGGAGGAAAAACAAAAAAAGAAGGAAAAAAGAACUUUUCUUCAUAAUCUAGGAAGUAGCUACCCACAAACGGUUUGUCAUUAUUUCAAAUAUUCAAUUAUCAUGUUUCAACAUAAAAACGCCGAGUAGAUUGUUUACUUCGGUUUCUAGAAAUCUGUUUAUAUUAUUAUUACUCAAUCUAACGCUUCCAAGUUUUUGAAUUUGGCUAAUUCUGCGUCAAGAACUAAUAAUGAGGAUAAAUAAAAAAUUUUAAUUAGAUUUGGGAGUUUUGUCUUAAUUCUUCUAUAUAGUUUUGAUAUAUACUUAUCCAUAAUACUUCAAAAGCAUUGAAAUGAAAAAGCUAUUGAAGACUUCGUUUUUCAUUCAGAACUUUUCUAUUAAAAGAAUCAGAAGAAACGGAGAGAGUGAAAGAAAUGAGGGGAGUCAGGACUCAGCAGACAGUGGUAGGGUUUGUCAAGUACUAAACUUCAUUAAAGAAAGCAGUGGCUCUAAUUCAAAUUUGAGCAUGAGCUAGUAGUUGAUGGAAUAUGCCGGCUGUCUCGAAUCAAAAUAAUGAAGAAAGGGAAUUCAAAAUUAUAUUAAAAUUAAUUAAGUUAAUAUCCCGAAAAGGAUUCAGAAAAAGAAAAAAGAAAAAGGCCAUAACAGUACAAAAAAGAAAUUAAAAGAAAAGAAAAAAACUAGGAAAUUAAAUAGAAGUUAUGAUUGUUGCUGUAUACCUUGAAUUGUAGUUAUUCCACAAUCUCUAAGAUCCAAUGUUUUCAAGUUUGUCAGAUUUGCCAAUCCUACAUGGCCGAUAAAAAUGAAAAUAUUGUUUCAAAAUUAUUGUAGAGCGAUGAGAUAUCUGUGUUCGAUAAACAUCUUGGUAAAUUUGCUUCUUAACUGUGUCUUAGUACAUAGCUUACCUAGCCUUGUUAAGAGCCCUAUAUUGGGUUAUCACGUAGAUCCAAUAGUUGCAGGUUUCUCAAAUUUGAUAAUCCUGAGGACAUAAAUUAAUGUUGAAUAAGACAUAUAUAUAGAGAAAUUCUCAGAUCAAGAUGCUAAAUGUAAAUUUCGUGCAGAUUCAUUAUUACACUAUAUGGUGUUAGUGUAUUUCUAUUCUAUUAAGUAUAAUACUACAUAAUGUAAUAGCAAAUCCACACGAAAUCUGCAUUUAUGCAUAUAUAAGUUUUUCUCCCUCGAUGUGUGUGUGUGAGCAAUUAAGUUGCGCCUUACAUAUCUUGUGGCCUGGAAUGUAUAUACCUUCUAUGGUUCUGGAACCUUCAAUGUUAUUUUCCCGCAGAAUCAAAGUGGUAAGUGAUAUCAGUGUAUUCAAAUAUGGUAAUAUGCUGUCAUUGAAGUGAUUAGCUUCAAGAUUUAAGAUCUUCAGCUGCUUCAAGCUCCCAUUGCUGUCGUAAGCUGCUAAUGCAUGCACUAUUAGUAGCUCACUGACAUUAAUUUUUCUUUUAAAACGAAUAUGCAAAUUGUAUAUCAAAAACCAAAAUAACAAUAAUAAUAAUGGACGAGAAAGAUAUAUACGAUAUACACACCUCUAUUCUCAUAGAAACCUUCAAACGCAUUGAGAGAUAAGUCGAGGCUUUGCAAUUCUUCAAAAGGAUGAAACAGUGAGAAAUUCAUAAGUGAAACUCCAAAAAGAGAGUUAUAAGAGAAGUUGAAUUUGGCUGUAUCAUUAAGCAAGAGAUGCAUCACCCGUCUUGUGGUGGCGUUGCACUUAACUCCAUCCCAAUCAUUAGAACAAUCAGACGACAUUCCAUCAUCAUCAACCCAUGAAGUAAGAAUUUCUUCUGCAUAUUCCGUAUCACUGAUCGAUAUAAAGAAGCUCUUAAGUGCCAACAGACCAAUCCUCUCUUUUUGCAAGCAACAUUUGUAUCCAUGCAUUUGCAUCAAAACAAUAAUCAAAAUCAGUGACAUUGAAAACUUAAUCAAGGUAGUUUCCAUUGCGAAGCAACUUUUCAUUUGGUUAAUUUACUCGCUCUUAAAAUAAUACUUGCAAUAAUGAAGAAAUUCAAUAAUUAUACUAAACAUUUAUAGACCUUGCAAAUUUUUUUUUGAUACAAUGGGGCCUAAUAAAGAUUAGGACAAAACAGAGCGGGGAAUAGUAUUCCCAUACAUAUCAUUACAUAACCAAUAUCCAAUACCCUCUGGUGGGUUAUCAAAAUCAUGAAAACCGAGAGGUAAAGAUCCUACCAACUUGGCCAUGAAAUCAGCAGCAAAAUUAGCUUCCCGAUAUAUAUGCUUUAUUGUAAUUUGCCAAUCUCUAUUCAUCAACUCCUUGAUGGCAUUGAUAAGUGAAAGAUGUGCAUUAGGCUCUGUUCUUGUGGAAGAGAUAAGUUGAAAGAUACAUUGGCUGUCCACCUCUGCCACCAAGUACUGGAUACCCCGAUUCCAUGCAAGAUGAAGACCUUGAAACAAACCCCAUAAUUCAGCAGAAGUCACCGAACAGAGACCAAUGUUCAUGCCAAAUCCAAACUGCCAUUUGCCAUAACAGUCCCUCACCAAUCCUCUAGCACUUGCCAACCCAUUUUUUAAUCGAGAACCAUCUGUAUUCAAUUUGAAAAAGGAUUCCGAGGGAGCUUGCCAGCCAAUUUCUUUGAUGGUUUUACUGGUACGAACAACAUUGAGACCUGCUCUUGCAAUAUGGAUAUCAUGAACCCACGAUCUAAUUUCCGUGACCAUCUGAGUGCAGCAAGGGGCAUUGUGAGUGAAGAUAAAUUGGUUGCGCCAGAACCAAAUUUUCCAAACAGCAACGCCAAAUAAGCAGGCCCAAUCAUCCACAACCUUAUUGAUACCAGCCUUGCCCAAAUUGAAGCAUAACCAGUCACGGAGGUCAAGAGAGAAAAAGGAUUGCUUGAACAUACCUGGAACCAAAUGAUUCCAAAUUCUUUUUGCCACAACACAAUCACGAAGAACAUGGAUUACAUCUUCUUUUUCCUGUCCACAAUAUUCACAGUCCAUAGAAAUUUUGAUGUGUCUCUUAAAUAGCUCCUCUUUUGUUUUAAUUCUUCCGUGCAUUACCAACCAUAAGAAAAUGCGAAUCCUCUGGGGUCCUUUCCAAUGCCAAAUCAAUUUCCAUAUAUGGGCAUCAUUAUUGGAGAUUGGAUUAUUAAGGGAGAUAUAAGCUGACUUAGAUGUGAACUUGCCUGAUUUUGAGUGAGCCCAAAAAGGUUGAUCCUCGUUGUUGUCAUCCGAAGGUAGUUUGAUUGCUGCAAUCUGGAGAAGAAUCUGAUUGGGAAGAAAAUGACCAAACAUGCUCCAAUUCCAAUUUCCCUCAAUAUCCACAAAAUCCGCCACACAUUUAUUCUUCAAUUCAUCCGGUAGUUGAGUUAUAGUAUGAUUAGCAAUGAGAAGCUCUUCUGAAACCCAACUUUGAUGCCAAAAAUUUACCUUAUUCCCUUUUCCAAUCGACCAUCUCGUGCCCUGCAACACAUACUCCCAUAUUCUGUUUAUGCCUUUCCAGAGAUAAGAGUUGCGUUUAUUCUCAAGCUUGGAGGGAAUAAAAUCUGAAUCAAGCCCAUAUUUUGAUCUCAAAACCCGAAUCCAGUGACUGUGAGUAGAGGUUAGCAUAUUCCAUUCAAUUUUCAUGAGGAGAGCAUUGUUCAUGUUUGUAAGAUUUUUAAAACCUAGACCACCUUCAACUUUUGGAGAACAUAUCAUUUCCCAAUUAAUCAAACUGAGUUUACGGCUUCCAUUCUUGCUCCCCCAAAUAAAUCUUCGAGAAAUCCGAUCAAUUUUAUCCAAAAUUCCAUGAGGGAUCCUUGUUGUUUGCAUGGCAAAAAUGGGGAUCGCCUGAAUUACCGAUUGAGCUAGAGUAAUUCUCCCAGCAAGGGAGAGAUGCAUUGCAUUCCAUCCAGACAAUUUUUUAUCAACAUUAUCCACAAUUUCUUGAUAAGUGGCUCUUGUCACUCUGUUGUGAAGUAAAGGCAUUCCAAGAUAUUUGCCAAGAUUAUCUGUAGCGGCAAAUCCCAAUGAAUCACUGAUUUUCCUUGCCUUUUCUGCAGUAACAUUCUUUGAGAAAUAAACUCGAGUCUUCUGUUUGCUAAUCAACUCUCCCGAACAACUACAAAAAAUAUUCAGCACAUUAUUGAUCACAUGGGCUUGGUUGCAAGAAGCCUCAGCGAGAAGAAGUAGGUCGUCCGCAAAAAAGAGGUGAGUAAGAGGAACACCAUUUCUCGAGAGCCGUAUAGGACACCAACUUCCAUUUCUUACUGCCAAAUUAAUUGCAUGACUAAGGCGCUCGAUACAUAGAACAAAAAUAUAAGGAGAAAGAGGGUCACCCUGUCAGAUUCCCCUAGACGGAGUGAAUUCUUCAGUGAUCUCCCCUUCCCAUAAAAUUUGCAUUCUAGCCGUAGUAAUGCACUCCAUUGUAAUCCGAAUAAACUCUUUAGGCAGUCCAACAUCCUUAAGAGUAUCAUGAAUGAAGUCCCACCUAAGCCGAUCAUAAGCUUUCUCAAGGUCCACUUUGAUAGCCAUCUGCCCGAUUUUUCCUCUUUUGUUUCUCAUGGUGUGGAUAAUUUCUUGCGCCAUCACAAUAUUAUCUGUAAUUUGCCUUCCAGGAACAAAGCUUGUCUGGGUUGGUCCGAUCAACUCCGGUAGAAUUCCCUUUAACCUAUUUGCCAAAAUUUUUGUAACAGUUUUAUACAUCACUGGACAUAGGCUAAUGGGACGGAACAUCCUCAAGUUGGUGGGGUUGUUUGUUUUUGGGAUAAGGACAAUAAGGGUCUUAUUAAGCUCUGGAGGGAGGGGAUUGCCUUUAAAAAUAUUGCUCACAAGUUCACAAACUGAUGAGCCCACCACAUCCCAUUGUGACCGGUAGAAGAGAGCAUGAAGGCCAUCAAUUCCAGGAGCUUUUAGAGGGUUCAUUCCGAAAACUGUAGCUUUGAUUUCCUCGUUAAGAACAGUUCUGCUAAGAUCAGCUAAACUGUACUCAUCAAUUCUUGGAAAAGCAUUAGUAAUCGGGAAAUUAAAACUCACUUCAUCAUUACAAGAAAAAAGUUUAGAGAAAAAAUCAAUGGCAUGGGACUUGAUCUCUUCUUUAUUAUAAAUCCACGUACCCUCGCUGCUCUGGAUUGCAUCCACUCGGUUUCUCCUUCUUCUCGUUAUUGUUUUUCUGUGAAAAAAAGCAGUGUUUCUAUCCCCACAUGAAAUCCAUUCUCUCCUUGACUUUUGGUACCACAAUAACUCCUCCUGGGAUAGUAUGGUUUCAAGUUCCAUCUUCAAAUUGGACUCAAGCUCAAGAAGCCGGUUUGAAUCAAAUUUCUCCAGAGCAUGUUGAAUACCAUUUAAUCUUGCCAAUAAACGCCUUUUCCUUUUAAAAAUAUUCCCAAAAUUCUCUUUAUUCCACACACUAACUUUAUCCACAAAGUCAUGAGCAGCCCGAAUAUAUCCCUUAGAGUUGCACCAUUCCUUAGCCACUAGAGAUUGGAAAGACUGGUCCGUCAACCAAGCUGCCAAGAAACGAAAUGGCCUAACAACAUUCAUUUUCUUCAAACUACGGCCAAAUCUGACAAGAAUCGGACGGUGGUCAGAAUGAAUUUUUGGAAGAUGUAAAACUGAAGCUUCCAUAAAAGACACAUUCCACUGGUCAUUGCAUAUGGCUCGGUCUAAUCUUUUAAAGAGAGAUCCCCUCGACCAAGUGAAACAAGGCCCUUUAAAAUGUAGAUCCAUAAGCUGAUUAUCAUGAAACCAUUUGUUAAACAGUCUACAAACACCAUUGCCUUUUUUUGAACCUCCUUUUUUCUCUGAAACAUGUAGGAUUGAGUUGAAGUCUCCCCCUAGUAGCCAUGGUCCUGUAACUGAAUUAGCUACCAGGUCAAGAUUGCUCCAUAGCUCCCUCCUCAAAUUUGGGUUGGGGCUAGCAUAAACGGCAGUGACCCACGACCAAUUACCAGAAAAAUCUGUGACUUUAAAAUGAAUGUACUGCUUGUGAUUAAAAACAAACUCCAUCCUGAAUUCUUCUUUCCAUAAAAUCCAAAUACCCCCUGCAAAACCUUCAGCUUCCACUCGAUGCGAUGACUCAAAACCACUACGUUUAAUAAAGUUAUCAGCUUUAACUCCACUGAUUUUAGGUUCCAAAAUCGCAACAAUAUCAGGGUUAUAAAUUUUAUUCAUUAUGAUAAAAGCUCUUCUAAAGCCCGGUGAAGCCACCCCUUGGCAAUUCCAAAAAAGGAUAGAUAAAUUCAUUAAAAUAAAGAGAAUAAUAGGAGGAAACCGUUCAAACCGAACUUCAUUCUGACUCCAUGUUGUCCUCAUCUUCCAAAGAGGUUCCACUAUCAUCAGAUUCUGAGUCACUUCCCUCACCUUCACCCUUAAAGCUCUCAUCAUCCGGGUCAUCUUCAUCAUUGGCAUUUAUUACCAAAUCCUCAUCAGGGGGUUUGUCUCGAUUUUCAAUAAGUAUAUUAGGAUCAGCAAGCUCUAAAUUUGGUAAAGAUGGAACUAAACUGACCCCCUUAGAAUUCGAAUGAAAAUCUUGUCGAGAAACAAAUUUUAUUGCCGUGUGUUUUACUGGGUCCAAGCUAGUGGGAACAAUGGUGGGGAUAGGUAGGUUGGUUGAAGUUACAGGGAUUUUUGACUGUGAACAUGACACUGUUUCUACAUGCAUGUGAGUUGGUGAGGUAACAAGGUUUUCUUUCAAGCAUGGGUGUUUGGCUUUUUUUUCACUUAAACUUUGCAUAGCUGGAGAGUUGACGUUUGUAUGGCUAUUUGUGGUAGUAGGUUUCUUGGGAUUCUUUUUGGUUUGUAUUUUAAAAUGGAAAGCUGGCUGAUCCUUCUCGGUUAUGGGCCCAUUGUAGCCUCUAGGGUGGGAAAACAUUCUAUCCUCAUCAUUAUCCUUUUCGAGCACUUCAAACCGUGAUCCCCCUUCAAAUUUGGCAUCUCGAUGACGAGUGGAAAAAUUAUUAUAGCCACCUCCAUUGUUGACUCUUCCCCUUCCUUUUCGGCUGACAAUCAUCCAAGGCCCAAAUGAAGGGUUUGCCGGAGUAAUUGUAGAGGACGACGGUUGAUCACCACCACCACUACUGUGACUGUUCCCAUCCUCAUUAUUUUCUGAGCUCUCUGUUUGUCUUGUCCUUGUGUUGGGCUGAUGACAGUUUUCAGUCCUAUGACCAUAAAUCCCACAAUUAAAACAAAUAACAGGUAAAUUCUCAUAUUCCACUUUUUGCAUUUUGCCAUCGAGAAAAAACUGUGAACAAAGAGGUUUCUUAAGGGAAACCUCAACCGCAAUACGUGCAAACUUCCCUCUUGUUAUUGAUUCGGUAUUGUAAUCAAUUCGAAUCACUUUUCCAACGACAUUCCCGAGCAUGCGAAGAACCUUUUUAUGAUAAUAGUGUAGAGACAUUCCCGGUAAUCGGAUCCAAGCAACAAUGUUUUCAAUAUCUUCACUGGAACCAUCGAAGUGAGGGUUCCAUUGUUGCACAGUGAGAUAAUGACCGAGAAUGGUCCAAGGACCUUGUGUUAGAGCAUAAUGGGCGUCCCCUUCUGUUUUGAACUUAACCAGGAAGAAAUCAUUCUCUAGGUCAAUAACAGAGAAACCUUGGGUCGUUUUCCAAACCUCAUUUAACUUGUUGCAGAGUGCCCGAUAGCCAAGAGUUCUCCCGAGAAGUUUGACAACAACCGUGUUUCUCCAUGGUUUCACCAGCUGUGCUUGGAUCUUUUCUGAGAAGGAAAUGGAUGGGAUGCUUCCCUUUUCACUAACAACAACGUCUUCAGGAUCAAAUUCCAAUUCUUCUUCUCUACCCAAAGGCUCCUCUUCCCCAUCAUUCUGAUCUUCCAUUAACUUAUCUUUAAAAGAUAGCGGAAGUGGAUUUUCAUCAUCAUUCCCGUGACUCCUAAAUCUUGCCUUUUUAGUUGAACGUUCCUCCGCCAGUGGUGGUGGCGGUUCCACUAAGAAGAAAUACCUUGCAAAUUUAUUGGGUAGGAUUACCGACAACUCAAAUCAACUAAGAAGAAAUAUCUUAACUGGCAAUAUAAUUUUGACCAUAGACUUGCAAAUUAUACAGAAACCCUUGAUUUUAUGUGAAAAUAAUUUUGAGACUUUUGGGAAAAAAAACAAAAAGGCAUGUUUGACUAAUUAUGAAACUAAGGAAAUCAUAUUUGAUCAUGUAAACAUAUUUUGAGGAUUUCAGUGUCUUUUCUCUUCAUUGUCUUAUCUACUUAAUCGAUGUCUCUUCAAUUUAUAUUAGAACUUAAUGAGACUUUCGGAAGAAAGCCAUGCUCUCGAUAAUGCUGGGCAAAAAGUCCAAAUUAAGGGUAUGAUCAAUUAUCUAUUCCAGUAUUGAUUCUCAAUUCCUCUUCAUUGAAAAUAAUUUGAUUGGAUAUUUGGUAAAUUUAUAUUAGGAUAAUUACCGUUCAACUUUUCACAAACUGCAAAAUAAUAGAUGACUACAAAAAAGUAUUGACUCAUCAUUUUAUAUAUCUUCACAAAACUUUCUAUUUUAUUACUAUAUAUUUACAAAAACUUAAAUUAAUAGAGAACCAAUAAUCCACUAUUUCUCCAAAUAUCAUAUACAUGUUUUGGUUAAUUACUCACAAAAGUGUGUGGUGUAUAAUGUUACAAACAUACAAGUUCAAUUAAAAUGACUCUAGUUUUCUUUACAUUGCGAGUUGCGAGCAAAAGCGCUUUACUAAUUCUACGUGGAAAAUAAAAGUUGACUGACUUUUUCAACAAACAAGCCGACGUCAAAGUCUUUUUCCUCCAGCAGUUGAUGGCAAUUUUCAUUAAUAAUAAGAUAAAGUUGAUUGACAAUUUAAAUAAUUUAAGGGUACCAUUGGGUUCACAUUGAAUUAUCAAAUAAUCUAUCUGACCAUGACUCUCAAAUAAUGAUGGGUGGGGCCAUUUAUUCGUUCCUCAUUCAAGUAUCUCAGCAGCCAUAAUUUACUUGAGGAAAGACUUGAUCAUUGAAGUUGAAAAUAAAAGCUGACUGCACGCAAAUUGACCGGCGUUUAUGCAACAACCCAAGUUGACUGCAGAGAUAAAAUUUUACACUUGUUAAUUUUACAGGAAAUUAAUAAAAUCCGAUUAUUGAAUUUUAUCUCUGGAAAUUAAUAAUCUAUCCCUCCCAAACUGCAACGUCACAGAUCCCAUUAUCAACCCAAGGAGUAAGAAUGUUGUCAGCGUAUUCAUUAUCACUCACCGAUACAAAGGAGCUCUUGAUUUCCAUUAAAGCAAUCCUCUCUUUCUCCAAGCAACAUUUGACUCCAUGCAUCUGAAUCAAAUCUAUGGCAAACCACACUGAAAACCUAAUUAAAAACCUUUCCGUUUUUAACCUAAGAUUAAACUUUAAUUUAAUUUGUUGCACUCUCAAAGCUUAUGUCUCGCAAGAUAUAACUAUAUAUAUUCGGAAUUUUUUUAUUAAAAAAUAAUUAUUUUGAUUGUAAGAAGGUAUAGUUAGUAAUUUUACAUAUUAUAAAGAUUGACAAUCCAAUAAAUAACUGUUAAUUAUAGUGAGAUAGUGAUGUAACGGAUUCUAUAAAAAAACGCUGAACAGGAAAACUAACAAAUUAUACAAAAGGGUAAAUUGAUGCAGCUAGGGUGAUUGAUAUAGAUAGGAAAUUUUUAAUAUUCUAUUGAUUUUAAGAAUACUUGGAAUAAAAAAUAAAAUAAAAAUUGUGUUGAUUCUGCAAAAUAUUUUGAAUUUAGUUUGCGUCAGAUCUCGAUAGUUCAAAGAAUGACUUAAAGACAAUAAGAAUGGAUUUCAAACAAAGAGUUUACUAUACAUAAAAUAAUGAGUAUCUAGUAUUGAGUCUUCCUCAAAGACUACGAAUGAGUAAUGACGCUUAUGUAUGUCAACUCGAUCGGACUUAAACUAGCGAACUCCAAUUUGAGCAUUUUCACGAGAAGGGUAAACUAGCGAACUCCAAUGAGUAUGACUUCAUAACUUACACAAACAUUUAAAAAUUCAAUUUAGAUAUCUAAGACAAGGGUAAACUUCAAUUUACUCCCUGCUUAAAUUGUUAAUCCUCAAUUUAUUUCCUAAAAAUGUGAAAAUAUUAAUUUACCUCAAUUUUUAGUUAAGAAAACAUUAAAAAAAAAUAUAUCAAUGUGCCCGCAAUUGCCCUCAUCUUUUUAAAAAAAAUGGGGAUAAAUUGAGAUUUUUAUACUUUUUAGAAAUAAAAUGAAGAUUGUCAUUUCAUCUAAAGGACAAGACCUGAUUGUACCAAGUUAUUUUAAUUUUCUAGUUUAAUUACAAUGUAAAAAAAAAAAGGAUUUAUUCAAAAUUUGGCCAAAGCCCAAGUCCAAUGCUUUCUUCUAUACUCCUACAGCCCAAUUAUUAAUAAAAUUAUGAUUUCUACUUUUUAAUUCAUUAAUUUAUUUUAAUUAAAAUUAAAAUUAAGAAAAAAGUUACAUUCGGAACAUUCGGGAUGGUAUUGGUAUUUUAACCGAUAGGAAUUCGUUGCCUUUUUUUAUCCCGAUUAAAAAAUGGUACCGGAUUCGUACAAUUCUUUAUUCCAAUUAAACAAUCAUUAGGAAUUAGUAUUGGACAAUCCCAAUCAGGAUGUACUGAUUACCAACAUUAACAUUUAGGUCUACAAGUUAAUGGGUUUUUAGGUGGGGGAAUGUGAAACCAUAUGGUCAUGUCAUCUAUCCUAAUGAAUUAAUAAAUAAUUGAAGUGUUUUAAGCAACAUUCAAAAAAAUGGAGAGAGCUUUUUCUUUUCCUCGGGUAUUCCAAAAAUUGUGUUUAUUUCAAACUUAAAAAGAUAACACUCAAUGAAUUAUUAGAAGAUGAAGACAAUUUUUUUCUUUUUUUGGAUAAUUUUUUUUCCUACUGCUACACCUCCAUCAAAAUCAAUAUAACAUUAAAGGAAAAUUGAUCAAAACCCUUUGCUGCUAAAAAGAUUUUAAUAAUUUUUAACUUUUCUGUCUUUUAUUAUUUUUAUAUUUGAUAUGGUAAGACCGCCAUUGAUGUAUAAGAGUUGUCAGGAAUAAAAUAAUAAAAGACCAAAAAGUUGAAAGUUAAGUUAUGAGGCUAAUGUCUUGUUAAAAUUUUUCAGAAUUUAGAUGUGCACGGUUAACAUGAGUUUUGUUGAAUGAACCACUAAAAUUGCGUUAUUAUGCCAAAAGGACAAGGAUCCUAAUCCAUGUCAAAAAGGGACUGAAUUGAGAGUCAAAUAGUAAAGAUCAAUAAAGAAGGGAAAAAGUAUCAGUCAUCCUAAUAAAAACCAAUCAAAAGAGAGAAAGAAAAGGAGAAGUCAAUGAAGCGAAAGAAAAAAAAACACGGAUCAAACAAGUUGAUCACUGUUCUAAUACCACUCGAUUUAAACACUCCAAGACCUUAAAGAACUAACAAAGACUCAAUCAAGAGCACACAAAACCCUAGAUUGAUCGCAGCAAGCUCUCUUUGAUAUACAUAAAUCUAGGUGGAUAAAUGGAGUUAGAGAGUGAGGUACAGCGAACAAGAUUUGAUGCCUACUCGCAAAAUACGGAGUGGAUGAGAUUGAGAAGAGCAGUGUCUGAUUAGCAUUUUAAAGGCUGUUAAAACAGAGACCCAGAAGCUUCCCGCUCUUCUUUUAACCAACUUAACCUACCUCUGACCCAGUGUGACUGAACCAAAUCACGUGCCUUGAACGUGUGUUUAAAUGACAGCGAUAGCCAGUUGAGGUAAUGUCGUUUAAGCUUUUUGAUUCCGAUGCGCAGGUGCUCCAAGUAAACUACAUAUUGGACCGAUAUUAAAUUCUUAACUAUAAACCGACGCCUUCGUUUAAUACUGUUUUCAGAUCAACUCUUAUCUCACAUGCACAUUUUAGGCAAAAAGGUGAAACCCACCAAAGCAUGCACCUUUCAUAUCUUGUUUCGAUCACCAAAACAUAGCAUACUAUGGUAGUAAGAGAAGUCGAUAUACAGCCGAACAUAAGCUAUUACGUGGUUCACCAAAUUAAUUCUUUGGUAAAUUAUAAAUCAUGGACUAUGCUAAGUACGUGAAUUUUGGAUUGCAAAGCCCAUAAUAAAAAUUGUAACGGGCUGUUUGCGCAAAGUAGAUGAUAUCUACUUUUAUCCUUUUUGUAAUUUCGUUUAAAGCUAUUUUUGUAAUAUAAAUAAGCUGAUUCAUCAUUAUCUCAAUAUGACAAUUUGCAGACUAGUUUUGUAUUCUUUUAGCCCCUGAAAUUUUAAUAUUAAUAAUAAAUUACGAAUAUGUGAGUCAAGCGUGUCACCCGUACAAGAAAUCUUCAGAAUCAUAUGGCAGAUGAAGUGCACAACAAGGCAUAAAAAUUAACACAUUAUAUAAAAAUUAAUACAUUAUUCAAGAACCCAGGUUGAAAGCAACCGACUAAAAUUAAUACAUAAAAGUUUAAUUACACAUAACAGAAAGAUACGGUAAACUAUGGUCUAGCACGAUCACGGACGAAAUAUACAAAUUUCACAAGCCAAUAGAAACACCAAUCAAUACAUGCAUCAAUGAAACAAAACCAUAGCCAGCGCCAAUAAGAGUUCAACCAAAGGAUCGCAAAUAACCCAAGCAUGAAUGUGACGUACGAUGCGCCAAAACUCCAAUUGAAUGACACCAUAUCAAUUGCAGAUUCAUCUUCGUCUUCUCCUUGAUAGGACGACGUUGCUGGAUUUGCCUCUGCUCUGGUGCAACUCUUAUUAACUGUUGGACCACAAAGACCGAGAUUACCUUUGUAACUCUUUUCAUCAAACGUGCCAAAUUGUCCUUUGUCUGGGAUCAGACCUGACAAGUUGUUGUACGACACAUUGAAGUUGGAUAAAAAGUUGAGCUCAGUCAGUUUAGGAGAAAUUAGGCCACUCAAUUUAUUGUGACAAAGGUCUAGGCUCUCUGUCAUCUUCAGAUUGGAAAAACUCUCUGGUAUAGAUCCUGAUAAGUAAUUAUGGGACAGAUUCAAUGCACGAACUUUUUGAAGUUCUCCAAUUUCCGCUGGAAUUUCUCCGGUCAACUCAUUACAUGACAAAUCUAGUCCAGUCAUGUAGUUAAGAUUACUACUGUUGUAAACUUCAUAUCUAUUCUUUGUCACAAAUUCUACUUGUACUCCAUUUGCUGCUGUAUAAUCAUCUCCAUAAAACUCCAAGUCAAGGUUAGAGGAAUUGAAGUAAAUACCAAUAGAAUCAACAUCUAAACUCCAAGAAAACUCACGUUCAGAUCCAUAAAGAUCAUCAUUUCCUGCUCUCCAGAGUGACACAUUAACAAAACAUGAAGGUAUUGACCCAUUAAGUCUGUUACGUGAAAGAUCCAUGAUACCUAAUUUUCCUAAUUUAGACAGUUGAUUAGGAAUAUGACCUUGCAGAUAAUUCCCUCUCAAUAUAAGAACACGCAGCUCCGAAUGCCCAUUUAUCUGAUGAGGAAUACUACCAGAAAAUUUAUUAUCCCCUAAAUCUAAUGUCAUCAACUUGGAGCUACUAAAGAAUGCCUUUGGGAUUGAUCCACACAGAGAAUGUUGAAAACAGCAGUAGUGAGGAGGCAAAGAUUGACCUUGAAGCCAAGCUGGCAUGCCACCUAAGCCUCUGUAAUCUGCAGCCAGCUGACAUGGAAGAUGAGUCAAGAUUAUUGAGGUGGCAGAACAGCUGUGCUGAAGAAUAUCAGCACAUAAGCAUGGAGCAGCUGAAUCUUCUGGAAUUCUAAAAUGAUUGGCUCAUGCCUGCCAUUCUGACAAAUUUGUUUUGUGUGUAAUAUUCUUUAUUAGCUGUCAUUAUUUUCUUGUCUCUAUAUAUACUACAUCUGCUCUGUAAUACGAUCAUCGAGUAUGCAAUAAUAAAGAAAAAGGAAACUUUGUCUUGUUCACUCUGCUAGCAACACCAAAGCAAUUCUCUAGAAUUUAAGUUGGUAUCAGAGCCAUCUUUUAGCUAUGGCAAGCAGCAGUGACAAUGAAACAAAUGUUAAUCCAACACAGGUUGAUUCAAGUGAUCAACCAGAUGAAUUGAACCAAAACACUGAGCCACAGAAUCCAGGCCUUAAUACCAGAAACACAGCACAAAUAAGUGCAUCACCAACCCAGCACAUCACUAGCAACACCUAUGUCUUCACUACUCCAAUCAAACUCACUCAAAGCAACUUUAUGCUCUGGAAAUCACAAGUGAUUUCUAGCAUUCGAGCAAAUGAGCUUGAGGGGUUUGUUGAUGGCAGCCAUGUCUGCCCUCCUAAGGUCUUCAUGAGUCCAGGACCAAAUCGAACCACCAUAACCACACCUAACCCUGAAUACCAGAUUUGGAGGAAACAGGAUCAUAUCCUACUGAGUUGGCUACUCUCUUCACUAAGUGAGGGAGUCCUAGGCACAGUGGUAGAUUGUUCCACCUCCUGUGAGGUGUGGACAACUCUAGCCAACCAAUUUGGUGCUAGAACAAGGGCAAGAAUCCUAUAUCUUAGAACUCAAAUUCAAACCACUAAAAAGGGUUCAUCAACCAUUCAUGAAUACUACUCAAAAAUGAAAACUUUAUUGAACUCACUUAGAGCUGCAGGGAAUAGCAUGAAUGAUGAUGAUUUCAUCAUGUGUGUGCUUGCUGGGUUGGGGCCUGAAUAUGACUCAGUAGUCACCAACAUCAACUCAAUGCAAGAGAGUCCCUCAAUCUCAGAAGUGUAUGGUAUGCUUUUGAGUCAAGAAAACAGAACUGAGCAAAACUUGAGCUCAGGGAAUAUUGAAGCCAACUAUGCUCAAAUGAGGAAUGGAAGAAGGAGCUGGAAUAAUAGUGAAAGAGCUGCCCAUCAACAGCUGCCUGGAAUUGUUUUUAGAAAUCCUGGAAACAACCCCACAAACAACCAAACCAAUCAGAACCCUCAAGACAAAGGGAAAGGAAAAGCAGUGGCUGAUGACAAUGGUUCUGAUCCAAAAGGGCCAUGCCAAAUCUACUGGAAAAUGGGACACACAGCAGCUGAGUGUUGGCACAGGUUUAAGAAGAACUUUGUACCUCAGCCAAACAGAAGAAGAGAGCAGAGGGGUGCUUAUGUUGCUGCAGCUGAAGGUCAAAGCAGUGGAGCCUGGUACCUUGACAGUGGUGCCACCAAUCAUGUGACUAACACUCUUGGAAAUCUCAGCAUCAACUCUGAAUACCAAGGUAAAAAUAAGCUAGCUGUUGGUAAUGGUGAAAAGCUUUUAAUUAGUCAUAUUGGAUACUCUGCCUUGCCCACAUAUGAUCCACACAUGCACAUUACCUUGACUGAUAUAUUAUAUGUGCCUGACAUAACCAAAAACCUGAUUAGCAUUUCUAAAUUGCUGCAUGACAAUGAUGUUGAUGUUGAGUUUCAAAAAUCUGUUUGUUUUAUUAAGGACAAGAGACAAGGAAAAAUUCUGGUGAAAGGAGUGGCUAGAGAUGAGCUAUAUGAGCUGCUAUCCUGAGCAGGAACAAAAAUCCUCAUGCUGUUUUAUUUUCUAUUUUGUCAAAUUCAGAGUCAAUAAAUAACAGUAGUUGUCCAGUGUCCAUGUUGUCCUUCAAUUCAAGUAAUGAGUCAGUCAAAGUUAGUGUUGAGUCAAAUAUAGCUGAUGAGUCAAGUAGCAACAAUCUGCAAGCUGCUGAAGAAAUUGAUGUAUGGCAUUCCAGACUAGGACACCCUAGUACUUCAGUCCUGAAAAAUACCUUGCUAUCUUGUAAUCAGCUCAAAAUUAAUAAAGAUAUUGUUCCUUCAUUUUGCUCUGCAUGUCAAUAUGGAAAGCAGUCAAAACAAUCAUUCAAAAGCACUGAAACCAAAACUAAGACAGCCCUUGAAUUGAUUCACACAGACCUUUGGGGACCAGCACCAAUUCUGUCCACUCAUGGACAUAGAUACUACAUCUCCUUUGUUGAUGACAAAACAAGAUACACAUGGCUCUUUCCUUUAGUAGCCAAGUCUCAAGCUCUUGAAACCUUCAUUACCUUUAAAAAUCAGAUCGAAAAGCAGUCGAACUUAACAAUCAAAGCACUACAAACAGACAUGAGAGGAGAGUUCAAAGCCUUUGAACCAUAUUUGAAAAGAGAGGGAAUAACACUAAGGCAUUCAUGUCCAUACUUACAUGAACAAAAUAGCAAGGUUGAGAGAAAACACAGACACAUUGUGGAGACUGGACUUACCUUACUUGCCCAAGCCAAAAUGCCCUUAAAAUUCUGGCAAGAAGCUUUCAGCUAUGCUACUUUCAUUAUUAACAGACUUGCUUCACCUGUGCUCAAGAACAAGACACCAUUUGAAUUAUUAUACUCUCUCAAACCAGAUUAUACACAAAUUAAAAUCUUUGGCUGUGAAUGUUUUCCAUUUCUUAGACCAUACAACAGACACAAAUUUGAUUUUCAUACCUCAAAAUGCAUCCUAUUGGGGAUCAGCAGUGCUCACAAAGGUUAUGUUUGUAUGAACAAUUUAGGAAGAAUCUAUAUCUCAGCUAGUGUCAGAUUCAAUGAAAAAUCCUUUCCUUUCGAAAAUGAUUCUAGCUUUAGGAAACAAGAGUCAGUAAAGGAGAGUGAUGAAGUUGCUUUACUUGAGAAAUUUCAGGUUGUGUCAUUCUUUGUUAAUAGUUCCCAUGAUCUUACACAAGUGGCAACAGCUCAUAGCAACUCUCCAGACACUACUGGAAACACAGAAUGCAUCCCAAGUCCAAUCCAGAAUGAAAUACAACAGGUAAAUGACACUGACACAAUAUCAGGUAGCUUUUCAACUUACAGUCCACCUCACAUUACAGAAACAAACAACCAAAACCUUCCCACACAAAAUGCCUUACCUUCACACCCCAUGGUAACAAGAUCCAAGGCUGGCAUCUUCAAACCAAAGUUAUACCAGGUUUCCAGUAAAACACAACCUUUCCUUCCCAAAAACACAUUUGAUGCCUUGAAAAAUCCCAAGUGGAAAAGGGCAAUGGAGGAAGAGUAUCAUGCAUUGAUGAAAAAUAAAACCUGGACCUUAAUACCAAACAAUCAAAAUUUCAAAUUGAUUGGAAAUAAGUGGAUCUACAAAGUAAAGGAAAACUCAGAUGGCAGCAUCAAUAAGUAUAAGGCCAGAUUAGUUGCAAAGGGAUUCUUGCAGACUCCAGGACUUGAUUUCAAUGAAACUUUCAGCCCUGUUGUUAAGGCUGCAACUAUUAGAAUCAUCCUAACCAUGGCUGUGAGCAAUGACUGGUUACUUAGGCAAGUGGACAUAAAACAAUGCCUUCUUGAAUGGUGACCUGACAGAGGCAGUAUACAUGCCACAGCCUGAAGGUUUUGAAGACAAGAACAGGCCAAGCUACAUUUGCAAACUGGAAAAGGCUUUGUAUGGAUUGAGGCAAGCUCCGAGAGCAUGGUUUGAUAAACUAAAAGGUGCCUUGAGUUGUUGGGGAUUCAAGAAUUCCAAGAGUGACACAUCUCUAUUUUUCAGAAGAAUUGAAUCAAAGAUAGUCAUCAUGCUCAUAUAUGUAGAUGAUAUCAUAAUCACUGGAAGUGACAGUCAAGGUAUUGAGGAAGUCAUUAAAGAUCUAAAUACAUCUUUUGCUCUGAAGGAUCUCGGAAAUUUAAAUUUCUUUCUUGGGAUACAAGUUCAGAGGAGUCAAAACUCUCUUCUUCUCUCUCAAGUGAAAUAUAUUCAAGACUUGUUGACCAAAACAGAGAUGACAGACUGCAAAGGAAUAGAGACACCCUUCAGCACUUCUGAGAAAUUAAAGAAGGGUGUUGGGAAUAAAUUCCAUGAUCCUACACUCUAUAGAAGCGUCAUAGGAAGCCUGCAAUAUGCGGUGCUGACCAUGCCAGAGCUUGCUUUCUCAGUUAACAAGCUCAGCCAGUUCAUGUCUGAUCCCAGACAGCCACAUUGGGUGGCAUGCAAAAGAGUGCUGAGGUAUCUCAAAAACACAAUGAAUAUGUGUUUAAGUUUCAAAAAAUCUGAGCAUUUGGAUCUCAUUGCCUACACAGAUGCAGAUUGGGCAACUGAUCCAGAUGACAGAAGAUCCAUAAGUGGAUACUGUGUGUACUUGGGAGAUAAUCUAGUUGCUUGGAGCUCGAGAAAACAAGGCAUGGUUGCAAGGUCAACAGCAGAGUCAGAAUACAGAGCAAUGGCUCUAUGCAGCACUGAAAUCACAUGGAUAAAUUCUCUACUUGGUGAGUUGAAGAUGGAAGUUGAAAAUGUACCAAUUAUCCUAUGUGACAGCACCAGUGCAGCAGCCAUAGCAGCAAACCCAGUGUAUCAUUCUAGAACAAAACAUUUUGAGAUAGACCUUCACUUCCUCAGAGACAAAGUUACAAAAGGUGAAUUGGAAAUAAACUAUAUUGGCAGCAAUGAUCAAAUUGCAGAUGUGCUGACCAAGCCAUUACCACACCACAAGUUUAGCUGUUUUAGAAGCAAACUCAAAGUCAUUGACAAGACCUUGAAUUUGAGAGAGGGUGUUGAAAACAGCAGCAGUGAGGAGGCAAAGAUUGACCUUGAAGCCAAGCUGGCAUGCCACCUAAGCCUCUGUAAUCUGCAGCCAGCUGACAUGGAAGAUGAGUCAAGAUUAUUGAGGUGGCAGAACAGCUGUGCUGAAGAAUAUCAGCACAUAAGCAUGGAGCAGCUGAAUCUUCUGGAAUUCUAAAAUGAUUGGCUCAUGCCUGCCAUUCUGACAAAUUUGUUUUGUGUGUAAUAUUCUUUAUUAGCUGUCAUUAUUUUCUUGUCUCUAUAUAUACUACACCUGCUCUGUAAUACGAUCAUCAAGUAUGCAAUAAUAAAGAAAAAGGAAACUUUGUCUUGUUCACUCUGCUAGCAACACCAAAGCAAUUCUCUAGAAUUUAAGUGAGAAUUCUUCUGCAUAUAAAGGUGCUUCACUGACGAUGAAGGAUUGAAGGGAUAUAUAAUGGACCCAGACAAAUUAUUUUCAGAGACAUCUAAAAUUUCAAGUGCUUCAAGAUUGUUGAGUUGGACUGGAAUAUCACCUUCCUAAAGAUUUUUUGACACUGAAAGAAGCAAAAGACUUGACAAGUUACCUAUCCAACUAGGAAUCUGCCCAACUAACUUGUUGUUGGAUAUAUCUAACACUUCCAAUGACCUAGCGGAGCUCAAAAACCCGUUCGAAAUUCUGCCACUGAAAUUAUUGUUGUCUAAAGAUAACCAACCCAAUUGAGUCAAGUUCAUAAACUUAGGAGAUACUUGCCCACUGAAACUGUUAUGCGACAGGUCCAACAACAGUAGUGAGAAGCAACCAGUGAGAAGUGGCGCAAACAAUUCUCCCGAAAACUGAUUUCUAGACAAAUCCAGAAUACGAAGGUCUUUCAUCUCACUUAUUGAAGAAGAAAUACUACCUUCAAAUUUAUUUUUUGACAUAUCUAGGUACACCAAUUUUUGCAAUAUGGUACUCAUAUUCUGGGGGAGCCUACCGGAGAAACUGUUGCUAGAAAUAUCUAGAUGAUGAAGGAAAUCAAGUUUGGAAUUGGACAGUUGGAGACUUCCUGUGAAUGAGUUGUUUGUCAAACGCAAAACCUCUAAUUUUGUGUUAUACUGUAGCAACCAAGCAGGAAAAUUGCCAACCAACUUAUUAUGUGAGAGGUCAAGGGAUUUUAAGCCAUGCUGUUUUUGAAGAAAACCAAGGGUUCCAUUUAGGUUGCAAUUGCGUAAAUGAAGGACCUUCAAUUGGGAUGUAGGAAGCCAAUUUUCAGUUUCCACUUCUAACGUAUUGUUUACUAAUGAGAGCAUGAAGAACUCAAGAUUUGAAUGAUUACCCAAGGAACUGAGAUAGAAUAUGCCUUGAAAGUAGUUGUCAGAGAGAUCCAAAUAUUGGAGUGAUGUGAGGCUCGCGAUAACAGAAUGUGGGCUCCCACUUAACUGAUUGGAGGAAAUACCAAAUACCUUGAGGCGGGUUAAGUUUUUGAGACACUGGGGAAGAGGACCCUCAAUAGCAUUUCCUUCAAGAUUCAACUCAAUAAGAUUUUUCAACUCACAUAUUCCUGAAAAUUUUCAAGAAAAAGGGUAUACAAUUAGUCAGAAGAGAUCGACACAAAUGUUUAAGAGUAUUUUUAUUUUCUUUUAUGGUGCUGGGAUGGAGCAUUUGUGAACUCUAUUAAAGUGUUAUUCGGUAUGGCAUUUCUACCCGUAUAUAAGGGGAGGAAAGAAAAGACAAUUCUAUAUCUUAAGUUUGUUUAUUCGGUCAUAUUAGAAAUAAGUUAUCGAAGUUUUUUUUUAAUUAUUUUACCUUGAUUUUCCAGAGAACCAUUUAUAUCAGUAUAGCUCAGAUCCAAUGCUUUUAAGUUUUUAAAUUUUGCUAAUCCUGCAUUAAGAAAAAUGAAAUGGUCUUAGAAACCGUAAUUUUUGAAGGGUAAACAACUCUCUGUAAAUGCAAUUGUUACCUAAUCCUGAUGCAGAUCCACUCAUUCUAAUUUCACGUAGUUGCAGAACUUCCAGGUUUGUCAGGUUUUCUAAUCCUGCAACAAGGAAAGAUAAUUAAACCAGUAAUUAACUAUAGAGGAGUGAAAAGAAACAGCUUCCUACCAAACAUGUAAACAAAGACUUGAAUAAUUGGAUGCUAAGGAGGUUGGAAUAAGAAGAAAAAGAUUUUGGGUGCUAGAAGAGGGAAGCAGAUGUACCAAAAGAUCACCAAAAAUUUGCAGAGCCUCUCAUAAACGGAUAAAAUCCAACCGUUGAAUUUACAUUUAACAUAAACAUUUUUUCACAACAAAACAGAUCAUGCUCAGUACACUCAGAGCCUGAAACCAACCUUCAAUUAAAUUCUCAAGAUUCUCAUUUACCAAGCAUAAAUCUAGAAAUCCUUGAGCAACAUAUGAUGAAACAGAGUACGUACUAUCAACUCAAACAGAACCAGCUUAUGUAUCAAACUACUAACCCAGCUUGCAACCUAAGAACGACCAAUGCCAACUCACCCCAUGAUCACGGGUUCAAAAUUAAGAAGAUUUAAACCCCUAAAAAAAAAAAAGAAAACAUUCCUUCAAGUUUGAAAUAAGCCUUAUCAAAUCUUAAGUGGAUAGAUGCAAUUAAUAGAUCAGAAUUCGAAGCGAUAGUCAAUAAUGACUAGAUUGUAUAUGUUCUAUCAAUUCACACCAAAAAUCAUUAAAUCUACAAAUUCUUAACAUUUUAUCUACUCUAAUAAGAAAAUUAAGUUGACAACAAAGAUGAUUUAUUUUCCAUUCCACAAAAAUAAAUGGAAACUAGGAAAUAAAACAGUCACCUUGACUCGUUGGAAAGCCGCUUAUCAGAUUACCACCUAGACCCAAUCUUUUCAACUUUCUCAAAUUUCCCAGUUCUACACCAAGAAAAAGGAAUCAGUACUUGAAAAUUAGUGUGAGAGCUGUUGUAAAAAGCUGUGAUCAGUAUGCUUAGUUAAUAACAUUGCUGCUCUGUCAUCACAGUUGCUUACCUAGCCUUGUUACAGAGCCAUUUAUUCUGUUACCCCUUAUAUCCAAAGCUUCUAAAUUUGUCAAAUUCGCUAUUCCUACACAGUAAGUCCCACAAAUAGACGGAAAAACAGAAGGUAAGAAAGUGGUGAUUAGUAGUACGCUUGAUAUCAUUGCUUGUCUGCUCCUUAAGUAGCUUACCUAGCCUUGUUACCGAACCACCGCUUAUUCUGUUACCAGUUAGAUCCAACACUUGCAGGUUCCUCAGAUUUACUAAUCCUGCACCCAAAAUAAAAGUUAUUGAAAAGGACAAUAUUGGAUUUUGAAAAUUAGAUAUAGAUUGAUUAAGAUUUGUAUAUAUAUGGAAAUGUUGUACCUUGCUUGGUUCUAGAACCGUCGAUGUUAUUGCCAACGAGAAUCAAAGUUGUAAGUGAAGUAAGUGUAUUCAAAUAUGGUAGUAUGAUGUCGUUGAAGAGAUUAUAACCGAGAUUUAACAUCUUCAAUUGCUUCAAACUCCCAAAACUAUCAUAAGCUGCUAAUCAAGGCACGCAGGUGAAAUGAAUUGGUUAAUUUAGUUGCAAAUUUUCCUUUCAGGAUGAAUGUGGAGACUACUAAAAAUCAAACAGGAAAUGAACACACCUUUACCCUUGUAGACACCUUCAAACAAAUUGAAAGACAAGUCAAGGCUUUGAAGUUCUUCAAAAGGAAGAAGCAAUGACAUAUUCAGAAGCGGAGAUCCAUCAAUGAAGUCAUUAUAUUUGUUUUGCGGUAAAAUAUCGAGAGAGAGUUGUGUCACUCGUCGCGUGGUGGCGUUGCACUUAACUCGCUCCCAAUCACAACAAUCAGACAUCGGAUCAUCAUCAACCCAUGAAUUAGGAAUAUUAUACUUGUUUUCACUAUCACUGAUUGAUAUAAGGAAGCUCUUGAGUUGCAGCAGACCAAUCCUCUCUUUCUCCAGGCACCCUUGGUAUCCAUGCAUUUGAAUCAAAGCUAGUAAAGUCAGCGACACUGAGAACUUGACAAUGGAAGUUUCCAUUGGAAGCCAACCUUUCAUAGUUUGUACUUUGUUCUCAAUCUGCAGCUUCACCACUCAUAAAUCACAUAUAUUUAAUGUGAGUAUUGCAUGUAAUGACGGAAGGAUAUUUCUAAACAAAAAAUCUAAAUUUUUUCUUCUUUUCUUUCUAAAUUUUUCAUUAGAUUAAUGUUUGAAUAAUGUUUAUAGAAGCAAUAACAUUAACAGAACUUAUUAUAUAUAUACACACACACAGAUACACACACAAAACGACAAAAUUAUGAGUUUAGUUAGGUAUAUAUAAGCAUUUAAUUACCAACACAUUAAUUACAGCACCGGUGUAUACACUUUGUAUUGGCAUUUAGUUUCUUUAUUAUUUUUGUAAAAUAUACGCUUUUAAUAUAAUUAAAAACAUAAACAUUUUUUUUAAAUGUGUAGUAUUAUCAUAAAUCAUUUUGUAUUUAAAGAACGUUAAAAUAAGAAAAAAAAUCAGUUAAUUUCAUUAACAAAGAUCCUUAGUUAGUAAGGAUUCCUUACGUUUAAAGGAUUUAGAAACAGUUAAUUUUCCCGCUUUCAACAGGGUUUCCUAAACCCCGGGCAAACUCUCUCUCUAUGUAUAUAAAAUAAAAACUCUCUUCGCAGAAUGGCAAGUAAACCUAUCAAUCAAUCAAAGAAAGGCUAAAAAAGAAAUAAAGAUCAGACAACAAUGGCGAAUUCCGUGAAGAGAUUGGUGGAAGUAUGCAGCAAAGAAGACGGGUUUCUGGGCUCAUACUUCGAGGCCAAACUAGUACAGAGAGUCAGCAAGACAAGUUCUUGGUGGAGUUCUUGACGCUGGUGUCGGAGGAAGAUGAGAAUGAGAAGCUGAGGUAGGUGGUGGACGCGACGGAAGUGAGGCCCUCCGAGUAACUGGAGUUUCCCGUCGCCGUCAGUUGAAAUCCGGUCACCGUUGGUCGGCAUGGGUAUUUUGGUAAUGUUCACAUGGAUGCAGUUGAAAUUAACUUAAUAUUUGUAAAGUAAAGUUAAAUAAAAAAGAGUGAAAGGGGUUAUAUAAAAAUUUGCCACAAAAGACAAAAGAAAGUAGCACGGUAGCACUGUGGUACCAUAGGCAGAUCCCAAUCUUUAUAGCAAUUGGCACAGAUAAAGAUAAUUAGUUUUGGUCUCUAUAAUGACUGACGAAGACUUGUCGGACUUGGACCAAUGAGGAAAAACACUUCAUUAAUACUCCAUGGAAAAUAAAAUGUUAACUGACUUUCAAAUUAAGCCAACAUACAAAUGGUCGUCAAUUCUAUUUUUUACAAAAAAAUUGAUGGAAAUAGUCAACUAAUAAAAUAAAAGUUGAUUGAGGUAAUUUAAAGAAUUUAGGCGUAAGUUUGGGUUUUAAAUUAUCAAAUAAUUUAUUCCACUAUUGAUACUUAAAAAAGUACUUUGGAAUUAAUAAUUCAAUAGGAUGUUUGAUAAAUUGGAAUUUGUGAAAAUCAAUAAUCAACUAUUUUUUAUCCAUGUUUAGAAAUUUAUCCGGUGUGUAUAAGGGCUUGUAUAUUUCACAAUAAACUGAGAUUUGUUUUUUGAAAGCCAAUAGAAACAUGAAAUAGUACAUCCAUCGAAUAAUCAAACACGCACACUACAAGGCGACCUUCGAUUGACGUAUUAUGUCAACUAACCCGUGGGACAUGGAGGAUGUGUGUUAACGUUAACCAAUAGUCAAGCUUAUGAACACAAUCAAGCAAUCGUAUCAUCAAUCAAAGCCACAUUUAGCGCAUGACUAGUAAAUAUCAUAAUUGAGUUUGAGGACCACAGCCGCACGGUGAAAGAAUUUGAAUGAAGGAAAAGUAAAAGAAAAUGAAAACGAAAAGUGGGGAAUGCUAAAGAAAAAUAAGCUGAUUCAUCAGUUAUUCAAUAUGACAAUUGCACACAACUUUUGGAUGUUUUUAGCUUCCGUGUGAAUCAAAAAAAUUAACAGACUGUCCCGCGUGUCACAUGUAACUAACUUUGGCGCCAUCUUGAGCUAAUUCUGUUAAGGCCUUCACUACAUAGUCUUAAGAUCUCAGUGAACAAUAAAUUCUUCAGAUUCAUAUGAAUUGCACAACAAGGCGUAAACCCCGCUUGAAGGCAACCGGCUAUAAUUAAUACAUUUCAAUUGCUCAUAAAAGAAAGAUACAGUAAACUAGUGGUAUUGUAGUAUAAACAAUACUCGUUUUUCUAUCUUGGUGGUUUCUUGACUGUGUUCAAAUAUCAGUACUCGAAGAAAGAUAAAGGAAAGCUAAAGAAAAAUAAGCAAAUUCAUCAUUGACAUCAUAAGAAGGAGGUUCAUCAUCAUCAAACCAUGAACUAAGAGUUUCAAUUACUGUUUCAAAAAUGCCUUUCUAAAAUUACGAUAAAUUUAAUAGCUAAUAGAAAUAUUUCAUUAUAUAAAUCAAAUUUCAAACUUGUAAGGAAAUAUGUAAAAAUAUUGGUUUUCAAAUAUUUUUCUAUAUAUUUUUUUUAAAUUUAAAAUUAGUGAUAGAGUCAGUCAACCAAUAAAUCAUCAAGAAUUAUCCAUUGCGUCCCUAAUUUGAUCAGCAUUCUUGAAAGCAUGGAAAUUUUCCAGUUUUUACAAGUCAAGCAUGGAGUGUACGUUUUUAUGUUAAAGAUGGUUGAGUGGUGAUCACGUUUUAUUUUGCAGCCUGCCUAACCAAUUUCAAAGCGUGUUUCACGGAUGACUUAUUUUUAUGAAUUGGAAGACUUUUCUCCUUAAAUAUAAAAAGUUCAAAUGAAUACUUUCAAUUAUUGUUUCAAAACUGUCUUUCUAAAAUUACGAUAAUUAUUUUCUAUUGAAUUGUAUACUUUGAUUUGCAUGGAAUUAUCGAAUAAUUAAUCUAUGCAAGCAUUGAAUUGUAAUGACUAACGAAGACUUAUAAGGCUUGGACCAAUGAGGAAAAAUGCUUCAUUAAUACUCCGUGGAAAACAAGCCAGCUUGGACCCAGUUGAUCGAGAUAGUCAACAGUUGAUUGAGAUAGUCAACUAAUAAAAUGAAAGUUAAUUGAGAUAAUUUAGCGUAAGUUUGGGUUUGAAAUAAUCAAAUAAUUUAUUCCAGUAUUCAGAAAAGUUGAAUUCCGUUAUUUUAUUGAGAAGAGAUCCGUCGCUCCCUCCCAAUCAUCACAGCAAUCAGACGACAUUCCUUCAUCAUCGUCAAAUCAUGAACUAACAGCUUCGUCAUCUCAGCUUCCAAACAAGCCUUGCAUCAGGGGUGGCUUUAGGUAUAGGCGAACAAGGCCGUCGCCUAAGGCCUUAUAUUUUAAGAAGGCUUCAUUUUUUAAGUAUUUCCUUAAUAAUUCUCUAAUUAAUGAAAUAUUUUUAAUACAUAUUUUAAGAAAUUAAAAAGUUUAUUAGAUAUCUCUCUAUUCUUAAUUAUUCUAUAAUUAAGAAUUAUUUUUUAUAAAAAAUCAAUAUUUAGCAACCUUAAUUUUAAAUAAAUAUAAUUAAUAAUAUUCUUUAACCAUUAGUUCAUUCCUUUUCAAUUAUUCAAUGUUAGCAUAUUUGACUUUUAAUAUUUCUUUUAAUUUCUAUUAAAAACCUCAUAAUCUCAAGAAUUAGUAAAUGAAAAAAAUUUAUGGUUGUCUUCCCUACAAAUAAAAUUAUUAUAUUCAUUGGUUCAUUUAAAAUAAUUAGUUUCUUAAAAUAUAAAGUCCAUUUUUAUUUUUGAACAUCAAUUCAUCAUUUUAAAAUUUUUAUAUUCUAUCAUUCUAAAUAUUCUAUUUGAAAAUAAAAUUGUUUUUAUUUAUUUGUUUGUUUGUUUUUUAACGGUUUUAAUGGAAUAAAAAAAUCUAUCUUCUUGACUAUUUUUUUGGUUUUAUUUUUUAAAUUUUUAUUUUUUUAUUAUUGUUGAAAUUUAAGAAUUAAAGAUGGAAUAAAUUUUGAUCCUUUGUAUAUGUAUUUGAGUAUUAAAAUUACAAAAUAAUAGAGGUCUUAUAAAAAAAUUUCGCCUAAGGCCCCUCAAACUCUAAAGCCGGCCCUGCCUUGCAUCCAUGGAUUUCAUCCAAAACAACAAUCCAAAGUAGUGAGGUUAAUGAGAACUUAAUGAAGGAAGUACUCUUCCAUUGCAAAACAACUUUUUAUUUGGCUAAAAUUAAAUGUGAAUUACAUAUCUUUGACUGGUGAUAUAUAUAUAUAUAUAUAUAUAUAUAUAUAUAUAUUCAGAGAUAUGAAAUACUCAAACCAAAAUAAUAAAAAUAUAAUUAUUAUAAAAAAAAUUGAUGAAUAAUAUAGUUCCAGGAAGUGCUAAAACCAUAAUGUACGCCAGUAUGAGUUUAUCCAAAGUCACCGGCUACACCAAUAUCAUUGUGACAUAGGAAGUGAUGAGGAAAUUUACGAAAGAUUUAUUAACUUGACUUGUGCACUAUAAGAUGUGCAACUGCGUGCCCUUUGAACAAAAUCAUUACUACCAAAGCGUUAGUAAUAAUAAUUAAUUAUGUAACUUUUUAAAAUAGUGUGUAUGCGUUUUUUUGCAAGCGGUGUUAUCUAAGAUGUUUCUUCUCGAGCAUAAUUGUAUCCAUUUAAUUUGAACAAAGAGUAGUGCUAUGAUUAGACAUUGUGAUACAAAGAGUGUUUAUGGCUAUGUCAUUUUUUUCCAUUGCUAUUGCUUUAAAUGCACUGACCUCAUCUUCCACGAUGGGACAGUUGAAAGCAUGUUUUCCAUUUGCUACUUCUUCGACUGCACUAGCACCAUCCUUUAGUAAAUAGUAUUUGUCAUUUUGGUAUAAUUUUCCGCUGCGUUUGAACUUAUAACAAUUAAUAAUUCAUCCUUUAGCUUAUAACAAUUAAUAAACCCAUGAUGUCUUAAAUCUUUUAACAUAUAUAUGCAUUAGCUAUUAAUUUUGUUGAAAUUCGCUGCCUUAGGCAGGCAUAAUUUGUCAUGAAAUCAAUGAUCAGAGACUUUCUGCAAUUUCAUUGACUUGAUAAGUCUAUGUGCAGUUCCAGUUUUGGUAGUUCUUAAAAAGGAUGGAACAUGGAGGAUGUGUGUUGACGUCAACCAAUAGUCAAGCUUAUGAACACAAUCAAGCAAUCGAAUCAUCAAUCAAAGCCACAUUCAAUGCAGGACUAGUAAAUAUCAUAAUUGAGUUUGAGGACCACAGCCGCACAGUGAAAGAAUUUGAAUGAAGGAACAGUAGAGGAAAAUGAAAACGAAAAGAGGGGAAUGCUAAAGAAAAAUAAGCUGAGUCAUUAGUAACUCAAUAUGACAAUUGCACACAACUUUUGGAUGUUUUUAGCCUCCUAAAUUUCAACAUUAAUGAUAAAUUACAGAUAUGUGGAGCAAAACUUAGAAACCAACUUUUGUUCACAGAGAAAAUGUUAAAAAAAUAAAUAAAAAUAAAAGAGUGCAACUAACUUUGGUGCACAUAAGUAUGAUUGUAUGAAGUGAGCCCCAAAUAUAUAUUCAUCAGUAUACCCCACCUGUAAUAAUAUCCUUGUCUAGCUUUUUUUUGGUUAUUUUUUCACAAAUAGGAAAAUUUCAUUGCUAUAGAGAAGAUAAAAUAGAGGAUGCCCUAAAAUGAACAUUAAAUAAAGCCUUCGACAUUAAGGUGAAACGUAUUUUCCGGUACACCGAUUGUAUGCACUGCACUGAAAUUCUAUAUUGAUCAAAGUGGCUUUUCAUUAUAAUGCUCUAUCAAAAGGGCUUCUAAUUCUUGUUUUCCCAUGCCAAAGACAAAAGCAAAUUAGAAGAAUUGGAAAGCAGCAAUAGAAUAUAUUUUAUCACUAAAAUAUUUUUCUUUCUUUAUUUUUUUUGUGAAAAAAUCAAACCCUUAUAGUUAGAUUUUUCUAAAGGAUUCUUCUCCUCUUGGCAUGCCAAUUUUGUUUUUAUCGUAUAAUUUGUGUUAUAAUUCUUUGGCUUGUGAAUCAAAAUAAUUAACAGAGACUGUCCCGCGUGUCACAUGCAACUAACUUUGGUGCCAUCUUGAGCUAAUUCUGUUAAGGCCUUCACUCCAUGGUCUUAAGAACACUAUGCACAAUAAAUUCCUCAGAUUCAUAUGGCAAAUGAAUUGCACAACAAGGCAUAAACCCCGCUUGAAAGCAACCAGUUAAUACAUAAAAAGUUCAAUUACUCAUAAAAGAAAGAUACAGUAAACAAUACUCCUUUUUAUAUCUUGGUGGUUUCUUGGUAGUGUUCAAAUAUCAGUACUCGAAGAAAAAUAGAGGAAAGCCAAAGAAAAGUAAUCUAAUUCAUCAUUAACAUAAUAUGACAAUUGCACGCAACUCUUGGAUGUUUUUAGCCACCGAAAUUUUUAACAUUAAUGAUAAAUUACAAACAUGUAAAUGAAAAUUUAGAAACAAAUUUUUGUUUACCGGAAAAAUGUAACUGUGAAAGAGAGUAAAAGAGAGCAGAGAAACUAAAAACAGAGGAUUCCAUUCGUCAUUUCAUAACUGAUAUUCCUAGUGCAAAUGCGCAAGCUUGAACAUUCAAAAUACAUCAUUCUAAAUCAAAUAUAUAUCACCAACAGACACAUUUACAUGAAUUAUUCAGGCCUUCACUCUGGUCUUAAGACCUCAUGUACGAGAAAUUUGUCAGAUUCAUGUAGCAAAUGAAUUGCACAACAAGGCAUAAAAAUUAGUAUAUUUUUCAAGAAUCCGGCUUGAAAGCAACGAACUAAAAACUAAUGCAUAAAAGUUCAAUUACACAUAAAAGAAGGAUAACGGUAAACUAUGGCCUAGCAAGAUCAUGGAUGAAUUAUAUAAAUUUCACAAGCCAAUAUAAACAACAACCAGUACAUGCAUCAAUGAAAGAAAACCAUGGCCAGCGCCAAUACGAGUUCAACCAAAGGAUUCGUCUUAGUUGCAGAUUCAUCUUCGUCUUCUCCUGGAUUGGAUGUUAUUGCUGGAUUUUCCUCUGUUCUGGUGCAACUCUUAUUAAUUGUUGGACCACAAAGAGUGAGAUUAUAACUCUUUUCAUCAAACCUGCCAAAUUGUCUUUUGUCUGGGAUCAGACCAGAUAAGUUCUUGUAUGACUCGUUAUAGUUGGAUAAAUAGUUGAUUAGUGAUCUGAAGAUCACUGAUCAGAAAUUUUGUCAUUUAUGUUUGGUAAAUUAUUCAUAAAAGUAUGGUCUACUCUGAAAUUACAAAAAUAAGCAUAAUAAAUUUGAAUAAUGGAAAGGAAAAUGAGAAGGAAAACAGAGGAAGGCUAAAGAAAAAUAAGCUGAUUCAUCAGUAACUCAAUAUGACGAUUGCACACAACUUUUGGAUUUUUUUAGCCUCUGAAAUUUCAACAUGAAUGAUACAUUACAAAUAUGUGAAGCAAAACUUAGAAACCAAUUUUUGCUUAUAGAGAAAAUGUUAAAAAAAAAAUAAUGAUAAGAGAGUGCAGAGAAACUAAAAACAGAGGAUUUCAUUAUAACUGAUAUUCCCAGAGCAAGGCUGAACAUAAUUCUUGGGUGUGUGAAUCAAGAUCAUUAACAAAGAGAUCACGCAUGUCACAUGUAACUAACUUUGGCGUGAUGUAGGAUGGUUGCGUAGGAUGAGUAGGGUGUCUUCCAAAGGUCAUAACUUGGGUUACAGGUAUAACUAACAACGACGGUGCUCAAAUUUGGUUAUCGUCGAUGUUUGCGGAUUAAUGUUUGUGGCUCCUCCUAUAUCAAGGAAAUGUCAUAAUUACUUUCCAAACAUAAGAAAUACAACUAAUUUUAUGUGAUAUGAUUCACAAUAAAUAUUUAUCCCGUAGCUUAUAACUCUAGAAUCCAUUAUUUUUAAAUAAAAAUUACCCUAAUACUCUCAAAACCAUCAAUUACACCUUAUGCUCAAAAUUCCAUACUCCAGCUCAAUAAUUAAAUUUCCAUAUCCUAUAAUACUAAUAAAUCAUCCACAUUAUCACCAAUCUCAUUAUUAACCAUGAACUACCCAAACAUAAUAUAUAACAAUAAGCUAUUUACAUACCGAAUGGAGGAAAUAGUGAGGGCUACACAUUUUGGCUCUAAUGCCUUGGUGCCAUUGUGCACCUAAAAUGAUCCACCAAUUACUAAAAUUAGCUUGGGACUGACUACACCCAUUUGUUGGGAACCCUAACUAUAAUCAAAGUAUACUAAUCUUUAAAUUAAUUUUAUUUUCAUGUAAAUGCAAUUUCAGGUAAAGAUAAAAUGAUAGAAAUCUUACUCCAUUUGGUGAGAAAUUCAACUUGACAGCUUGAAUCACUUCCCUCUCACUCAAAUCCUUCCUCCACACUUCCUACAUUUAAAUUCCUCUCCAAUGAAUUUCCAAAUGAACUUAGGGAUAAAAAUACCCUAGAAUGACUCUCGAAUCCAAGUUAUGAAAGACCAAACUCAAUUUUGGAAAAAUCCUAAAUCAUGAAAAUUUUCCCAUUGUCUUCCUCUCAUGCCCGUGAGCUUUUGCAAAGCAAUGGUAAGUGCUUUCUGUUUUAAUUCGCUUUAUAUAUAAAACUUAUUUUAUUUUUUUGUUUAUGGGGUUUUGAAAUAUUACUUUAGGCCCAAUUAAAGAAAAUCUAUUUACCCAAUUAAAGAAAAUUAAUUUAUAUACAUUCAUAUUCAUAAGUUAUUAUUAAAAACUUGUAUAUACAAGUCAGGGCAGUACACAAAUUUACUGAAUACAGAGUAAAGUUGUACUUUAAUUGGUGAACUCUGAAGGCACCAACUAUAACAUCCAUUUCUAGCAUAUAUAUAUAUAUAUAUGUAUAAUAGAAAUCUAACAUGCUUAUACAGAUCACAUACAGGAUUCAAAAUUUAGAAGAUUCUGAACUAUUUAAGGCCAGAGAUUGGGCCAGCUUGUUUAGUUAGUAGGCAACGAUGGAGGGUUGCUUGGUAAAGCUGCUACAUCUUUAGAAAUUCAGAGAUGACGGGCAGCAAAGAGUGAUAAUUUUUGUUUUCCCCAAUCACCUUGAACAGAGUGAGAAGAAACCAUUAUUUCGAUAUGUGCGGUUCUUCCAUCAUAUUGUUAUUUAAUGGUUGUUGUUAUUGAUUCUAGAAAAACAUUUUUCGAUUUGGCAAAUGGAGUUUUUCCAUCUUCAAAAGAAGAGUCCCAGGUUCCAAACUUUACUGCCAUGGCUUCCAAGUCGCUGUUCUACAAAGAAAUAUCUGUGGCACCACGAGAUCCCGUUGAUAUUACAAUCAACAUAGUAUUUGGGAAAAUUGCUCCUUCGGAUUGUAGCAUUUCGAGUCUCAGAUUCUUUCAAUCAACACAAGCACGUUCGAGAUACAACAUGAAGUUGUUAAAUUUAUAUUUGCAACCAACAGAAACUGCAGAAGAAACAAUAAGUCUAAUUUUAACGAAACCACUUGAAGGAACUUCGAAACUUGAGCAUAGUUUUAGAACCAAAUUAAGAAUUUUAGCAAACACAUACCUGAUACAUAGCAGUUUGCAGAAAAGCUAACGGAAUACGUAACACAGCAUGACAAGUUAUACUCAGCAGACCCGUAGGAACUUACUACAAUGGCCUAGCGUAAUCACCGAUAGAAUGCAUAUUUGAAGAGCCAAUAGUAGCAUGUGUCAAUACAUUCAUCAAUGAAAUAGAACCACCGUCUACGCCAAUAGGAGUUUAUCCAAAGGACUGCAAACAAACCCAAAAUAACUGUCACAAAGGACGCACCAAAACUCCAUUUUAAUGCCACCAUAUCAAUCAUCGAAUCGUCUUCUUCUUCUCCUGCUUCUUCUGUUGGUGUUGCUGGUGGUUUUAAUGCACUGCUGCAUUUCUUCCUUAUCAAGGAACCACAAAGCUCAUGGUUUCCUGUAUAACUGCUCUCAUCAAAUGUGGCAAACUGCUCUUUGUCUGGGGUUGGACCCGACAAGUUGUUGUAUGACACAUUGAAGUUGGAUAAAAAGUUGAGCCCAGUGAGUUGAGGAGGAAUAUGACCACUUAAUCUGUUGUGGGAAAGGUCUAGGCUCUCUGUCAUUUUUAGAUUGGAGAAGCUCUCUGGUAUAGCACCUGAUAAAAAAUUAUUAGACAGAUUCAGUGCACGAAUAUUUUGAAGUUGCCCAAUUUCGCGGGGAAUUUCUCCGCUCAACUCAUUGCUUGACAAAUCCAGUCCAGCCAUGUACUUUAAGUUUGCUGCCGAUGAAAAAUUCAUAUCUAUUCUUUGUCACAAAUUCUGCUUCUACUCUUUGAUUUAUUGAGGCAUGUGGUUCAAUGGGCGGUUGUAGAUCAAGAGUAGAAUUGUAGUAAGUAGUAACAAUAGAAUCGAUGUAGAAACCUUGAUACGCUGUGUAUUCAUCAGGCAAACCAUAGUCAUACAAAUAAUAAUUAGUUCAUUCUCUCCAGAAUGACACGUUACCCAAGCAUGAAGGUAUUGACCCACUAAAUGUGUUAUUUGAAAGAUCCAUGAUACGUAAUUUUGCUCACUGGCACAAUUCAUUAGGAAUAUGUCCUUGUAGAGAAUUCCCUCUUAAAAGAAGAACAUGCAAAUUCGAAAGCUCAUUGAUCUGAUAAGGAAUCCUACCAAAGAAUUUAUUAUCCCUCAAAUCUAGAGUGAUUAAUUUAGAGCUUCUAAACAAUGCAUUGGGAAUUUACCCAGUAAUAGCAUUCUUCUGCAAAUAAAGGUGUUUCACUGAUGAAAGAUUGAAGGAAGAUACCAAGGACCCAGACAAACUAUUUUCAAAGAUGUCUAUAAGCUCAAGACUUUUAAGUUGGCUAAGUUGGACUAGAAUAUUAGCUUCCAAAUAAUUUUUUGACAUUAAAAGAACCCUAAGAGUUGAGAUGUUACCAAUCCAAUUAGGAAUAUUACCGGAUAACAUGUUGUCAGAUAUAUCUAACCCCUCUAAUGAAGUGGAGCUCCUCAAACCAUCAUCCAUCUUCCCACUGAAAUGAUUGUUGUCCAAAUAUAACCAAUGCAAAUGGGUCAAGUUCAUAUAUUUGGGAAAAAUUUGGCCAAAGAAAUUGUUAUUUGAUAGGUCUAACAAAUCUAGAGCGACGCAACCAGAGACUAUAGGUCGGGGUAAUUCUCCUGAAAAAUUAUUUCUAGACAAAUCCUGCAUAUAUAACUCUUUCAUCUCACCUAUUGAAUAAGGAAUAUCACCUUCAAAAAUAUUUUUUGGCAUAUCCAAAUAAAUCAAUUUCUGAAGGACAAUACCCAUAUUCCGUGGUAGCUUACCAGCGAAAUUGUUAUUGGAACUAUCUAGAUGACGAAGCAUAUCGUGUUUGGCAUUGGGAAGUAGAUGAAGAAUUCCUGAGAGUGAGUUGUUCGCCAAAGACAAAUAUUUUUAUCUUUUGUUGUUUUGGAACAACCAAAUUGGGAAAUUGCCAACCACCUUAUUAUUAGAGAGGUCAAGGAAUAUUAAGUGGUAAUGUUGUAAAAGAAAACUAGGAAUGACAUGUAAGUGGCAGUCGGAUAAUUUGAGAACCUUCAAUUGAGAUGUGGGGUGCCAGGUUUCAGUUUUCACUUGUAACAUAUUGCUUCCUGAUGAGAUUAACAAGACCUCGAGCUUCGAAUGAUUAGCCAAUGAAUUUAUUGAGAUUGUUCCUUGGAAAUUAAUGGAAAAGCGAUCUAAAUAUUCAAGUGAUGUGAGAUUAGUCAAGGUAGAAGGAACUUUUCCACUUAAUUGAUUAUUAGAAAUAUCAAGAACUUUGAGAUGCGUUAAGUUGUUGAGACACUGAGGAAUGUGACCCUCAAAGUUAUUUGAGCUUAGAUCCAACUCAAAAAGAUUCUUCAAAUUACAUAUUCCUAAACUUGAAAAUAAAAGAUUAAAAUUUUAUAGAAUGAAAACUAAUUAUAGCGAAUUCGGUCAAAAUCCAAUACAAGACUUAAAAAACAGAUAAAAAUCAAAUUUCCUAAUUAUUUUGGUCAGCGGUUUUAUUCCAUUAAAAUAAAUGAAUUAAAACCAUGUUAAUUGUUUUACGAGUUAAUAAUUUUAUAUUAAUUUAUUUAUUUUACCUUCUAUUUAUUAGUCUUAUGAAUAAUUUAUAAGAUUUAACAAUUGUAUUAUAAGUAAUAUUUAAAAAAAAAUACUAUUAGCAUUUAUUAUUUAAUAAAUCUAUUUAGAUAAUUUAAAAUUUUGUUAUUGAUGUCAGAGUUUGGGUCAAUGGUCAACAAUUAAUAGUUACUACGAAUUUUUUUUUCCCUCCCUUUCUAAUUGAUAGAUUUCAUGUGUUCCGAAAACGAAGUUUAGAGAAAAAGAAAAGGAAAAGGAAAAGGAAAAGGAAAAAAAAAAUGACUGCGAGGCCACUUUCCCAGGGUCUUGGUUGCAAUGCGCGCAUGUACACAGGCUGAAGCCAGCAAGAUGGUAUCAAACAUAUAUACCUUGCUUGAUUCUGGAACCUUCAAUGUUAUUGGAACGAAGAUUCAGAGUGGUAAGUGAAGUUAGUGUAUUCAAAUAUGGUAAUAUGUUGUCGUUGAGGAAAUCACCACCAAGAUUUAAGAACUUCAGCUGUUUCAAACUCCCCAAGCUGUCGUAAGCUGCAAAUGCAUAUGAAUUAUUAUCAUUAAUUAGUCACUGACAAAAUAAUUACGAAUGAGUAAUAUAUACAUAUGCUUGUACCUUUAUUCUCAUAGAAGCCUUUAAACCAAUUAUCAGAUAAGUCAAGGCACUGCAAUUCUUCGAAAGGGUGAAACAAUGACAUAUUCAGAAGAGAAACUUCAUAAGAAUAAAAGAGUUAUAAUCAGAGCAGUUGAUUUUUGUUUUCUGAUUGAGUGAGAGUUGCGUCACCCGUCGGGUGGUGGCGUUGCACUUAAUUCUCUCCCAAUCGUUACAACAAUCAGACGACAUUCCAUCAUCAUCAAAUCAUGAAGAAAGAACUUCGUCAUCAUAUCCAACAUCACUGGCUGAUGCGAAGAAGCUCUUGAUUUCCAACAGAGCAAUCAUCUCUGUUUCCAAGCAUGCUUUGUAUCCAUGUAACUGAAUCAAAGCUAUGCCAAUCUACAAUGACAACUUCAUCAAAAGCAUUUUCAUUAUUAAUAUUAACUGCGAGAGAAACACUCACAAGAUUGACCAGUCAAUUGUUGCUCUCUUGAAUUUUUUCUGGUUCUCUAGCAAAUAUAUGACUUAUAUAUACAAUGGCAGUUUUGUGCAGAAUGAAAAUUUUGCGCAUUUUCACGUGCCUGUCAAUGAGAAAGCAUGCAUUGAUUGAAAAAAGUAAGUGAGAGAAUGUUACCUGUUGAUACAUGUUAUCUGCUUGUGACGUUAGUACCGUCCAAAGAAAUUGAAAUGUGAAAUAAUUGAAGAUGCAAAAUGGUUGAUUUCACGGGCCUGGCCUUUGGCAAAGUGAAAUGUUAGCCACACACUUUACCAGUCAGUCAAGUGUCAACAUUUGUAGCAUAAGGAAAUUGCGGCAUCUUAGCUGGAUUUUGAGGGUCGCUAUUUCGUAUAUCAGUCCCAUUUGUUAGUGGGGACUCACAUUCUGUCCUAUAGUGGGCUCACAAAUAUUUAACAUAAUUUUGAUAAUUACUUAAACCGCGUUUCCUUGAUAAUUAAAGAAAAAGAGAAGUGAAUGAAGUAAAAGAUACUGAUGACCGUAAUUAUGCAAAUAAAUACAAGACUUUACAGUAGAUUAGACCACCAAUUGUGCUUUUUCGUCCCAUAAUAAUGCAUCUGCUUUAACAAGAUACGAGUGAACUUAGGCUUAUCUUUCUUUCGCAAUGUAAAUUCUUGCCAAAAAAUACAUGUUAUCUACUGGUGAAUUAGUUUGAUAAAAUAAAGGCUUAAAGUUUAGUUGAGUAAAAUGUUGGCGUAAAGAAAUUAGCUACUGGAAAAUCACCAAGUGCUUGUUAAGGUAAUAUACAAUUUCAAUUGAACAUCAAGUGAUGGAAACAUCAAAAACCCCAUAAAAAAUUAAACAAAACCAGUUGCAAUGCAAAUAAACAAGUUUUCAGUUGAGAUGGCAGAACUAAUUCCUUCACAAUCAAGUGUGAUUUCUCAAUUUGUUCUAUUUGCCCAAAAAGACAUGGUCAAGUAUUUGAAAGCAUUUUUAUUUAGUUGACUAUUCGAGUUUGAAUUUGGAAUAAGAGGUUAAAAAAUAAUUUUUGUCUUUACUCACCUCUUCCUUUAGAAAAAGAAAAAUUUUAAUUUUUGAUCAAGCUCACUUAAAUGCAUCAUGUGCAAAUCACGUGACAUCUUGAGUUACCAUGUAAUUUGGCUUUAUAAGUGUUUUCUGUUUCUGAAAACGAAAAAUAAUAAAAUGGAAAUGCCUUUAGCUAUUGGCUAGACAUUUUCAGAAACGUUUUUCGUGAACAGAAAAAGUUUUUGUAAAGAGGCAUUGAGCGAUCAGGCUCUUGUCGUGGCCUGCGGCCUGCAGUCCUCAACAAUCCUCAUUUGGCCUCUUUAUAAUCCAUUUUUAAUAAAGUAUAGAUAAAAAUAGAUAUAUUACCGGUUUUCAAAUUACACUUAAUAUUAUUAAAUCUUUAGACGGAGCUUUAAAUCUAUAAAUUCAAACUUCCAACAUAUCAUAAAUUAUUUUUAGAGCCCGCAUGUUGGAUUGUCUCAUUUAAGUUUCACUUUGAUUUCUAGCACAUCAUUCAAAUGAGUUGCUUUAGUAUAUCUAGCUAGUUUUGAACAAAGCAAGUGAGAAUAUUACAUCUGCUUUAGCAAGAAACGAGUGAAUGAAAACAUUUGACCAGAUUCAAGAGAGAAAAGAAUGUUGAAAUAUUGACUUGAAUAUUAUGGUAAAAUGAGUUUGACUUUAGUACCGACCAAAGAAAUAAUUGAAGAUGCAAAUUGGUUAGUUUGACGUGCAUGGCUAUUGGCAAAGUGAAAUGUUAGCUUCGCACUUCACUUGUGAAUGUACAACAACAUUUGCUGCAUAAGGAAAUUGCGGCGUCUCAGCCGCAUUGUGAGAGUUGUUUUCAAAUCCCAUUUCUUUUCUUUGUAUUUGUUCAUUGCCACGACCUUUUUUUUUUCCGCAGCUCACGUGAUCACCAUAAUUUUGAUAGCUACUCAAACGCGUUUCUGCAAUAACUAACGAAAGGAAAAGUGAACGAAUAAGUAAAAGGUACUGAUGACCGUAAUCAGGUAAAUGAAUACAAGGCUUUACAAUAGAUUAGACCACCAAAUCACGACCAUAACGAAUAAACAAUUUGUGCCUUUUGAAUACAUCUGCUUUCACAAUGUAAACUUGCCAAAAUACAUGUAAUCUGCUAGUGAAAUAAGUUUAUAAAACAAAGGCUUAAAGUUAAAAGCUGACUAAAAUAUUGGCGUCAAGAACGCUACGGGGAAAAUUCAACUGUGAGCUGCAGUCUGCAGUCCUCAACAAUCCGGGAAAAGGCUGAGGAGGCGCGCGCCUGCACACUAAUUGGGCAGGUCUGAUGGGAUUUAUAAAUUAAAAUAAUGUAAUUUUAUAUUUUUUAAAUGAAAAAUUUGUUGUUGCCGUUGUGAGAUCCAUUGGAUCCUCGCGUGCCUGCCCCACAAAAGUUUCUCCCUAACAAUCUCCAUCAAACCUCUUUACAAUCCAUUUUUGAUAAAAUAUGAAUAAGGAUACAUAUAUUUAUCCAAAUAUUAGUAAAAAAUAGAUAUAAUGCUGAUUUUUAAAUUAUACUUUAUGAACAUUUAGACCGAGCUGUAAAUCUAUGAAUUCUAACUUCCACAAAUUAUUUUUUAGCCGUAUGUUGGAUUGUCUCCUUUAAGGCUGUGUUUACUAAACCGGAAUGGGAAUCGAAAUGGAGAAAUUAGAAUGAAUAACUUGUUUACUUGUUAAAUUGAUGCUAGGAAUGGGAAUAAGGUGAGUGGGCUCCAAGGUCUUGAAGAGGAAAGAUCACUAUGGCUCCAAGGUCUGGAAGAGGCAAGUCCAAUAAAGCCAAGGCUGACAAGGAGAAGAAAGAAGAGAAAGGUUUGAAUUGUUAAUCCUUUUUAUUCACUUCUUUCAUUGGAAAGUGCUUUCUGUAAAGUGCUUCCGCUUUCUAGCUUCCUUAUGUUCAUUGAUUCUUUUGUUGUGCAGUAGUACCCAGUGUUCUUGAUAUCACAAUCAUCACCCCAUAUGAAUCACAAGUUGUUCUCAAGGUAUACAUUUAUAAUUAUUAUUAAUACUGUCUUGUUUUGCCCUCACCAGCCAAGAUUAGCAUAUUGUUUUUUAAAACUUUAUAAAUAUAAAUGAAUUAUUAAUUAAUCAUCUUUUUUUUUGUUUGAUUGAAAUUUGCUCAAAGGGCAUCUCACCACCAGCCCCAUUGUCUUUGCAAUCUACCUUCACGACGCAUGACACCACUGCCCGACACACAUUUGCGACGCUCCACCAUCACUGUGAGUGGCUUUAAAAGAAGGAAAAAAAAUAAAGAAACGAGAGUGAGAGCAGAGCAUAAUAGAAUUGUCAAGCUCUUUGUUAGAAUCAUCACAAAAUUUAUAUUGGAUCGGAGCUAUUCUAUGUGAUGCAUUUGGAUUUGCUAUAUGCUAGACAGGCAACAACAUGUAAAAGCUUUUUGUCCCCAUUUUAGAUUUACUAUCUAGUAUCUUAUAGGCUUAAUCUAAAUAGAAACCAUGCAGGAUACCGGACACAAUUCUAAUGUUAGACUUUAUUUUUCAACUUUCUUUUAGCGAUAUGUCAAGACCCCAAGUUUAUGUCAUGAUAAUUGUGUGAUUGAUAAGAUAUUUUGUGUUUUGGACUUUAUCUCAUGGAUUUAGAGUUCGAUUAUGUUUGUAAUCGGAAUAAUGCAUUCAUUUACAUAUGAUGUUUGAUGAAAUUGCCAUAAGAUUAAUUCAAUUAUAUAUGUUUUUUAUGCUGAAUUAAUAUUAAUACAAUUAUGUAUGUCUAUGGUGCUGAAAAAGUAGAGCAGAAAAUUUAUCAAUGGGUUGGUUUCACUAGUUCAAGAAAGUAAAGCAAAGAAAUUGUCUUUAUACACUUAACCCUUCCUCUAUUUAAAAUAAAAAAAAUUAUUGAAGUUUUUGGAAGUGAUUUGUUCAUUUUGUUUGUGCACUUAUGUAGAUGGGAUUUACUUUUGAUUGCUUAACCCUUCCUCACUUAUGUCUUUUUAGUUCAAGUUGCAGUAUUUUGCUGCUGUGCAACAACAGAAGAGGCUGUUUUAUUGUUGUUUAUGCAGAAACACAGCACCUGGAAGCAUCCAGGUGCUGUUUAGCUGCUGUUAUGCAGCAAAAGCAGCACUUGAAAGUUUCCAGGUGCUAUUUUUACUGCUGUUCACGCAGAAACGCAGCACCUAGAAGUGUUCAGGUGCUGUUCAGCUGCUGUUAUGCAGCAAAAACAGCACCUGAAAACUUCCAAGUGCUGUUUUUACUGUUGUUUAUGAAGAAACAAAGCACCUGGAAGUAUCCAAGGUGUGCUUUACUGCUGUUUUGUAAUUAAAAUUGCACUUAGAAAUUUUGGGUGCUAUUUCGCUGAAAUUUUGCUACUAACAGUGCAGCUGAAUAAUUUCGGGUGUUGUUUAGUUGUUGUUUUGGACCUUCUUUAGUUCUUUUCUCUUAUGUCUAUACUUAAUCUCCCCACCCUCCUCCCCCCCCCCCCCCCCCCCCGCGGCGCGGGUAAUAAGCAAGUACAACUUUUGCAAGGUAAUAUCCAAGCAUGCCAUUAAUUAAUUCUUUGGUUAAUCAUAGUAUUCUAUACAUUAGGUCUCAUUUUUUUUUUUUAUUUCCAAGUGUAUAAUGGAUAUGUAGUGGAUGUCUUAUGGAUGGUGUAGUCAAUGUUUUUUUUAUUGUCUCUAUUUUGUCAAAUAUUGUUGGUUCAUUUAUUAUCUAAACACAUGGUUGAUAAACUUACUUAGGUAAGUCUAAUUAAUAGCAAUUUGGUACUUUAAAGUCUUGUUUUACAACUUAAGUCACUAAAAUGAUUUAAUAUUUACGAUUUAUAAUAUAUGAAUAUAUCUUAAUUUCUCUUUAUUCUUUGUAAGAAUGACGUAGAUUGCUGACGCUGGUGAGACUUGUUUGCAAUUGAAGACUUGACGAGAAAUUAGAUGUACUCACGCAUGCCAAUCUCUUUGGUUGCUAGUGCAGUCAUUAGUAGAUAUUAAGUAGUUGUGAGAAUUUUUGUAGAGCUAUCUCUUUGUAUAUGAAACAUUUGCAUCUUUUUUGUUUGUGGAAAAAUAAUUGUAAAGAAUUUAAUAUGAAAUUAGAAUUAAAAUGAGGCUUGAAAUAGUCUUAAAUUUGCCAUAUUUAUUUUUUAAUAAUAAAUAACAAUGAUGACGGUUAUUUGAAAAGAACCGUCAUCAAAUAUAGUGUUUAGAAACAAAGAUGACCGUUUUUUUUUUAAACCAUCAUAAAAUGUUGUUCAAUAUUUAAUAACGGUUCUUAUAUAUAUAUAUAUAUAAUGACGGUUCUUACAAUAAACCGUCAUUAAAAUGGCACAUUUAAUGAUUGUUAUAUAAAAAAACAGUCAUCAAAACAUAUAUAAUUACUAUAAAAAGUGACUAUUUUAAAAAAUAACCGUCAUUAAAAAUAUAUAUUUAAUGACAAUUAGUGAACCGUCAUAAAAAACAUACCCUCUUUAAUGUUGGUGCCUAAGAUGACCGUCAUAAAAGAUUAAUUUUGUAGUAGUGAAGCAAGGAAAACACAAGGAAUAACAAUAUUGUUAUUCCUCAGUCACUGGGGCGCCAACAACAUCAUGUACACCUAAAACCAGAAUAGAUUUAACAGCUUAAAAGGCAGAAUGUUCAACACCUUCAUAGUCAUUUCCAAUGGCAAGGGAAAGGCUUGCAACAUUAUCAAAACUUAAAUUUCUUGGAUACAUUCUUUUUAGCGAAAUAACAUAUGAAAGCAAAACUAUAUCUAAUUUUUUCUAUUCACCUAAGAAUUAAUUAUAUCUACAAAAAAGUCAUAAUAACACAUCUUUAAAAAUAUUUCACAAUAUGAUUACAGAAGUGUUUGUUAUGCCCCUGAAGGAUCCGCCUUGCGCGCAAUCGUGAUUUCACGCACCUCUUUUUUUUUUUCAUAUCCAAUCAUUAGAUUCAACGCGGGAGUUGUAAAAGGUGUUAUAGCUGCAUGAAGAUAAUCACUACUAACGUUGUAGCCCUUCCUAUUUUAUGAAAUUAUAAGGAAAUGUUAGGUUUUAAAAUUUUAACACAUAAGCCCUAUCUAUUAUUUUAUGGGUCAACACUAUUUUAUGAAAUGAACAUAUUUAAAUAUUAAUACUAUAGAUGGAUUACUUUAACUUAUUAAAAUACUCUACACACCCAUUUACUUCAAAUACGAAAUUGGAUUACAAUAUUCUUAUCUUUUGUUUACUUUAACACAGGAUUGGACAAGGUCUUACAUACGUUUUGGCAAUUUAAAGUGAAUAUAUAUUAAAUAAAUGCUUUGAUAGCAAUUUACGUGUCGCUAUACAAUCUAUGUUUAGUACAUUCAAAAUAAAUAAUUUCUAUAUGUAAAUUUGAAUUUAUUUCAAAUUACUUAUACCUAGUGUCAUUUAUGAGUCCAACAUUUUUUUUAGAAAAUUAUUAUCCCAAUUAUUCAUUUAAUGUGAAAACAAAUAAAUUGUGUAAUAUUUAUGCUAUUAUUUAAUUUUAAGCUUGUCAACAAUGAACAAUACUGUAAAAUAAUAUAUUAUGGGAGAAUGUCCUAUCAAAAAAUUAUUUUAUCAAAUAACUUACUUUUACGGCUUCUAACAUAACCAUAUCUUCUGUUGUUAACAUAAAAUUACAUUCGACCAUAUUGCUUUUACUUCUCUCUAACAUUUUCACAAGUAUCCUUACUUCACUAGUUUGAGAAAUGUUCUAAGCUUAUUUAGCGACUUGCAUGCUAGAAGUCGUCUAAGUGUCGCAUGAGUUUACUGCGCAAAACACUCAUCCCGUGACAGACUGCUAAUAAAAAUAGAUAGGAUAGGGUGUUUGGUUCAACAAGCCCAAGAUAGUUUUCUCUUUAUUUUUUUUCCUCUUUUAACUUAUCCUUCACCUCAAUUUAGAUUGUCAUUCUUGGUUGAUCAUAAUUUAUUUAUUUUAUUAUUAUUAUUAUUACUACUACUACUACUACUACUACAUGGUAUUUAAUUGUUCUUCACAUUUUUUUUAUAUGGUUUUCAUUUACUUAACUCACACUCCUAUUUUCCACAAAAAAGAAUUAUAGGGCAACUUAACUGUAAAUUCAAGCAAGGCUAGUUUCGGGAUUAAAAUUGAUAUUUCGCCCUUUUUUCCCACUAAGGGUAUGUUUGGCGGGCGGGUCUACAAGGGUCUGUCUUGUAAGAUAAAUUAAGACUCGUGUUUGGUUGCAAAAAACAAUUGCCUGGCUUGAAAAGAUUGUGCGGCAAUUGAGGUGUAAAAAAGACCCGCCUCCCCCUGCGUGUCUAAAUUGUACAUCUCUUUUUCUAUUUUAACUAUUAUUUAUAUUAGUUAUUAAAUUCAAUACAAAUCAAAUAUAAUAUUUCUUUAACAUAUUAAUUUAUGUUUAAUUGAUGAAUAAGAAAAGAUGCUGAAAUUUACUGCAGAUAAUUAUAUUUUUAUUAAUAAAUCUAAAUAAUAUAUUAACUUAAUAUUAAAAUAUUUAUUAAAUUCAUAUAAUAGUUAUUUAAAAACUAAAUAAAUAAUAGCUAUUUAUUAUUAUUUAAUAAUUUUAAAUAAUAAAAAUAUAUAUAAUAUAUUCCAUACUCUACCAAACAUGGUACUGUAUCAUUUAAUACAUUCCAAUACAAUAUAUUUUAUUACAAUUCAAUACAGUCCAAUACAGUGCGGCACACCAAACGCACCCUAAGUGCGGAAUGCAUUACCUGAUCACUUAAAUCCACUUCCAAAUAUUUUCAUCACUAUUUUCGAAAAUUUCAAAUCAAACCCCAACCCGUACUCGCACGCUUCCAGCGACUUGUUUACAACCAUUGCUUGGAUGCGUUACUUGUUAAAUAACUUCCAACCCAUUACAUGUGUUAUUUUGUCAAAAAGUUGAUUCCCUGCAGCUUACCGGCCCAUUGCCUUUUUGUCAGGUUAUUCCCUAACGUCUAUGUGUCUCUUCUGCAGCCGUGAGAUGAAAUCCAACGGUGACUGUGCUACAAAACAAACGACUGGGGUAACAAACCCAUGACGCAAUAUAGCUGCCCCCGAAUAAUGAUAUUAAAGAGUAGAUACUUUGUUUUUCCACCUUAUUUUUAUCUGUUUAUUUCUUUAUGAUAUUAAUGCAUUAUUAAUUUUUUUUUUUUUGGAUCAGGUCAGGGGGCAGAAACUGAAUGAUAGAGUAGAGGUUGUUACUCUGAAGUCAUGUUUGCUCAGAUGGUUGAAGGUAGGUGAAGCUCUCUCAUGUCCAAUUUUCUAAAUAAAAAAAAUCUCAUACAUGUGGACGUGGGUCUUAUUUUAUUUGUUAUUUUGUAAGUAACUUAUAACCGUUUCACAUAAAUAGUGAAUAGACCCACAUCACUCACUAUUCAUAUAAGAGAAUUGUAAAUUAUAUGCAUGUAACUUAACAUUAAUCUAUUUUUAAUUAUUAACAUUUAAAGCUUUUUGGUUGUGCAUUCAUUGCCAUACUAUUUCAGUAAACUAUAUUAAUUUUCUUGUAUGUUUUUUAGAUUUUUUAAUUCGAAAUUAUUUUUUUAAUAUUGUUGAAAAAGACAGGUUAAAGUAAAAAAAAUAUUGACUAAAUAAAUAAAUGACAGUAUUUUAUUUUUUACAUUCAAAAAAAAAAACUAAUUGGAUGCAGUCCACUUAGUCCUGCACACUUGGAAAGUUACCAUGCUUUUUAGAGCUGUACAUUUUAGACUCAGCUGUCCUUUGUCAUUUCAAGUAAAAGUUGAAGCUGUCGCAAAAGUACAAUAAUAACGUGGUUAAUGCUAUGUAACUUAUAAUCAUCUAGUGAAUAAUGUGGAAUUACUAUUUAUAUAUGAGGAUUGUAAAUUACAUAUACGUAACUUUAGGGGAUCCUAAUAACGUGCAUUUAAGUAACAGGCCUAAACUUUAGAAAUUUCAAAAGCUAUAGUAUACGCAGGUCACAUCUACGACCAUUAUUAGUUUAAUCAUUAAAUGACAAAAUUUUGCCAAUCUUGAGGGGGUACUUAAAAAUGCAAGCAUCUCGUCCCUUGCCUGCUUCAUAGAUGCUCUUACUCAUCCCCCCUCAUCUCACUUGUGCAAACCAAAGAAAAAAGAAAGAUUAUUAUUUUCCUUUUAUUGCGGAAAAAAACAAUAAUUCCUUUUUACUGCUCCAUGUUUAUUAUUUUAUUCUAUUUCUCCAGAAUCUCUCUUUAUCAAUUAAAUUUAUGUUAUAGAUAUUAAAGAUUUGCUUAAAUCAGAAAACUUGUUCAUAGUUUUGGUCAAUAUAAUACAUCCCUUAAAAGGUAAACAUAGGAAAAAAAAAACAAGAAUGAUGGUUUUUUUUUUUUUGACUGUUUUAGGCAAUAAAGAAAUAUUUUGAAAGGGUCGGAGAUUACAAUGAAUUUGCUUACUUGUGGAAAUUUUUUUUAAGGCAUAAAUAAGUGCAACUUGAGAGCAUUUUGUUUUUGUUCCACUAUACAUUUUAUACAACUGCCGCCUUAGAUUGGGUGCAUCACUUCAUUAUAUAAUCAGUAAAAAUUAAUUAUAUAAAUGGAAUCAUUCUCUAUUACAAUUAUUCGACUUCCUGAAGUAACAACUGAUGUUUUUUACCACAUUGUCAAAAGAGUUCAACUUUUAUUUGAGAAUACACCAUAUAAAAGAAAAAGAAAAAAAUAAAACAAGAGUACACAGAAAAAAAUAAAACAAGUUUUAGAAUUAGUAGAUUAGAAUUGUUAUAAGAAAGAGUUGUCCCUAUAACUUCAAUAACCUAGCCAUGUUUCUGAAGUUUGUUUUACUAGCCUUACCAAACUUUUUCUAGUUGAUAUUCAAUUUUUUUUUUUUUUCUAGUCAAGCAUACUUAAUUGAACAGUCAAUUCAACAUGAAAACGAUUUGUCGCUUUAUGAUCCUAAUUUUCAACCAGCCGUAAAUUUUAAUCUAUUAAAAAAAAUUAGUUGGUGGAAAUGUAAACAGAAGCAAGAAGGUUAGAAUUAAUAACUUUAUCAUGAAUAAUUAAUAUGAUUAGAAUUUAAUAAAAUUAUAUGUAAAAGCUUAUUUCAAGAGCAAAAACUUUAUUUUUUUAUCAUUUUUUAGUGCUUAUAAUUAUAACUAGAAAAUAGAACCGCACUUCGUGCGGCUUUAAAAAAAAUUAGUAUUAUUUUUUUAUUACUUUGUAAUUGAUGAAACUAAUAAAAAAUAUGAAUUAUUUUUUUUAAAGAUGACGCAGUCUUAUAAAACUAAUGUUAUUUAUGAAAGUUAAUUAUUUUUUUGUUAACAUUAAAAAUAUAUAUUAAUGUGUAUAGUUAAGUGUACACAACCUUUUCAUCAAUAAAAAUUAUGUUCACACUAAUCAACUCUCCAUUUUUCUUAGUAUUAACAGACUCUCACAUCUUACAAAGUCUAACCCUUAUUAUCCAACUAUCUUUAUCAUUGUUUAACUCAUGAAGAAAAUAGUACUCCAUGAAGCAUACAUUACUAAAAAUUUAAAUAAGUCAAAAAAUAAAAACACAAAAACAUUUCUAAAGAGAAUGUUGGUUAAAUAAUAAAAAAAACUCAAACAUAACAAAUCUUAAAUGCUUAAUAUUUAUAGAGCUUGAAGAAGCCAAAAGAUACUAAAUAAAAGGUUGCAUAAUUAAAUAUAGGAUUAUGACAUUAAAAUUAGGUCAUAGGGCAUUGGUGAGGGAAGAGGAAGGAACAUUCCUUCCUAUAUUAAUUAGUUGAUGUAUUUUAAACCACUAAAGUUUAUUUGUUGGCUUAAUAAAAUAAAUGAAUGUUUCAAAAAUUAUAAUUAAUUUAUUAUUAAUGGUUAUAUAUUGUUGAAUUUAAAUAGAAAGAGGAAGAGGCAUGUAAUCUAUUAAUUAUUUUAUAUUUUUAAUAUUUUGUAAUGUAAUUAUUUUUUAAUCUCAACCAAUAUAUUAGAUAAUAGAGAAUAUAAAAAGAUGAGAAAUAAUAAUGUCACAAAUCUUAACUACUUAAUAUUUAUAGAGUUUGAAGAAGUCAAAAGGUACUAAACAAAAGGUUGCAUAAUUAAAUAUGAGAUUAUGUCAUUAAAAUUAGACUCUAAUGGCGUUAUUGAGGGAAGAUGAAGGAAAAUUCCUUCCUAUAUUAAUUAAUUGAUAUAUUUAAGCCACUAAAAUUUAAUUGUUGGCAUAAUAAAAUAAAUAAAUGUUUCAAGAUUUAUAAUUAAUUAUUAUUAAUGGUUACAUAUUAUUGAAUUUAAAUGGAAAGAGAAAGAGACAUGUAAUCUUUUAUAAUCUAAUAAUUAUUUUUAUUUUUAAUAUUUUAUAAUGUAAUUAUUUUUUUAAUAUCAACCAAUUUAUUAGAUAAUAGAGAAUACAAGAAGAUGAGAAAUAGUGAUGUCAUAUCACCUCCUCUAGUCCCAACUUUAUAUAUAUAUAUAAAAUUACUUUCUUCAGCCUUACCCAUCAAAUCCUGGAUUGAAGUGGUUGAAGAACAUGGCUCCCAAUACAAAUCUAUUUCUUCUGAUGACCAAGUAAAGCAAUGGAUGAAUUCCAUUACAAAAUCUCCUAAGCUCAUGCUCGCCCUCCAAAACCUUUCUCAAAGCCAAAUUUCUCCUAAAAAAGAAAUUGAAAUUUCAAAGCCCUCUUCCCAAAAUGUUGUUGUCUCUGCUGAAAGCUCAUCUUCCCAAAUUGUGCUUUCUCAGCCAACACCUUCAAAGAAAACCUCCGAUUGGUUUGAUAAAACCCAUUUUCAAAACAUUAUUUCUAUGGAAGAUGGAUUUUACCAUACUGAUCCUUUUCAAAGCAUUUCAAAGUUUUUCCCCAAAGGCUGGUUUUUCAAACCAUGGGAUUUAACAAAACCCCAGUCUUAUUAUCAAAGCAUUUUGGAAAUAACUGAAUCAGUUAAAUUCAAACAUUUCUUUCUUGACAAAGCCCAUCCAGAACCGGCUUAUUCCACGGCCACAAUCCUAAAAGUUUUGAGCCCAAAUCAGUGGGGUGACCUACUCCACAGUUAUAAAACCUUCCCUUUAAAUUUUGAGACCCGUUUACCACAUUGUCGGACCUUCUCCUAUUGGGACUACCAACAAGCGUGGUAUAACACCUUUUUUAUCCAGAACCCUAAAAAAUCCCAUUCUUGGUUAUUUUUCUUCAACACAAAAAUAACCGUUCAAAGUCUCCCAAAUUGGUUUCAUCACUGGUGGAAUCUUUUUGGCCCAAUUCCACAAAUCCUAACACCAAACGCCACAAAUUGCCUAAACACCUUCAAAGCCCAUUAUUUACCUUCUGACUCAGAAAAAAGAUUUCCCCCCUUUCUUUGCUUUUGUGCAAAUUUCUUCCUACCUUGGGUUUGUUCGUGGAACCUCCGUUUCCAUACCCAAGAUUCCCAAGUCAUUCUUCAAAGAACUUUUAAAGUCAAAUGGUGGUCAAAGUUUGAUGAACAGUCCAAAUUGACCGUUGACAUGAUCAAGGACUGGCUUUCCUCUAAAGGCCUCCUCCAACCUACCAUAACCACCUCUAAAGCCCAACAAACCUUCUUAACCCAGAAAUCCAAAGCCCAGUCACUGUUGGCAGGUGCCAAGACUGAAGAUGAGUAUUUGAAAGCCAUGGAACAGCUCCUCGCCUCGCGCUCAAAGUCCUCCGUUGCAGCUUCCUCUGAAGAUGAAGACGAAGAGGAUGAUGAUGUCGAAGAGCCUUUCAUUUCUCUCGGAGAUGACAAUGAAGAUGACUGUUUCGGCAUUUUCUCUCCGAUAAAGCAUUGUAAAUAAUUAUUUGAUUAUUUACUUAAAAAAAAAAAAAGAAAAAAAAAAGAGAAAAGUUAUUUAUUUUCGGGUGGUCCUCUGGACACAAGUGAGAGCGCACAUGUCUCUUCACCCGUAUCGUACUAUUCAAAGCUACGAUCCAUUUGUUACUGUGCACUUAAAACUCCGCUACAGUGAACAGUGCAGUUUGCCAGAUGUUACUGUGCACUUAAAAUCCCGCUACAGUGAACAGUUUAAAAGUCUUGUAUAUAAACCAAGAGGAAGACUAAGACUCCUCAGGUUUUUUCAUUUCUCUUCUUCUCUUCCUUCUCUCUAAAACUCUCUCUCUCUCUCUAAAGUCCGAAGAGUUCAAAGAAAUUUUCUGCUUACACAAUAGUUCUAUCACAGAGCUUUGGGUGAUCAGACUAGUUCUUUAUCUUCAAUCUUCCCGUCUUUCAAUCUUCCCUUCUGGAAAGAUUUGAAAAUUUGUAAAAGCCAACCAAAGCAAAGAUGUAUGUUUAAAUUUCAGUUCUUUAAAUUUUUUAAAGUUCAAUGUAAUUUAAAUUUUCGCAAUUUACUUUAAAGCAUUUACUUUUCUGCAAUUUAAUUUUAUGCACAUUUAAAUUCCAGCAAUUUAUUUUAAAGCACUUUUCUUUUCAAAGCAUGCUUGCAGACUGAUCUGUAUCAGAUCUGCCAUAUAAAUUCUACAUUCCUCUGAGGCAAAGAGACCGGAUCUCGAUCCUCAGUUGUAAAUCUUCUCUUCUCCCUCCAUUCCUUCAGAGCACCAUUUCCGGGAUCCGGAUCUGGUACUGUGUAUGUACCCAAACCUUUAAAAGAACCUAAUCUAAAUAUGAUAAUAGCCCAAUAAAAAGAAUCAACCACGUUUAAAGCAACUUAACUUUAUUUGGUAAAAUAAAGCUGAUUUGGUAUAUCGGCUGGAAACCCGAACGUGCGGACUAUUGAUCUGUUCUAAGUCAGAUCUGGGUCCAAAGGCUUUACUUUGUGUAGCAUCGGUCUGGUUUAACAACGCCACGUACCAAUUAGUUAUAAAAAUUUGACCAACCGCGUUCAAAUUUGUUUGAACACUGUAUGAUCUAAAGCAAUUCUACUAAGCAAUUCUACUUAUAUUCAAAGCUGGUAAUUUAUUUUAAAAUUUGGAAAAGCCGAUCCAUUAAUUGUUUAAUUUGAGUUUUUAAUAUUGAAAUCCAACGAAAACACAUCCAUCCUUCGAUCCUAUUUCCUUCUGGUAUAUAUAUAUAUAGAUUUUUAAUAUUUUGUAAUGUAAUUAUUUUUUUAAUCUCAACCAAUAUAUUAGAUAAUAGAGAAUAAAAAAAAAGAGAAAUAAUGAUGCCACAAAUCUUAAAUAUUUAAUGUUUAUAGAGUUUGAAGAAGCCAAAAGGCACUAAACAAAAGAUUGAAUAAUUAAAUAUGAGAUUAUGACAUUAAAAUUAGGCUCUAAUGGCAUUGUUGAGGGAAGAUGAAGGAACAUUCCUUCAUAUAUUAAUUAAUUAAUGUAUUUUAAGCCACUAAAAUUUAAUUGUUGGCAUAAUAAAAUAAAUGAAUAUUUCAAGACUUAUAAUUAAUUAUUAUUAAUGGUUACAUAUUGUUGAAUUUAAAUAGAAAGAGGAAAAGACAUGUAAUCAUUUAUAAUAUAAUAAUUAUUUUCUAUUUUAAUAUUUUGUAAUGUAAUUAUUUUUUUAUUUUUUAAUUUCAACCAAUUUAUUAGAUAAUAGAGAAUAUGAAAUGAUGAGAAAUGUUGAUGCCACAUCACCUCUUGUAGUCCCAACUUUAUAUAUAUAUAUAUAUAUAUAGAUUAAUUCAUAUAUUUUAUGCCACUAAAGUUUAAUUGCUAGCAUAAUAAAAUAAAUAAAUGUUUCAAAAGACUUAUAAUUAAUAUUAUUAAUGAUUACAUAUUGUUGAAUUUAAAUAGAAAGAGAAAAAAAUUACAAAGAGCAUCCACCAAUAUUUUAGAUAUUUUAGAUAAUAGAAAAUGUAAAAAGAUGAGGAAUGAUAUAUAUUAAUAAAGUUACUAUUUAUUAAAUGAGUUAAAUACAAUCAAAUUAAUUAUGAGAAGAUGAAAAGUCAAAUCUAAAAAAAAUCUCUAUUUAUUAGAUAAUAGAGAAUGUACAAAGAAGCAAAAUGGUGAUGCCACAUCACCUCCUCAAGUCCUAACUUUAUAUAUAUAUAUAUAUAGAUAGAUUAUUAUUAAUGAUUGCAUAUUGUUUAAUUUAAAUAGAAAGAGAAAAAAAGUACAAAGAGUAUCCACCAAUAUUUUAGAUAUUUUAGAUAAUAGAAAAUAUAAAAAGAUGAGGAAUGAUAUAUUUUAAUAAAGUUACUAUUUAUUAAAUGAGUUAAAUACAAUCAAAUUAGUUAUGAGAAGAUGAAAAGUCAAAUCUAAAAAAAAAAUUCUCUAUUUAUUAGAUAAUAGAGAAUUUACAAAGAAGCAAAAUAGUGAUGCCACAUCACCUCCUCAAUUCCUAACUUUAUAUAUAUAUAUAAAUAGAUAUAGAUAUAUAGAUUUAAUCUAGAAGUAUUUUAAUUAUAAAAAAUAUUUUUAAAAAUAAGUUUGACGAAUAGUUUAGUGCUUAUAAUUAUUUUCUACUUAUAAUUAAGUUAAUAUUUAAUAGAAAGAACUAAAAUAAUAAAAGAAAAAACCUUUGCCCGGCAAUUCCUUGUUAUUUACAUUUUUGGCACUGUCCUUGACAGAGGACUACACCGAGGAAUCUCAGGCCGUGGCACACGUGCGGCGGCUUCUCGACAUCGUCGCGUGCACCACACGGUUCUCCAAGUCCAGAAACUCCCGAUUGCCGCCAUCGUCAGAGUCAUGUGCCAGAAAGAACGGCAGUAGGCCCCACCCGCCUUCACCAAACUCUGCCGCUCUGUCUGAUGGAGCAGCAACAGCAGCAGCAGAUAACCGAAGCGGGACCCGCGCCACGUCAUCGCCAGUUUCAUCGGCGGUUUCUCCGAGUCUGGACAUGGCGGCCAUUCACCCGACGCCAAAACUCUCCGAGUUUUAUGACUUCUUCUCUUUCUCUCACCUCACUCCCCCCAUCUUAAGUAAGCCUAAUGUUCAUUUAUUUAUUUGUCUUCGUUUUUUACAUGGUUGAUAAAAAAAAAAGGAAAAUGAUAUAAAUAUAUGUGAUUUUUUUGAAUAUGAAAUUUGUUUAUUGAUUUUAAUUUUUAAUAAUUUUGAUUUUGAAGAUUUGAGAAAAUGUGAACGCAAAGAAGGAGACAAGCGCGACAGUGAUUAUUUUGAAAUUCAGGUGCCAUUUAAUAUAAAGUUCUGAUUAUUGUGGUUUGUUGUUGAAGGACUAAUUAAUGUUAUUUUUGCUGAUGAAUUGGCCAAUGAGUGUUAAAGAUUUAAUAAUCAUUGUCUGCUAAUUAAUAAGAAUGCAUGGAUUAUUUUCAUGUCUUUGUAAGUAAUGUGAGUAUUUGAAAGUGCGGGAAACUGUAUUUUGUGCUUACAGAUAAAAAUCUGCAAUGGAAAGCUUAUACAAGUAGUUGCAUCAGUAAAAGGGUUCUAUACUUUGGGAAAGCAGUUUUUCCAAAGCAACUCCCUGGUGGAUCUUCUGCAAAAUCUCAGUCGAGCUUUUGCCAAUGUGGGUACUCAAUAGUUGAAUCUACAGAUUAUUUUUUUCUUUUUUAUCUGAAUGCAUCUUUUUUUCCUCUGUAAAUUCAAUUAGCUUAUCCUUCAAUUGUUUUGUUAAUAAUUAUGGUCAUUAUGCGUGAUGCAGGCAUAUGAAUCCCUAAUGAAAGCUUUUGUUGAACAUAAUAAGGUAACAAUUUCUGUGCUGACAUAGUUUAUUACCAAUUCAAAUGUGAUUUUAACUUGAUUUUACUGAUAUAGUAUAUUCAUUAUCCUUCUUCAGUUUGGUAAUCUUCCCUAUGGAUUUCGAGCUAAUUCAUGGCUUGUACCUCCAUCUGUUGCUGAGUCUCCAUCAAAUUUCCCAUGCCUACCGGCAGAAGAUGAGAAUUGGGGUGGCAAUGGCGGAGGCCAGGGAAGAGAUGGAGAACAUGAUUUACGACCAUGGGCGACGGAAUUUGCUAUACUGGCUAGGCUUCCUUGCAAAACUGAAGAGGAGAGGGUGGUUAGAGAUCAGAAGGCCUUUUUGCUUCAUAACCAAUUUGUUGAUGUCUCAAUUUUUAAAGCUGUUGGAGCAAUACGCCGUCUCAUUGAUUCAAAUUUACACACUCAAGAUACAAUCAAUGUCCAAAGGGGGGCAAUCUUGCAUGAAGAUCGUGUGGGAGACUUGUCCAUUACAGUAAAACGUGAUACAGUAGAUGCAAGCUUGAAGUCUGAGGUUACUAUUAAAGGAAAUCAGUCAUCCGGUAUGUCUGCUGCAGAUGUUGCUCAAAGGAAUUUACUAAAAGGUGUUACUGCAGAUGAGAGUGUAGUUGUUCACGUAAGUCGAUUUCUCCUUUACUUCUUAUGCUUACGUUCACAGAACACACACAUAAAAGACAUUCAUCAAAGCUGAAAUUACUUACGUGGGCGGAAUAAUAUAGCUCUACCUUUGUCAGGGAGUGUUUUUUCAGUCGGAUUAAGAUGUUUCACUCUGUAUCGGAUAUCUAGCAUUUGAUGAUGGCCUAAAAUACCCAUCCUCUUCAUUCUCUCUUUCUACACAUUUAUGAAUGCACAAGAAAGUCAAUUUUAGGUUCUUUCCUAAGAAUCACUACUCGUUACAAACCUUAUAUAUCUGGUUUAGCUUCAUGAAUCUUAUGUGCCAUUCUGUUUGGUGACUCCCUAUUCUGUUGAAAUCACUUGAUAGCAGGUCUUUCUACUCAUUUUAUCCAUAUCCCUCUGAUUUUCCGCUUGUAGUUUGCUCCAGCUUAAUGUCAUCAACCCUUUUUGGGGAAGCCUAUUAACCUUGGUUGGGCAUGCUUGUAUUAUAUCAACUAGUGAUACAAUUGCUAAAGUUUUCAGCAUGGUAGAUCUUGAAAUAAAAUUUUCUUGAAAUAUCUAGAUUUAUCUUCCUUUUCUUUUUCUCUUUCUUUUAUUUUAGUUUGAAAGAUUUUGUGAUAAAGAGAACUGAAACAAUAUAGUUUUUGGCAGGAUACCUCCUCAUUGGGUACCGUCAUUGUAAGACACUGUGGAUACACCGCUGUAGUAAAGGUUGUUGGUGAUGUGACGGAGAAGUUUGGCACACAAGAUAUUGAAAUUGAAGAUCAACCUGAUGGAGGAGCUAAUUCUCUUAAUAUUAACAGGUCUGAAAUUGUAACACAAUUCUUCCUCUGUCGAUUCCUCUUAGCACACAAAGACUAGGAAAUCUACAGAUAGAGAAUGGCUGUAAGAUAUGAAAAAUUAUCUUUCAACCACUAACCGUUUUAAGCUAUUCUGCAAGAUAUCUUAGAAAUGCUAACUGGUAUGAGCUUCUUUGCUUAGUGUCUAUCACAGUUGAAUUCAUGAUGCAGAGCAUUGUUAUUCUCUUUAUUUUUACCAAAUAGAACAGGAUUGAAAUGCUGGUGUUGGGGAUUCUUAAGAAAGGAUAGCACCUGUUCCUUUUUCUUCCUGUUUAGAUGGGAUCUAAUCAGUAGAUGUCUGAACUCUUAAGGGGAGUUGAUGUCAGAUUUCUAAACCAGGUUUUCUUCAAGUGUUAAGUUUAUGAAUAGGCCAAAGAAAAGAAAGCUGAUAUCUAGUUAGGGAUAUGUACUCCUCUUUCAGCAUCCUAUGGACCAGAAAAUGGCUUUUCCUCCAUUAAAAUAGGUGCGAGAUUCUUCACUGUAUGGGGAUGCUUCACCUCUGCAUAGUUGUAGACCACCUAAAAAAUAACGAGUGGUUGCAGGAAACAUUAAGUCAUGGCUUUCACAAUAAUGGUUGAGUGUUUAUAGUUAUGUGCCCUGACAUUGGUUUGUAAUUGUUAUAUUAACAAAAUAACCAACAGACAUCGUUGAUGAUGUUCAAAUAAAGGAUAAAGGAAAGUAUAAUUACAGUGGAUGCUCAGUUGCUGAAAUAGGUCAUCAGCUUUUUGGAUUGUGCUAUUUCAGAAAGUAUUUAGACCUUCUUUGGUGGAUUCUGCCUUUGUUUCAUAUACUCUUAUAUCUUUCUCCAUUUAAGUUCUGACAGGGUAAACUAUUUAUUGCAGCUUAAGGCUUGUACUUCAGAAGUCUUUCAGUGCUGAAUCAGCUAGAGGAGACCGGUCACCUCUGUGCAAUUUGGAUAAUUCAGAAGCUCUUAGAAGUCUUGUACGAAGAGUUAUUAAACAGAGUUUAGCAAAGCUAGAGCUGGAGCCAACUGCAUCAGAAAGAUCUAUUAGAUGGGAACUUGGUUCUUGUUGGGUGCAACAUCUACAAAAGCAGGAAACCCUAACAGAUACCAAGUCAAUGAGGUCUGGCGAUGAUAUUGAGACUGAACAUGCUGUCAAAGGUCUUGGGAAGCAAUUUAAAUUUUUGAAGAAGAGGGAGAACAGACCUAACCUUGUUGGCAGCAAUAAUGAGGCUAACGAAGAUGACAAUGGACCGUGCAGCAUGAAUGUGGGAACUAAUGGCAGACAGCAAAGCAAUGGCGAGCUCAAUUGUGAGAUGGAAUUGAAAAAACUAAUUUCUGAAGAAUCCUUCUUGCGAUUGAAAGAAACUGGCACUGGCCUUCAUUCAAAGGUUUCAAAAUCUCAAGUUUGUUUUGCAUUUCAACUGUAAAGUUUGCUACUUUUUGUGUUUUCAUUAUGCUAAAUUUGGUUUGUUUUAUUUUCAUAUGGAACUGGUAAAAUUAAUUUCUUGUGCAGGCAGUGGAUGAGCUUAUGAAAAUGGCAUACAAAUAUUAUGAUGACAUUGCUUUACCAAAGCUGGUACUAUUUAAUUUAUUUAGGGCCUUUGUUGCAGCCAAUUUAGACGUGUGGGGAUGGUUUAUGGACUAAUUUCCAUUCUUUAUUAGGUAACAGACUUUGGAUCACUUGAACUUUCUCCGGUUGAUGGCCGCACACUGACAGACUUUAUGCAUUUAAGGGGACUACAAAUGCGCUCUUUAGGUCGCGUGGUGAGGAAUUUCUCCCUCUCUUUCUCUCUCAGACAUGCAACCUAUUCACCCGUGGAAAUCAGAAUAAACAAAUGUUGUCUUUCUUUAUGUAAACAAAGCCCCUAAGUUAUCUUUCUAUAUGUAAACAAUCUCCCCAAGUCUUCCUGGAUUGAAUUAUCAAUGUUCCUUUUUGAAAAUUGUACUACAUGAUAGAAUUUUUGACAUGGUGACCUUUUCCAAGAUAUUGAAUUAUUGUCGUCUUUAGAUAUUACUGUAUGUUGUAUGACAUACAAUAUUUUGAGAAAUUGACAUGCUAAUACUUGAAAGCCUGGUAUUCUUCUUCUGUUGGUUCUAAUCCCAUUUACAAAUUCAGGUUGAACUUGCAGAGAAGCUUCCUCACAUACAAUCACUUUGUAUUCAUGAGAUGGUUACUCGAGCGUUCAAGCAUGUACUUAAAGGAGUCAUCGCAUCUGUUGACUAUUUAUCAGACCUAUCUGCAGCUAUAGCUUCUUCCCUAAAUUUCUUAUUUGGCUGUUGUGAGAUGGAAGAUGAGCAAAGCUUGAAUGAAGAUCAUAUCCUUAGAUUGCAGUGGCUACGAACAUUUCUUGGCAGAAGAUUUGGUUGGUCCCUGAAAGACGAGUUUCUGCAUUUGAGAAAGAUUUCAAUUCUACGUGGGCUUUGCCAUA
This 116765-nucleotide long non-coding RNA is filed under the name Citrus x clementina. Its description in RNAcentral is "Citrus clementina (C. clementina) long non-coding RNA (CCLE_LNC001456)". Lineage: Eukaryota; Viridiplantae; Streptophyta; Magnoliopsida; Sapindales; Rutaceae. The record is from RNAcentral.